Molecule: long non-coding RNA, 103007 nt
Filed under: Prunus persica (peach)
Lineage: Eukaryota; Viridiplantae; Streptophyta; Magnoliopsida; Rosales; Rosaceae
Description: long non-coding RNA (PPER_LNC007549)
Source: RNAcentral
AAAAAGAAAACUUACAACAGAAAGAACAUCGCUUGCAAGCCCUUUUUCAUAUGAUGGAGGCCCAACCUUUAUAUCUAGAAUCACCCGCCGGACUGAACUUAAAAUUACCUGCAACAAUAUUCAGAAUCAUAGUCAAAGAGCAAUUGGGGACGGAGGCAGCUGCUAGGGCACACCAAAAGGAUCAUUUGCAAAGAUUCAAAACUAUCAUUGAGAGAGCAUUAAAGGAGUUCAUGAAAGAUACCUCCAAAGCCUCUUCAAUUGUAAGAACAUUUUCAUCUGGGAACUUCCUUGCAGAUUGAUGCACAGAACCAAGAUACUUUAUCUACAACCACAAACUAAAUAUAUAUUCUCAAUCAACAUUAUCACAAAUACCUAACAAUAUAAUUUAAAAAUACAGACAAUAUAAUGUUCUAAAGAAAGGCAGGAUAGAAAGAUUGUAUAUCAUAUUUUACAAGAAAGCCAGAUAGCAAAGAAAAUUCACCUCUUUCAUACUUAAGUACCCAACCUUAGAAGCAUUGUUUCCAGUUAACCGCUGCAAAUCCCUGCCUGUGUAAUUUGAGAAUCAAAUCUACAAAUACAAUUCUAACGAAUGAUACUCCAACAGAACCUAAAAUAAUGUGAUCAAACUUUUAGUUGACAAAGUAUUUUGAUGUCAUGUCAGAGAUCCAAAAUACCUAAAUCCUCAGAAUUCGAGUUGGCUGUGAACAUUCAAACACAAACUUCAUUUCUUUGGUUUGCUUAGUUACAACUACACUUUAAACAUCUGGAUGAUCAAUGACGAGCAUUUGAUUACUAAGGUGCAAAAACUGUGUGCAUUUUAACCUUGAAACUUCAUGACUAAGGUGCAUAAACUUCUCAAUUUCAUUUUUUCUUAUGUUCAUGAAAUCACAUGGAUUAAUAAUCUGUGUGGUUUGGACUCUAGGACGGUCAUCUAGUGUGUUAUUACAUAAUAAAAUGAUAACAGAAAGUUCAUCGUAGAUUUCUUGUUGUUCAUAAAAGAAAAGUUAUUUGAAAGUAAUUGUUAAUAAUAAGGUAGUCGAAUAGUGUAAGAUGACAAUCACUAGAUAAGGGGUAAAAUUAUGAACAUUAUGUGAACCAACGUACCUGUCAUGGAGCGCAAGCAGAACUCCAUCCAGAGAACGAGAAACGUCAAUCUCAAUGCAGUCUACUUGAGAAUGAAGAGCAAAAUGAUAUGCAGCCAUCUGUUUAGUUGUGAACAAAUAAUAACACCAUGUGAGAGAGAGAUGGUGAGAAGGGGCAGGGAACUCAACAGUCAGAACUUUAAGAGAAUAAAUUUCUCGCAGUACAAAAAGUUUGAUCUAUUUUACUCAAAGUUCAAUUUUAUAAAGAACAACAGAAAAUUUGGUUGCUGCUUAUUCAUGGGCCUCACCUAUGCAACGGUUCGAGGAGGUAAACAUGUAAUCAGUUGUUGAUCCUUUACAGGGUAACUUGGGGAGGGUGAACCCAAGCUAUGCCCCAAGUCAGGCCAAAACUUUUAGUCACUAAAUUUUUGUUGGACAAUACUGAAUACUAAAUUACCCAACCAAUUAAAUUAAUUAAAUAAGAUUGCGAGCCUACCGUGUUAGGGAAGGCCUUACUUGAGUCACCCCCAUGCGCACACACAAGAGGAGGCUCAUUUAGCCAGCCACACUUUCUUAACUGCGUCUGUAGAAAAAUUGAAACUUACAAAGUAAAUAUUUGAGUCUACAAUGACAAAUAUUAUAAGUUCUACACAUUAUCUAAGUAAAAUGCCGCAUUUUUCUCAAUGAAUAUAAGAGAAUUUUUGUUUCCAUUUAUGAGCAUGCACCAUUACUACAUUACACAACUUGAUAUGCCCAGCCAUGAAAGAAUGCAUCAAUCAGUUUGUUCCCGUCACAAUCUACUUAACCAGAAUCGAACACCCAAAAAUUAAUCCAAGAAAUGCAAAAAAAGAGAAGAUUUAUUAAAUCAAAAGACAAAUAUAAAUUUAAGAACUCCUUGUCUUUUCUAAGACGUUGAGUAACCCAAAUGAAACAUACUGUCACUUUGCCCAAAUCAAUUAAACCAAAGCCAUUAUUUCAACAAAUUGCGACCCACAUAAAUUGUUUUCAGCCAAUUAGCCCCUAUCAAAUCCAACAUUCUCAUCUUUAAGAAAACAAUAAACUCAUAGAUACAUACAGUAUACAUAUGCGCUUGAGCAUAAACACAAACAUCUAUGAAUGAAAAUGUCAAAAUUAGCUUAUGGGUCUUUUUCAUAUUAGUACAAGAAAACGUAUAGAAGAAGAGCUUACCUGGUGAAAGCGUUUGAGCUUGAAGAAGAAGAAAAUGGGAGGGACAAAAGCGAUGAAGACGAGACUUAUGAGAAUCGCACGAAAUACUCUCUUUGACGAAAAUCUGAAGAGAAAGGCUCCGAACCCAAACCGCUGCUGCCUCUGAUGGAGGGACAGUCGCCUUCCCAAUCUCGUUGAGAUCGCCAUUUGGAUCAUACAAAAUGACCACUCAAGUGAAAGAGAGAGAGAAGUCACAUAUAGUUUAUUUUAAUGACCGAUAUGUACUUAUUUUUUUAACCAUUUGUAACAUGUGUUGAAAUUAUUUUCUAUUGCCUAAAUUAAAAAUAAGGAUAAAAUAGUUAUUUUGUUUUAGGAAGGUGGAAAACUAAUUUGGCAUAUGCGAGUUAAACUAGUUGAUUAAGAUGGUAAAUUUAAUUUGGGAGAGACGAGUUAGGCAGUUAGGCAAAUUGAUUAAGAAAAUAAAUCCGCUUCUCCCUCGCAUAAAGGUUCGAGAAAGGGAGAGAUUAUAGAGUAGUACGGUACUACCACAUCAGCAUAUGAUACUCCCAUUCCAAAUUUGUCAUGUGUCCCAUAAAAGAAAAUUAAAAAUACUUGUACAGCUGGACUUUGACCUCCAAUUUUACCCUUUAAAAUAACAUUAGAAAUAAAAUAAAAUAAAAGAAUACUCCUCCACCGUCUCUUUCCCUUGCCUCUGCCAAUUGAAGUCUUCUUCUAUCCAUCUUCCUUUUAAGCAGGAGGAGAGGUUUGAGAUGUGAGUUUGUUUCCUUCAUUGUAGAAAAGCAGAGGAAGCUUCAAAGGAAAAGGGAGGAAUAAACGGAGAUUUGGGGUGGAGGAGGACUCCCGAAGGAUUUUUUAUUUUUUAUUUUCUUCUUUUCUAAUUUUAUUCCAAAGGGUAAAAUUGGAAGUCAAACACCAGUUGUAUAAAUAGUUGUAAUUUUCUUUUAAAUAUGACACAUGGCAAAUUUUGAAUAAAAGUAUCAUAUGCUGACAUGGUAGUACCGUAUUAUCUUAUAAUUUCUCCGAGAGAGGGGAGCUCUGAAACAAAAAGUAAUUUUUCUAAGCUCUAAAUUUUCUGUCUUUCGGCCCAAUAAAAAUCAGCCCACAUCAACUCAGGGACUAGCACUAUUUGUUUGGGCUGGGUUAGUAAGGGGCUAUAUCACGCGAUCAGAGCCCCCAUCUUCCACUUGUUAACUUUCCCUCCAAAAAUCCCCAAUCGUCACAUACUCUCGCUCGCUCUCUGUAAGAAAGUAAAGAAGAAGAAGAAAAUGGACGAAUACUUACAGUACAUGAAGACAUUGCGUUCUCAGAUGAACGGUGCGUUUCGAUCUCUGUUAAGAUUACCUUACACAAAUAUGAUUUGAUUGCUUUUUUUUCUUUUUGAUAUGAAAAUUAUAGAUGUGGAGGAUCAAGCUGCGAAGGUAUCAGUGGAAGAGCAAAUGCAACUGACCACCAUUCAGACCUUGGAGAGCGAUCUCAAUUCUGGUUCUUCUUCUUCUUCCUGUUCGCAUUUAUAAUUUCUGCUUAUUUUUACUCAAUUUUUCCGAAUGAAAAAUUUAAUUCGGAUUAUUUCACUUGUAAUUUCGUUUUUUUAAUUAUUUCUUAAAAUUUAUGAAUAAUCUGUGAAGAGUAAUUCAGCAAAACUUUAUUUGUUAAUAUCUCUUCUAGUUUCUAUUUGUUUUAAACUUCCACCCUCAACUUCUUACACAUACAUCUAUACAGUUUUUUUUUAUAAAAAAAAUAAAUAAAUAAUUCGUGAGUAUUUUUGUUUAGUUGAUCAUCGAUGAAUUUUUAAGAAUCUAUUUUAUAAGGCAUUUUCUAUUUUUUUUUUUUUUGGGGUGUGUCUGUGCUCUGUACACUUGCCAUGUAUAUAAAUCUUUUAAUUCUUUUUAAAACUAAAUGGGUAAAAAUUAAGAUUCCUUUUCCCUUUAAAUUUGGUUAAUAUCCGUAUUUUUCUUUGCCCUACCUAAUUAAUUUCUAAAAGUCCAAAAUAGAUUUAGCAAAUGUUCUAAAUUGCUUGUAUUUCGGAAAGGGAAAAACUACACAUACUUCAGUAGAGCGGUGCAUAUAUAAUAGUUUGGUUUCACAUCGAAGAUCAAUUCAAGUUGGAAGAUAUUUCCUGCUUCUGGUACCAAUAUGAAGGCCACUAUUCAACUUUGUCUGCUAGCAUGACUUGCUAUAUCAUCUAACCUUUUUAUUUGUGUAUUAUUAUUUCUCAAAUGCUGGAACAUGGACUUUGCAUCCCAGCUUCCUACUACAAUAGCCUCAUCUAAUAUGUGAACAAAAUGCCUGUAAUUUUUAAAGGACAUCCUUGAUACUGUUGAAUCGGGUCUAUCUUGAUUCCAUGCUAAAACUGGCUACACUUGAUUCUUAGUCACAUGAGUAGUGAGAAGUUGUUGGUUGGACAGUGAGAUUUAAGCAUGAGAUGCAUUCAAUUGAAUUGGAUCUAUGUUCAACUUUUUGAGUAUCGUAAUUAUGCAAGGGUUUCUGUUUUUUAUAAGUCCUGUAUCGCACAGGAUUUUGGAAUCAAUUAUGGAUCAUAUGUGGUUCCAUAACAGGCUGUAUCUAAGCUGUAUUCCUUUCUGGGUUUAUCAUUCAAUUUUAUUUUUCCUUACAGUAAUGCGGAUGUUACAGUCAUUUAAGUUUUCUUUUUAUUUCAGUUAGUUGUGUAUUUUGUAAUCCAGCAUUCGUCAUUUAUUGCAUUUCGAAUAAUUUAAAUGUAUUGAGUUUGAGAAGUGAAAUCAGAAUAUAAUUUUACAUUUAUUUUCCAGUUAGUUGUUUUAACACUUUUGAACUGUUUACUCAUUAUUGUUGCAGCAAUAUCUGAAACAAAACGAUUCAUGGAAGACAUUGAGCAUAUGAAGAACGCGAAGGGUCAAAUAUGCUCACUGAUUUUGGAAAAACAGAGAAAGAUAGCUUCUUUGGAGUCUGAUUCAUCCACCCUUAUAAAGGUAGCCUCUUUGUGCGUGUGUGGCUUGCCAUAUUCAUAUUGAAAAUUAAUGUAAUAAUCAAUCAAAUUGAAAGUUGUAAUGCUCAAGAAAUAUUUUGAUACCUAUGUAGACUUUGGAGCUUAUCGAACAAGAGAGAACCAACUUAUCUUCCAAUCUUAUAGAAAAAAGGUAAUUCAACAUGCAAGUUAAAUUGAUUGAAUGCAGCUGAUAUCAUAUAUCAACUUAUCAACUUUCCAUGUUCGUCAUAACAGCACUUACUACAUGAAGGUUAGAGAGGAUAUCAAUGCCAAAUUGCAGCAACACCAGGUUUGGUUUUGGAGUCACAUUUAUGUGUAUUUGUGUUGUGUUCUAUUCUCAUUGCAUUUAGAGUUCCCCUUUUCAAUUUUGAUCAGGAUUGGGUCUAUUCUCAUCACACUCAUAUGGAACUGGGAGAGCAUGGAAUGGUACACCCUCAUGUUUUCCUUCGUCUUUCUUUAUUUACAUAUGUAAUAUUAGCUCCUUUGGUGUGGUUGGAUGUCUUUCUAGUUUUCUCUAGUAGUUAGGUGUACAAUUGCCUCACUUCUUUGACUUGAUGUCUUGAUUGAAGAAAGGGUAAUGUUCCUAUUAUGGAAGUUGUUUUUCAUCCUAUCUUUGAGUGUAAUUUAUGAAUAUAUUUUCCCAUACUUUGACAUAUUAUGAAGCUCUUGUAACUGCUGCUGAGUCGUUUUUAUCUUUCUUGCUGUUGCUUUUGUUUUAAAGUUUAAAAUUGUGCAGCUAGAAGUUAAUUGUGUUGCAGGACUGAUUAGAAUUUAUGCAGGUUAAGGAGAGAUCUGAUGAGCAAAGAGGUGAGUUUCAAGUUAUGGCUUUUAUACUCUUACAUUACCCCCUUCUUCUAUCAUCAAGAAUCUGUAGUGUAUAAUAUAAUUGAAUGGUGACGCAAGCAAAUGAAAUGUGAUCUGUUAAAGUUAUUUAUGCUGUCUAAGGUUAAGUCCUUCUGAAUGAAAGCUAGUAAUCCAUAACCUGUUGCACUUUAACUGUUGAUUCUUCUGAAGUCGCUGUUUACUUGCCUUUGCACCCUACCUUUUAAAUGAAAAUAUGUAAUAAUCAUUCAGUUUAAGAAAGAAGCAUGGCCUUCCUGGCAAAGACGCUUUGGUAUUUAUAAUUUUAUCCUUUUUUUUUUUCUUUUCAAGGUAGCAUAUAAAUUGAGGUAUUUAUCAUGGGUUGUGAACCAGCUGAACCAAAUUAGGUAUUGUAAGAGGCUAUGAGCAACUUGCCUCAAUUAUACAUUAGUGAUAGGGAAAUAUCUUUUGCUCCAUGUUAUGCUAGCACCGUGCCUUGUAAUUAAAGAUGAAGUCUCUUGAGGAUAGUAGUUUUACUCAGGAAUAUAAUUUUUUCAACUUCUUCAUAAACUGUACUUCUUUGCAGGGAAGGCUUGCUUUGAUAACCACCUCAGCAUGGGCAAUCAGGUAUGAAACUACUUUCAUUGAUCCUUGAGAUGCAUGGAGCUAUAUGCAGUGGGAAUCUCAUGACUUAUUUUUAAAUAACAGGGCAAUGAUGCAAGGAAGAACCUAAUGGCCACGUUGGACUCUGCUAAAGCCAAGCUUGAUGAGAUUUUAAAGAUGAAAUCUGAACUUGCUAUAGAAAACCGCAAGGUUGCCUCUAAACUGGGAUGCUGUUCCACUAAAAUUAAGAUGUAUUGAUUCAUUCUUUUAGAUGGGGUUCGCAUAAAGGAUAUCCUGCCAGAGAGUCUGACAUGCUACGUUCUUAGAUUGUCAAUUAGGGCAAUAUUUAGACAUGAUUCCCCCUAAUCAACAGUCUUGAUUUGCAGUUUGGCCACAUACAUGUUGGAUUGUCCAACAAGAGAAUUUCUUUCUUUUUCUCUGUGUGUCUGUUUGUCUGUCUUCCUUCUAUAUAUGUAUGUAUUUAUAAUGUAAAUAAAUGGACACCUACUGUUAUGAGAUUCAAUUUGAGUUGAAGUGAAUCAUAUGAAGUUUACUCUACUUCUCACAUCAUUAAAUUAAAGUUGCAACUAUUUGACAUCUCUCAGAGAUUUCUGCUUUACAACUCAAGGUGUGAUUGUUUAUUCAUUGUGAAGUUUUAUUUAUUUAUUUUUUCUCUCGACUUUAUUCUCCUGAAGGAGUAUUUUACCAAGCUUUGUUGUUCUUGUUCUCUACUUUUCCUUGUGAAAAAUAAAAAAUGAUGUCUGUCUAGCAAAGAAGAAAAAUAAUAGACAAGAAACGUAAGGAAGCUAAUAUUUUCUAAAGCACCCUCAUUCUUAUGCUGCUUUCUUGUGCCAAUUCAGAUGAAACAGGCUGUUGAGCAAGCAAAUUGCAGGGAAAAUGAUUUUAAGGUCAGUUGUUUUCUCAAUACAAAUAGGUGCAGUCUUUGUGCAUGAAUGCAUGCCUGUGAGCAUAAUGUAAUCAGAUGUGGAACACAUUUCAGAUAUUUAUAGGAUGUUGAAAUUUGUUGCUAAGAUAUACUCUGUGAGGUUGGCACAAUGGCAUCACACUAAUUGUUGAUUUCUUUUCUCACAAUGGGUGAUUCCAGCCAGAGCUAAGGGCAAUGGAUGUAAACACCCUUGAAGAGGAAUACGAUGCCCUUCUAUCAGAUAAAGCUGGAGUAACUGAAUACCUGAAGUCUCUGCAGGACCAAAUUGAGAAACUGAAGGUGACUGUUUAUCAGGUUUCUCCUUGGUGUUUAAAGAUUACAGAAAGUAAUAACCAUGUGAUCAUUUGAUGAUAUGGCCAAUCAAAGUGGCCAAAGCUGGGUCUGUGGAAGGAAGGUUUAUUACUGAAAUAGACAUGAAAGGGAAUUAUCUGGCAUAUGGUGCAUAGUUUCCGUGGAAAUUUCAUGGUUUGGAUAUUUAUGAUUAUUGAAGUCUAGGGUCAGUGCAUAUGUUUUGGAAAAGAAGACGAUUUUUUAUAAUAAAUUGUAUUCUUUUGUUCGUUGAACCUGUGCUGUUAACAGGAAAUAUCUCAUGUGGUUAAAUGUGCUUGUGGAGAGGAAUACAAAGUGGUAGUGGACUUUUGUGUAUAAAAACUUGAAACUAGGGCAUGAAUUUGGGCAAGAUGGAAGGCUGAGAAAUGGAAUCAUCAGUUGGCUGGACUACUUGGUUUGCUGUUCAGGUAAGUGUCCAAACAAAAGUCAAAAACAAUUUCUGAUACCUUUGUUGCAACAAGGACGUAAUGAUAUUACUUUAGUUGUUGGUACAGUGCAAGUUGAAAGUAGUUUGUCUUUAGUGAAUAGACGUUAUUUCCGUUGCAAACAUUAUAUUGUACAUGAAAAUAUGUUUGUAUCUCAAGUGAGUGGUGAAUUUCAUUAGUUGUGCUAAAUCAAUCAUUCAAAUUUUUGAUAAAUUGGUUUUCUUAGAGAAAAUGAUGAAACAUGGCUUUGACAUUCACCUCUCUAACAUGGCUUUUGAUAGAAAUAUAUCUGCCAUUAUUCACCACAUGUAUAUAGGUGAGUUUUGUGUUUCAUAAUUAUUAAAAUGAAAUACGAUUGGCCUAACAAAUGCUUAAACAAAGCACUUUAGGGUGUGUUUGAAUGUCUAGUAGACAGGAUUUCAUAGAUGGGAGCCCUUUUUGUAGUAGUUAGUGAUGAAAUUAAAAGAUGCACGGAAAAAUGAAAAUUUCAGUUAUUUUAUACGUAUAUACUUGCAGAAACUGAAAUUACUUACAAGAAGUUGAGAUGUAUAUUCUCUUAUGUGUGGUACUCAGACUUGUGCUUGAGUUGUCGAAAUAUGUUCCCUAUAUAGAGAAGUAAAGGAGAAAUUAUGGAAAAACUAAAAUCACUUGAUACCCAUUGCUUCAAUUGCUGCUGAGAUAUCAUGGGCUUGAUAGCUCUCCACAAGGACGAUGUUAGGGCUAUCUUGUGGGACUACAUCUUCUCUUUUGAAACUAUCUUCACCAUGAAAAAGCUUCUCACUGCCAUACUCAACCGAGCUUCUUAGAACUAGGGUCUUAUGGAGGCCAGCCAGCAGGUCUUCAUAAUCUGUAUCUCCUUUUUCCCCAACAAACACAACCACUUUGGAUAGAUCAAUUCCCCACCGGACGGAAAGAUAUCUACAUAGCACAACAGAACAGUAAUUUAAUCAUAACUAAGCAUUUUGUUGAUGUCUUGCAUAAUAUAGUAAGUAAAUGAAACCCAACCUUAGUGCUUGUAUUCUUGAUGCAACUAGUGGUACAACAUUUAAUCUUGAUGCUACACGAGUGUAGACAAGGUUGCACCGGAAGCCCCUCAUCCGCAGCCUUUGGCGCACGUCAUCGACCCUUCGAGUCUGAAAUUGAUACACCAGAUCAUUAUAAAAAAUUUAUGAAACUACAAAUGUAUGUCUUAAGGCACCACUUUCCAUUGAGGUUAGUAAUUUUUCUACAGCAUAGUAAGUUUCUCACCUUGGCUCCUGGUUUCACAUUAUAAGAGUAGCACCUAGAGCUACUUGAUCCUGCAUACUCCAUGAUGUCAUCGUCAGCCCCAACUUCUAACGUGGCUAGCCUUGGCACCAUGGACCUCACAUUCUCUCCAGGCCAUCUAUACUCAAUAUGGAUUUCAUAAUCUGCAUCAGCUGCCAAAUCCCUCCAUGGGUAAUACAUUUCACUCCCACUUUUGCAGACCAACGCAUCAAAAUCUUCUAUGUUUACUUGGCAGCCUUUAAAUGAUUUGAUGGUCUCUUGUAAACUUGAACCAGUUAACAACACCAAACCUACUUGACCCUGGCCAUGGCCUACGCUUGCUGCUUUCUUUACACACAUCAGAGUUUCCUGAAAUAUCUGGGCAUCAUCUCCAUUCUGGUCAUAACAAUCAAUGGCUAUUACAAAUAGCCUCUGCCUUCUACCAGGACCAUAAUUAACACCAGUAUUGCUGUUGGAUGAAGCCAUUCUAGUUAUGGCUUCAAUGAGUUCCCUCUGUCUCGUUGCUGCAUCAAGCUCUCCAUUAUGCUUGAAGUCUCCCUCUACAGAGAAUCUCAAAGAAAGAUCUUCCACAUCUUUUAGAGAGUCACUCAAUGGUUCUUCAGGAAUUGGCAUGAUCUGAAGGCGGGUGGUGGGGUGGCGGUGUCGGGAAUGUUCAACAUGGGAGAGGUAGUUUCGGCAGUGUUCUGUCCACGAAAAGCGGUGGAUGUUCUUUAGGCCAUUCUUUCUGCAUUCGAGCCAGAGGUUUUUGUCUCCAACAAGCUUUAGAAGUGCAUCUUCUAUUGCUUUCUGGUCGUGUGGGUCAACUAGGAGGCCGUUGUUUAGUGCCUGAUAGUACAGAGUCAGCUACCCAUUAGUUCUUUAGACAUAAAGUGAUACUAAUUGUACCACAUUGUCAUAGAGAUUGGACUCAUCACAUCUCUAAUAGAAGUGAGACCCACACAUACAAUUGUGCUCCACCUCUAUUAUGGAAAUAAUGUGGUAGAAAUAGUAUUCUUAGACAUACAUCCGCACCUGCACGUUUUAGUCACAUGGAAUCUUGAAGGUUUUUCUUAAACUUCCAAAUACAUUAUUAGUAGGUUAUAUUAUAGCAGACUCCUGUGGGUUUGGAUAUAGGACAUGUACUAGUUACCUUUAGAAUAUCCACAGGUCCUCCAUUUUUCGUGGCGACCACUGGUAAGCCAUAAGCAGCUGCCUGAAAACAUAAUCACAUGAAUAUAAACAUGUAAAUCGUUUUGAGAGAAAAAUGUGGGGGAGGGGGGGGUGUUUGGGUUAGUAAUUACAGGUUCACAAGAUUAUCCCUACUAGAGCCUAGAGGCUAGAGGUGAAGCAUAAUAGCAGCAUAGGCUAACCUCUAUAAUUGUAAGACCGAAGGGUUCCACGAGAGCUGGGUUGAUGAAAACACCCUUCAAUAGAAUUCCCCAUAAAGUGUUACUGUUAGUAAUUUAGGUGUUGAAAAGAAAAGACUAGCAGGUAACGUGUGCAUAUUAGAAAAACAAACAAUCCCAGGUCCAUCUAUUAAGAAAUAGUUGUGGCCCUGUAUCACAUAGUAUGCACCUUUGUUUUGGCAGCUAGACGAUAUAUGUCAGGCACAUCCGAUUGCUUGUGAUGCUUGGGAUAGGCCACUUGCCCAUACAAAUCAUACUUGUCAAUGAGCUUGAGCACGGUUGUUAGAACAACUGAACUGCUAUUUGACAUUUCUUCAAUGUCAUCUCUGUUACCAAGUAUUAGUGUCUGCAUAAACAAUAGGUGUUACCAAGUAUUAGUUUCUGCUUUAAACAAUAGGUGAUGCUCGGUACUCAGCAAUAUUAUUUACUGUAUUGAAGCCGAUUUUAGUUAUGGGAAAUUAAAGUGUGAACUUUACCAAGUUGGCUAGCUCCCGUAGAGCUUGGCAUUGCCCCAAAUGCCUUGAGCAAUGUAGUGACAUUUUUCUUGGGGUCAGGACGAGACAGUGCAAGUAUGGUGGGCUUGUGAGGGUUGGUGAAAAAUCGCAUGACCUGCAUUGCAACAAACAAAAUAAAUGGCAGACAUUUCUAAUUAGGUAUGUGAAGUGAAACUAAAUCCUUUUUGUUACCAAUAGGUAAUAACGUGCAUAUUAUAAGUCUAAGCCUAGUUUGUUUAUAGGAAAAGCUAUGUAGGAGAUUGUAGACUGUUUCGUUUGUUUUCUUUUGUAUAACUAAAUGAAUGGGGUGGGAACAUAUGAAAGGAAAAAAAUAGGUGGAAGAAUAUGCAACCUCGGACCAUAUUAGAGGCAGAUGCCUUUUGUUUUGACCUCUGUCAGAGCCAAUCAAUGAUUUCAGAUCUCCAUCUCCUUCCGUAUCUUGGGCUAUAACAUAGCUGAAGUCCAUGCCUGGAGGUAUAACCUAAUGCCACCAUCACGUAGUGAUUAGUAUGUACAAGAAUUUGGAAAGAAAAGAAUGAAGUUUGAGACAUGGCAGUGUUUAGUCAUGAAAAAGCCAAGCCACAAUCAGUGAUAAUGAGGAGAGCGACUGUGCAGUAUGCAUACCACCAUUCUUGGCAUGUAUCGUCCAAGGCAGCUAACUCCACGACGCCUCCUAACCCUGAGCUUCCUCUCCAACUUGAGAUCGAAGCCGUCAUAGAGUCCCCAUUGCUCCUCAAUCUCUUGCCUUGUGCUGGUGACCACCAUUUCAGCAGAAUCCAAUCCCAGCUCCUCAGCCUCGAUCCUCUUCAUGAUUUUGUAGGUUGCAUUGAUGUCUCCCUUUGAUAACCUCCCUUGUUUGAGCAAUUGUUCAAACUUGUUUCGGCCUAAUGAAUGCCCAGUUAGCACCAUUGGCACGUUCAAGGCCCCAGACAAGUGGGCAGCCACCUCCCCACCAUCAGCAUAGUGGCCAUGGAUCACAUAAGGCCAUUUCGGUCUCCCUCCGUUGACUUCUUCACCAAGAGCUCUUGCCAUGUUCACAAUGUGGCCGAGAGCCCCGUCAACGAAUUCAGGUAUGUGAGGCCAAAGUGACUCUUUAGGUAUGUACCUGCAGGCAGUAUGCCUCAAUCAAAUUCAAGUGUGUAUUCUUCAUGUUCACCAUAAUCAGUAGACACUAGGGUCAUAGCAUUAGGGUUGAAGACAAGAGAAGAGUGAGUUAUUACUUGUCACGGGGCCCACAGGGGAUUCGGACGAUAUAAGCUCCACAGCUGCCGCUGCCAUCAGGUGGACAAAUGAGCAUCUCAUUGGGUUCACCGUAGCUAGAGUCUACCUCCGGUGAAGUAAUUUGUCUAGUUAGCAGAUCAACUCGGUAGACUCCUUUUGUAUUGGCCAGAGCACGAGCAAGUUCCACCACAUAUUUCACCUAAAUUAAUAGCUACCAUAUGUAAGUCCAUAAACCAACAUACUUUUUUUUUAUGAUCUUAAUUAUCAUUUAGUCUAACUCUUAAUCAGUAUAUUAUUGUUAUUAUCACCUGACCACCUGUAUCAGAAUCUCUUCCGAGUUCCAUGUUUUCUCCACGAAUCAACCCAUGAAUGCUACAGCAAGGUAAGAACAAGAAACAUGAAACAGUAUGAAAAAUUAUGCAAUGCUUUUACUUAAACUUGCUGUAUUUAAUGAAUGAAUGAAAUACCUGAUUAGGACAAUGUAAAGAUGCCUAGACUUAUCAAUAUCAUCGGACCAUAUGCGGAUGUCGGAUAUAGUUCUUAAAAUAUCCUUGACAAGUGGUUCCCCUUUUUCCUUUUCCCCUUCUUUUUCCUUCUCCCCUUCGGACAGCUCCGAAAGGUCAUCCUCUGCGUCGUGACGCCCUUGUUCUCGCUCCAGACGUCGUUUUGCAAGUCUUCGUGCAUCAUCCCAUGCAAUCUGCAGCAGUCACGCACACAAACACACCCACCAAAUUAAACAACUUUCACUUCUAUGUGUCUCCAAUUAAUUUCAACUUAUAUUUCCUAAUUAAUUUUAUGCACAUUAUAUAUAUAGUUUAAAUGGAAUGAGAUUCCUUUUCUUUCUUUCUACUUUCAUGUUGAAUGGAAAUUGUUUCAUAUAUCCCUAUUAAUAUUACAUAUGCACUUUGUCUUUGUGAGAGAUGAGAUUUCUCAUCACCUGUUUCUUUUUACGAGCGAGAUGCCAAAUGCGCCAGCACGUAUUCUCAAGCCUAUUGCUGCGUUCACGGGUAUUCCUUGUAGCUAUUACCUGCACCAACACCACCACCACCACAUAUAUAUGAAUUCAUAUUUUUUUAAAGCAUUUGUUAUCACGAGUUCUGCACUAGGAGAAAAUCAGUAUUGUGUUUGUGUAAGUAAACAUAGACCUCUCAAACCUCAAAACAUAUUCUCAUCACUCAUCCUAUUCCUAUGUUGUGAAUCAGAUUCUGUUUCAUUGAGUUCCACAAGUGCUUUAUAUUAUCUCAUUCCAAUUAACUAAUUAAAUAUAUUUAUAUAACAUCCAUCAAGUGCUUUAUGGAAAUGCAUUAUCAUUGUUUUUCAAAACAGAUUUGUUUUCGAAAAUAUUGGUUAGAUAUUAAUUCAAUGUCUUGCUAGCACGGGAGAGGUAUGAUAUGAGGUUAGGAAAAGCUGCAAAAACUUGAGAGAGAGAGAGAGAGAGAGAGAGAGAGAGAGAGAGACCUUAACCCAUGUCCUGUGGAGGUCAGACUCAUCAAAGCUAUUGAUAACUUCUUCCACAAAGUACUUAGUGGGGCUAAACAUCUUUUCCUCCUUUACUUGCUCUUCAAACUUCGCAAUUUUCACCCUCCCGUCAUUCAUCUUCCUUGUGUUACUUCCUGCAUCCAAAAUUGCUUCCAAAUAACCGUUUAACCAGUCGUUUCCCGCCAUCUCUCUCUCUCUACUCUGCUUUCCUGCCCUGUUUCACCCUCCUUGUUGUUUCAAAGACACAGGCAAGGCUGAACGCUACUGCUUCAAGCUUUGGAAUGUGAAAUAAGAGAUGUUUCAAUGGCUUAUAUAUACAAAUAUCAGUUCAUGUAACUAAAAGCAUUGAGAAAUAAUGAGAAUAUAGUUCAAAAGUUCAAUUCCUGGAAUCUUGUAAUUAGGGAAUAAAAUAAAAUAGAAUACUGCAAGUAUUAGAUUGCAAAGUAUAUCUCAUGUAUAUAUAUGGUUUGAUGCUGACUAAAAAAAAUUUAUGCUCUACAGUCUAGAGAGAGAGAGAGAGAGAGAGAGAGAGAGAGAGAGAGAGAUGGUUUCAAAGAAACUUGAACUUUGAAACCAUCAUGGGUGAAGAAGCAAAGCUCCUUAUAAAGGCUUCGCCUUUUAAAUUGGCACUAAUUUUAAUAUUCAUAUAUCUACAAAUUUGUCAAUAUGGAUUGGGUGGUUUUGGUUCUCUCAUUUUCGUGUAGAGGUUGAUCACACAAAUGAUAUAUUUAUUCUCUCCUCAACACUGGAAAAUGUUAUUUUGAAUUUACAAUGAGAAUCCAUUUCCAAUUAUACAAUCAUAUAUAGACUCCAACCGAUCUGAAUUUAAGAUGGGGCAUAUGAAAUUGAAAGAGGAAAACCGAAAGAAAAAAGGAGAAACAAAUGCGAACAUCAAUAUCCCACAAUGAAAAUUGAUAGUCCAUGUAUGCAUGUGUUAUAACUAGUAUCUACCUUGACACUUGUCAAAAAUGUCCACACGUUAGUACAAAAUAACAUUGGGAAUAAACUAUUCUCAUAUUCAAAAUGUCUGGAUGUUAAGUCGAUCGACUAGGUUAAAUUUUGUGAUAUUUUGUCUUUGGAUGUAUAUAUCGACAGCCCAAUUUUGUGUGUGUGUCCUUAUUUUAUUUUUUAAAAUUUAUGACUGAUUUCGAUAGAAUUACUUCAUUGUUUAUCUUUAACUCUAAAUCUUAAGCAAUAAACAUAACGAUAGAUAGAUUCUCUAACGAAGAAUUAUAUAAAAUAGUAAUAAAAUUGUAGCUCAAGUUAUUAAGAGUAUUUAUCAUUGCACCUGAGGUCUUAGAUUCAAUUCCCCACUUCCCAAUAUCAUUUAUAUAAAAUAAAAAAAUAUUAAAUAAAAUGUACACAAGACGAUCGACGGGGCGAUGGCACUCGAGUAUGGAUACCUAUAUAUGCAUUAACAUGACAAGUAGAAUACCUACCAAUAUACCCUUCCACUCCCUUACCGUUCCUUUUCUUUCCUUUUCCUUUCUUUUCUUUUUCCUCUUUUCAAAGUUUCAAUUGGGGCUAGGAUUGUGAAAGAUUGAUAAUAGUGUAGCACCAAUGGGCAAAAAGGCAUUUGAUAUCAUGUAAAAGAGAAGAGAAUCAUUUUUUGUUAUAAUGGUGGCGUGAAAGGGGACCUUUUGGGACUUUUACAGUACAUUUUUUGUUUUGCAUAUAUAAUUUUGCAUAUUGUCUGUCAACUAUUUUGGCAUGAGAGCAAAGAGACACUCUCGUUAAGUAUUUUUGUCUUCAUUGGCACAACAGACAAGUCUUUCCAUUCUCUAGUUAUUGGUCCGCUUCUCCUCCAAUCCCUUCUUCUAUAAAAUUAUUUUUCCACAAAUCAAAUGUAUUUUGCACUGCACUCCAUUUCUUAUGGGAGUUAAUUUUCACACUCCUCUUUUUUUUGUUUAUACUUUAUUUUAUUUUUUAGAACACUUCCAUCCAUUUAUCAUGGUAAAGGGCAAGGGGAGGCAAGGACUAUUACUAUUCACUUAAAUAGUGGCAGCCGUUGGAAAAGGCUUGUGGUGUUUCCGCCCAUUACCAUGGCAAUCACUAUUCACAUAAGAUAUGAUGAGAGGAAUUUGUAUAAAGUUUUGGUAUGGGAAGUGAAAAAUAUGACUACGUUUUUAUUUUUUUUAAAUUCUGAAAUUUUUUUUUUUUUUUUGGUUGCUGACCUCAGCAAACCCAAGGUAGAGCAAGGGCUAGUUUUGCCUAAGGGCCAGCCUAGGCUUGUGGAGCCCACACCCAACUCGGGCAAAAAAAGCCUGCUGGAACGCCUUUUUCUUCUUGGGGCCCCCUUGCCCGAGCCCUGGCUAAUCGAUGGAACUGCUUUUAAUACUUUUUAAUCAAUUUUGUUUUUUUUUUUGUUCUUUCUCUUUUCUAUUCUACUCUUAUCCUACAUUAAUAAAAUUAAAAAAAAUUUAACAUAAAAUAAAAUAAAAUAAACAAAAACGAAAAAAGAAGUUAGAGAAUCUUCUACUCCUUCAUCUUGUCUUUCCCACUCCUCCACCACAAAAACGAAACUCAGCCACUAUCUCCGACGAACUUGAGUUGUUUCCAGGGAAUACCAAAUUUUGGCAUAUGAAUCUACAAUAAAUUAUUUUUUCAGUCUUUUAUGAAUCAUGCUUUCCCCGUUUCUAUAAGAACCCACAAGAAAAUAUACAUAUUCAAUUUUUGAUGUGUUUGUUUUAAAAAAUUAAAGUAAAUUUAGGUUUUGACCACACAAAAACUUUUACUUUUGGAAAAAGCCAAAAUUUGUAAAGGAUUCCUUAGGAAAUCCAAAAAUAAAUAAGGGCAAUUUUGUCAAUUUAAACUUUUUUUUAAAAAAAAAAUUUCUCCUUUAGUCUUUUCCAAAGUCUUAACAUGAACUAAUACGGUAACCAUUAAUCAUGCCUCCUAAUUGGAAAAAAGCAAAGUCUUUGCAUACUAUUCUUUGCAGCAAAACAUGCAAUCCAUAAAACCACUUUUGACAGAAUGAAGGAAACCUUUAGGAAUUAAUCCUUAAGCUCAAGCGAGACAAUCAAAUGUCGUCCACAUACAAAUUUAUAUUUUUCUCGAAAAUAUUUAGGCAAAAAAAAAAAGGGGCUCUUAUGAUACGUGUUCACUAUUCAUUGAAGGCGUAGAAGACGCUCUCACUUCUUUCUUCUUCUCUUUUUUUGUUUAAUGUUUUAUUUUAUGUUAAAUUUUCUUAAUUUUAGUUAUCAAAACAUCAAUGUAGGGUAAGAGUAGAAUAGGAAAGAGAAAGAACAAAAUUGAUUAAAAAGUAUUAAAAAGCAAAAUGGAGUGUAAGUGGAGAAAAGGAGAGUGGGAAAAUGAACUCCCUUUUUAAAUCUUCAUAUUAUAUACAGCUAAAAUGUACGUUUUUUAAAAUUAAAUUUGAGUGUUAGGUUAGGCUUUAAUCUUACUUAAAACUAACUACCCCUUAAUAAAUUUCAGGUUUUCUAUAAAAGCAAAAUUCCAUUAAUUUUCGAGUUUACAUAGUUUAGAUAUAAACAUAUAGUUAGAAUCCUAUGAAUUGAUUGAAUUAAGAAUCAUAUAUUAAGAAUAAUUUUUAAUGAAGUUGCUUUACUUUUAUCAUGGUUUCGGAUAUAUUCCAGUUGGUAGUCGUAUAUCUAUCAUUUCUUUUCUAUGAAAAAGUUUAAGUUUAAAAUUUUUCACUCCUCAAAUGUUGUAAAUCAAAAAUAAUAUUACAGUUGAAUGAGCUUAGAAAAUAGGGGGGGUUUCUCACACACAUACAACCAAGAUACCAUGGGAAUUCGAAAUUGAGACUUCUAGUUUACAAAUCAAAGUCAUUUUUCACUGAACUAGACCCCGUUAGCAUCAAAGUUAAACUAAACAUUAACCUCGACAUAAGAGAAUAAUCACUCACAUAAGUGCUUUUUUCACAACUUUUUAACCUUUCCAAAAUAUUCCACUAAUUAAGUUGGCAUGCAUGGUAUAUUUGAGUGAACUAUCUAUGUAUCUUGUUGGGCAUCAGAUUCCUUAAAGCAAAGACAGUUGGCAGCAGAGGCUCAUAUUGUGAUCACCUUACCUAAAGAUUGAACUAAUUGUAGACAAAACAAGUAACAAACAAUCCAUAUAUAUGACCAUGAAAGCAGAGAAAAAGAGAAAAUAAAAGGAAAUAUAUAUAUAUGAACAUAAAAUAGGGCGAAGUAAAGGAAAAAAACAAAAGAAAACCAGAGGCUAGGAAAGAGAUGGUAGUGUAUGAACAUGGGAGUUGGGAAAGUUACAUCAAAAUGAUAAAGAGAUGAUGAAGUGGGCAUCGAUGAGGAAGUGAGCAUAAUAUGGGGCUCAAAACCGAAAGGGCAAAAUACCAUAGGAUAUUUCAAGGAAUAUCCUAUGUGUUUAGGACUCUGUCACGUUUCUGGCCAUUCAAUUCUUUUCCUCCUUUUUAUCUUCCUCUCUCACCCUCUAACCCUCCCAUCCCAUGACAUCUACGCCACUUGCACUUAUUGACAUUACAGCCACUUGAUAACAAAUAAUAGGGCUUCGAUGCGAUUGGUGUACAGUACUGAUUCUUUCUUCUUAAAAUUGUCGGCUUCUUUGCAAGAAACUUAUAACUCAAGUGAUUAAGAUUAUUUAUCUUUAUACAUCCGACUCCCAAGCAAUGAUAGAAUGCACAUCUAGGCCAUUCAUUCUAAAUAUUUUUCAAUUCUUAUAUAAAUCAUCGUCCAUCCAUAUAUACAAUUUAUUUAUUUAUAGUGGCUAUGGUAUAAAGCAUCAGACUUUUCUCAAGAACAAUCACAGGAUUAUUGUUGUUUCCCAGCACUGGAAAGUUCCAAUAUUCAUGACCUUAUCACUGGGAAUUUAAAGUUUACCAUUAAAGAAACAAGAAUACAGUGACUAAUUUUUUUAAUAAAGAAAAAAAAUCAAAGAAAAUAAUGACUAAUUUAAUCACAAGAAUAUCACUAAUACCAAAAAGUUGUUAUUUGGGCGAAGGAUGUAGCCCUUUAUAAAGUCCUAAUUUAACGCGUCCCCUCUACAAACACGUAUACAUGUCGCAAUUCCCCAAGUACAUAUUAUGUAGAAUGAAAUGGAUGGGACAUAUCGCACAAUCUCAGCUUUGAGGAAGAUUUACAACAAAGUUCAUUUAAUUAGGUUCUAAUUUCUUAAAAAGAAGUUAAUAAUAGUGUCCUGCCCAUUUGCCGACGGAGUUUAACUCAAAAGACUAUUGUAUUAACUUAUAGAUCAGUGGUAUUAUGUUUGAAUUCCAAUAACAUAUUGUCAUUGUAAAUAAGUAAGAAAUUAAAGAGGAGUAGUAGAAAAUACAUGAAGUCCGCAUAUACAAACAGAAAUUCUCCUAUGCGAACGUAUAGACGUUUUUAUCGUGCAAAAGUAGCAUUCACAUGAUAAUAACGUCCGCAUAGAAGAAGAACGAAGGAAAACAGAUUGGACAGUUUUAGUCCAACCCUAUGUUUGACAAUACGGCAUAUUUAUUUAGUUAAAAAUAAGAAUAUUGUAUUUACUACCUUGUAGCAUCCAUAGUUUGUGUUGGUUAUUAUUUUGUUGUUGCUGUCGACAACAAUGGAUGUUGUGUUGCAUAUGCAUGCUCUCUUUUGUUGUUUGGCUACAAGUACAACUACAUCAACUUGAUUGAAGAAGCCAUUAGCACCAGAAUUACUGCUACACGUGGAACUUGAAAAUAACAGUUGAACAUGUUUGUAUAACGAUGUAGAUUGUUUUUGGUGAGCCGGCUUCAUUCCAUGGUAGAUUGUUUACUAACAUCGGUCUGCAAGUGCAAGAUAUCAUCCAAAUCAUAUAACAAGCUAUUUAAUUUAAUUUCUUGUUUUCUUGUUAAUGGUUGCCGGGUCGGGGCUAAUGGAAGAGGAGAAGACUUUCUUCACUUGUAUGCAUAACAUCACAUUUGACGACUUUCUUCACUCCUAUGCAUAACAUUCCUUACAAACUCUCAUACAUAGAAAAUAUAGAAUAGAAGCCAACAUAACAUCUUCAUAUGAUUAAGCUCAAGAACAUAUCAGAUUUAAUGAGUCUGCUUGCUACCACAUCUAAAACAUUCAUUCAUUUCAUUUUCAGUGUUGUACGUAAACUGUCAGAGGCUCAAGAAGAACUAUAAAUUGUGAUUGUAAUUUCAUUUUAUUUUUACAGGUAGUGGAAUAGCAUGGAUCACAGGGGGAACCAAAGCUGGAACCUGUACAGGAAUUUUCCUCUUCAGGUCAUGUAAAGUCAGUGAUAUAUAAGAAGAACUUCUGCCGGCAACCCAAACAGUUUCUCAAAUGUUGGAUGAAUCCCUAUGAGGUAACCAUUGAUUCAAUUGAAGUUUUUAAACAUUCAGUAGGCACCACUAAGGCAGUACGACUAAAUGGCAUCGUAGUUUUAAAAUUCAAGCAAAUAAAAGAAAGAAGAGAUUGUGAUACAGUUUCCUCACCUUGUUUCCAUCAUCAUCAACUAGCCCAUGAUUGUUUCAACUCCUUUGUUUUUGUCAAAAGAAAAAUUCUCGACUGCAACUUUGGCCGACAAGGAAGGAACAAGCUUGCUCUCUCAGGGGACACCCGCCUCUUGGAGUUCAGAAAAUUGAUCUCGGGUGGCGUAGUGGCAUAGCUUGGUGAAAGGGGCCAUCCAAAUCAAAAAGUUCCACAUCUAGCAAUGGAGGUUCUUCCGUGGCAUCAAACGCAGGUAUCUCUGCCCCAUUUUUACAAGGGCUGUAAGUGAAGUUAUUGGUAAACAGAAACUGAUAAAACAAGAAAAAGUCCUCUCCAUUUCAUUCAGGUUCACUAGUUUGAAGCUUGACAGAGUUUGUUGUUGUUUCAACAUUGCUCGUGAAUCCCACGUAGGGUUAUUAGAUGCAAUAAAAUUAGCAACCUAGGAAGUCAAGAAACUUAAAAUAUGACUUGGUUAUUAGAUGACAUCACAAGUAUCUUGCAUAACAAGCAUUCAACAUUGUUGUAUUUCGGGAAAAUGCAUUACAACUGGUGGCAACAUUUGAUGCUUCAAAUUUAAUGAAUUUGCUCACUACAGAAAGUUCAACUAAAACUACAUAAUUAUAAAGGACACAAGCUUUUCUACAUAUUACCAUAAAGCAAACCUUAAAUCUCACAACUAUUGGACUGAAAGAACAAAACUUUAUAAGGCUUCCACCUCUUCCAAGCUUGAAUGGAUACAGGAAAUAGAAGUAAAAAGAAAGUGAACAAAAGAAACAGAAAGGAAUAGCAAGACAAAUUUUUUGCAGCAAAUUGCACGAAAUCAUAGCUGCUGGUCAAGAAUAGGGUCUCUAGCAGUUCUUGGAGAUCCAAUAUAUUCAGACACACCAGAAACAUAAUCCUUCAACCAGGAAGUGCUGCGUGUCAACCAUCCUGUUUCUUCUCGUUCUUGUACUUGAAGCAUGCUCUUCCUUUCUUCUUCCACCAGUAUCUCUAACCAUCUCUUGGCCAUGAAAACCUUGACAGCUUCCACACCUUGUUGAACUACGUCCGGGGGUGGAAGCACAAGAGGGUUCCCAUCCACAUUAAGUUUGGUCAAAUUGUCCAGGCGGCCAAAAGUAUCUGGAAGAGCAUGAAUCUGAUUGUUGCUGAGGUCAAGUUCCUUGAGGUUGGUUAAAUCACCGAAAGUGUCGGGCAGCUCUGUGAGAUCGGUAAAAUUACUGCAGAGAUUGAGGAUUUGAAGAUUGGUCAACCGGCCAAAGGCUAGAGGAAGGCCGCGGAGCUCAUUGAAGUGAGCAUCCAAGUAGCGCAAGGACCUCAACUCACAGACAGAGGUGGGAAGGGAACGUAUUUUGUUUAAUUGGAUAGAAAGCUUCUGUAGAUUGACCAACUCAAAACCAAUGUUGGUUGGCAAGUAUGUGAGGCCGUUGAAGCUCACAUCCAACUCCACCAAUGACCUAACCACAUUUCGCAAAACCAAACUACUAAUCAUUCCAUUUCUCACUCACUCAUACACACACACAACUCAGUCUUACUUAUUGUUAUAUUGUAAUAAUUAAAGAAAAACAAGAUACAAGCUUUACAAUUUUUUAGAAUUUACCUGCAUUGACAGAUAGAGUCAGGAAGGGCACUUAGCUUGUUCCCAUAGGCACUCAGGACCUUCAAAUUCUGCAACAUCCCGAUUGAGUCUGGCAGUGCCUCCAGAAGAUUCGAAGACAAAUUUAGCUCUUCAAGCUUCUCUAAUCCAGCUAUUGAAUCAGGAAUUACCUGUUCAAAAUUGAUUUUUUUUUCCUUAAUUCAAUAUUAACAAGUUAAUUAAAUCAAAUCAAACCAAAUGAAAUGAAAUCUAACCUGGAGUUCAUUAUUGGAAAGAUCGAGCAUAAGCAAACCGCGAAUCCGGCCAAAGGCCUCGGGCAAGAACCGCAACCGCCGACCGGAGAGGUUGACCCUGUCCAGCUCGGUUCCGGAGGCCUCCUGUAGAAUCCCAACCACCUCCUCAUGGACUUGGUCGCUGGUGAAACCCUCCUCCUCCACCUUGUCAUCUUCGACGAUGACGCCGGCCUCGGCCGACUCGUAAAUCUUGACGAGCCUCUGCUCGGCGUCCUUGAGAAGCUUCUCGUAGGCGGAGUGCAACUCAUCCAGCUGCACAAUCGCCUUGUAACCUUGUUUCUCCUUCUCCGCCGACUCGCGGCACUCCUGCUCUCUCUCCGCAAGGUGGGCCCGCCACUGGAGUCGGUCGACGUCAGCAGGGCGGGGCGAGAGAACGAGCUCCUCUAGCUUCUUUGCCAAAUCGGAAUCGACGGCGGCGAGCCUGGCCUUGGAAACGUCGACGGCCUCGUGGUCGGGGCGGUCGCCGAGGGUUUUGAGAACGGAGCGGGUCUGGGAGACGUCGGAGAUGGCCCGGGUCAUGGAGGCGAGGACCUUGGGGUCGGACAAGUGAGGCAUGUGGUCAACGAUCGUGGUUUGAGAGGAGGAGGAGGAUGGAUCGGUGGAGGAUUUGGAUGGUGGUUGUGGGUGGGCGUCGAUGUGGAUGGAAUGGAGGUCAGAGGCGAUGGGGGUGGUGGGUGCGGUGUGCUUGGUCCCCAAGGAGGGGAGGCGGUUCAUGACGUAGGAGAGGAUGGGGAAGUUGGACGGGUUGGGAUCCAUUUGGGUCGUGUCGGAGGAGGAGAAAGUUGAGUGGAUUGAUUGAUUGAGUUUGAGAAACACAGAGAGAGAGAGAGAUAGAGUGGUGAGGAGAGGAGAGUUGAGAGUUGUGAAGAAUGAAAAUGGGAUGAGUAAUUAACGUCGUUUCGUUUGUGAAGAAGGUAUGCCCGAUUUUGGAUAUGGGUUUUUGAGGGCGUAGAUAACGGAAUUAAUGACGGACUUGACGAGGUCAGGUUUGAAUUUGAGAAGCUCAUCGUGGGGUGGGGAGGAGAGAGAGACUGUACUGGAGUAUGAAUAUAAAAUUAGAUUACAAGUGUCCAAAAUGAAAAUCUCAUCGUGGCUUUUGCUCAUACAGACUCAUGUCCAAGGGCUGAUCCACGUUAAGGCUACACUGGACUCCAGCCCAGUGAUGAGUAUUGUGAAAAUGAAAUUAGGCUUAAUUGUAUAACUCAAUCCAGGCAAAUCAAAAUAGUAGCCCACCCCAAUGUAAAGAAAUCACCACAGACAGAUACCAUCUAGACAGCCCAACGUGAGCAUCCUUAUUAAAAAUUCAUACAGCCUCAACCACUACUUUAGACCUGUUUAUGCCCGAAACAACCAUCAAUGAGAGCCUGACACAUGGACAGAUUGGGCAUCGGUAGGGAAGCCCUCGGCACCCACACUUGCCGAUCUCACGGUCAAAACCCCAAUCACCCACCGGACACGUGGCGCACUCAAAGUAAAUAUCUACAGUCCCACAUCGAAAUUCUACACAACUUGCACACCUUCCAAGGUCUAUAAAAGGAGCACAAUUCCCCAAAAUGGAGGUAAUCUGAACUCUUGGCAUACUGCCUAUAGGCCUGUUCAGUUCGCUUACUAAAUCCGUACUUACUUAAGCAUCGAAGAGCUUUCGGUCAGUACCACACUAGUGCCCUAGGUCUUACCGAGUGAAUACUCUUCUGGCAGGAUUCACCUCUGCGAGGUCCAGCAAAAUCAGAAGGCCUAGACAUCACUAAGUUGAGCCCAAAAGUGCUCAAGAUAGACCUAUUCCAAUGAAUUCUUCGUCUAGAUAGACCUAUCCCCUUCAGAUCAUUAAAAAAAAUAGACCAAUCCCGACGAAUUUUUCUUACAUGAUUUGACAUUCUUAUUAUUUUAUUUUGAGGAGGAUAAUGCUUCCCUCCUUGCCUAUAAGAAGGAAUUUCUCCUUACCUAUUAACGAGGCUCAACCACAAUCUGACACGUGUCUCUCUUUCUAUAAUUAAUUAAAAUGAAAAAUAAAUACACCUUUAAAAAUAAUAAUAAUAAAAAAGAACUGUGAGUUUGUGAUUGAGUCACAUUAUUAGUAGGUAAGGAGGAGUCCCUCUUAUUAACAAAUGAGGGAAGCAUUAUCAUUUUGAAGCUAUCUGAAGCUUGGCACAGUAAAAGGCAUAGAGAAAAAAGAUAAUCUGACAUGUAUGUAAAAAUGAUUCAUCAAAAACAUAAAAAAGAGAAUCCCAUGCGUUGUAGUCUUCAAAUUUUGAAGCCAAGCAUGGCCAUGAGACUGAGAACCGUUGCACAAGCAACGGCAAGGAGGCCUCUCUCUUUCAUGAUCACCUGGAACAAGUAGAUUGCGACAUCAGCGGUGAUGAGCUUCCCGCGUCGAACCAAAACCCGACGACGAUUCCCGGCAAAUGUUAGCAGCACAAGCACUGUGAUCCACGCCAUCAUGGUCGUCCGUGCCGCGAUCACAACCAAUGCUAGUACCAUCAACGCUCCCAGAACUGGGAGUAAGAGGACUGUGAUGUGGUCGUUGUAGAACAGGAGGACCCACAGAGAUGCCAAGAAAGACAGCAAGAACGUCGUGGUUGCAGCUGCUUGUGUUCUGGACAAAAUCAUGGCUGAGGCUGAGGCUGAGGCUGGGGGAUGGGUGAAAACGAAGGAAGGAUCGAUCACCAGGAUGGCUGAGGCUGCUUGUGUUGGGGUUGGUUUUUAGUUGUGUUGAUUAUUUUAGUUGAAUUGGAAAUAAUGAAGGAUGUGCGCGCACAUGGGUGGGUUGGCAAUGGGCCAAUGGCAUGGCAGAUGAACCUACCAACCAAACCAACCAAGCUCAAUCACAUUAUAGCGUCCGUUGAGCCAACUUAAUGAUGGUGGACCUUAAUUUGCCAGCGGCCCCUGUAUAUGUAUAUAUAUACACAAUUCAUUCAUUGCCUUGCUUCAGUCAGAGCUGGAGAUAGACGCAUACAGAAGAAAUGGACCAAAACCAAAAGCAGCUAGCCUCCCCACAUCUUUCAUGGAGCCUCCGCCUCUUCAUGUCCUCCUUUUCCUUCGCCGUAGACGCCUCUCGCCGCUCAAACGGCACUCUCAACCGUUGUUUCAUCAACCUCCUGGACUUCAAAUCCCCUCCUCUAACGAAACCUCACAAAAACCUCAAAAGCUCUGACGUCAUCGUCGACUCGUCCCGCAACCUCUGGUUCCGCCUCUACACUCCCACCGCCUCCCAAUCCGCCACCACCCUUCCCGUCAUCGUCUUCUUCCACGGCGGAGGGUUUGCGUUCAUGGCCGCCAACUCAAAACCUUACGACGACUUCUGCCAGAAGCUCGCUCGCGAACUCCCAGCCGUCGUGGUCUCUGUCAACUACCGCCCCACUCCUGAGCAUCGGUAUCCGUGCCAAUACGACGACGCACUCGACGUCUUGAAAUUCAUGGAGAACGACGGCCACUACUUUGAGGGCGCGAAUCUCAAACAAUGCUUCCUCGCGGGAGACAGCGCGGGUGGAAACAUAGCGCACCACGUGGCGCUCAGAUAUAGCGGACACGUGUUCCAGAAUCUGAAGGUUGUUGGGAUCUUGUCGAUCCAGCCGUUUUUCGGAGGAGAGGAACGGACGGAACCCGAAAGGAGGCUGGUGGGAGUGCCGAUAGUGAAUUUGGAGCGGACGGACUGGAUGUGGAGGGCGUUUUUGCCGGAAGGGUCGGAUCGGGAUCACCCGGCGGCGAACGUGUUCGGACCCAAAUCGGAGGAUAUAUCGGGGUCGGAUUAUCCGGCGACGAUUGUGUUCGUGGGAGGAUUUGAUCCGCUGCAAGAGUGGCAGAAGAGAUACUACGAGGGGUUGAAGAAAAGCGGGAAAGAAGCUGAGCUGGUGUAUUAUCCGAACGCCAUUCAUACUUUCUAUGGUCAUCCGGAGUUAGAAGAGCGUGCUGCUUUUUUUAACAAAGUCAAAGAUUUCGUGCAAUUGCAAAUUGUAAGCAGACAGAACAUAAAAUAGGAUAUCAUUCAGGAGGAUGAUAUCAUAUAUGAAUGGUAGGGGCCAUCCAUAGUGGUUUUGUUUAAGUGGCUAGUUAAUGAUUUUCUUGCAAUUUUAGUCAAAAUUAAUUUAAGGAAAGGAUUCCGAUUACCAUUCCAGUUCCAGGUAGCUCUCUCAUAGAAAACCUUUCAUCUCAUUGGCGGUCUGUAAAAGCCUUUCACUCAUUCACGUCACGUAAUAAAAAAGAUAGACACAUAACUACAGUUAAGGAAAGUCUCACAGACGAAGUUUUUCUCCACAAGUAAUGGCACAACACCUGACACGCAUGCUCGAUGUCCACACACAAGAGAUAUAUGAGAUUAGCAAAUAUUAUAGCUUUCUUAGGCCAAGUUUGGGAUUGCUGUCGCUUUUAAAAAAAGUUGCUUCUACUGUGCUUUGAAAAUAAUUAACUGUAAAAUAAAGCAGCUCCACAUUUGGUAAACAAUAUUUUUAAAGUGCUGUUAGUACAAAAAACAGUGUCAAAACCGUUUGGUAAAUUUUAAUAUAAAAUUAUUGUAACUGUGAAUAAUGACUAAAAUAGAUAUGAUGUUAAAAGUAUUAUGUACUAAUCAUGUGGUGGUAGUGGUAGUGAUGGAGUGGAGGUAGUGGUUGUGAUGAAGGUGGAGUUGGUGGUUGUGGUAGUGGUGGUGGUGGUGGUGGUGGUGGUAGUGGCAACAUGGUGGUGGUUGUGGUGUUGGUUGUGGAGGUGGUAGUGGAUGUGGAGGUUUUGGAGGAGGUGGUUGUGGUGGUUGUGGAGGUUGUAGUGGAUGGGGAGGUUUAGGAGGAGGAGGAGGUAGUGGUGGUGGUGGUGGUGAAGAUGGUGGUUGUGGUGGUGGUGAUGGUGGCGACGGAAGAUGAGGAGGAGAAGGAUGUGGUGGUGGUGGUGGAGGAAGUGAAUGUGAUGGUGCAAGUGGUGGAGUUGGAUGUGAAAGUGGAGAUGGUGUCAUUUUUUCAAAUGAAUUAUGAUAUUUUGGGAAUUAAAAAAAUUCAUUAAAAAUUCAUCUCUGCUUCUUUUGAAAACAACUUUGAAAAACAACCCAGACCUGCUUUUAAAAGCUUCUGUCAAAAGGCUAUUGCUUUUAAAAUAAUCGUGAUAUUUUAUUUUUACCGAACACCCUAAAUUGCUUAACUUUAAAGUGAAUCAGAUUUUUAGCCAAAAGAAAAAAAAAACAAUCCCAAACGGGACCUUAGUAGAACAUUAUAUACAACUACAUAGGUCUGUUGAAACGCUAUAAUUAUUAAGCUAAAAAUACAAAUAUUGCAUAAUUUCCCCCAAAAGAAAAAAAAAACUCAGAUAUUGCAUUGAAAAUUCAGCUCCGUACUCUCCAAAUCCAAGUUCAAUAAAUAAAGCCCUCUGGUUCUCAUCUAUGGGUUCGUUGUAUCAAGCACUACUAUUGUGCACUUCGCUUCCACCACAACAAUCAACAACGCCAUCACUUCCAAUCUGAAAUCACCUCCUUUUCACAAUAUGACCUGUCAGAAAACUGUAAUAUUUCACAUCCAACAAUACUCGAGUACAUGUAUCUUUACGAUUCUUGGGUUCUUUUCAGGGGGGGAAAAACUACAAUUUUCAUAAAGGAAUUAACUAUUUACAAAUCAAUGAAAAUUGGAUAAUAAAUCACAUCCAUAAAUCACAAAAAUGCAGUGGCCGGCCGGUCAACUGUAUUAUUUGUUGGAAGUUAAAUAUCAACUGUAACGGGAUCUAUCAAUAGACAUAUCGACAAAAUAUCAAUCUCAAGAAAACCUUAGACGGAAAUUUUGAAUCAAAUGUAUUAACACUGCUGGAAAAAAAGCAUCGAGGAUAUUAUAGGUCUUUAAUACUGUUCGGACACAAGUCAUUACAUGAUUGUUGAUAUAAAUGCUGAAACACAAGUCAUUACAUGAUUUCCCUUUUAUGUCAAUCUAACAACAGGACUAAUAUUGUUCAUCAUGAACGUAGUAGUGCUGGGAAGUUUUUUUUUUCCCACCUAAAGUAAUAGUAGUUAUCUCUGUAUUAGCUAUUCCUAAAAGAAAGUUACCGUAAGAAUAAUAUAAAUGAGAGACAAGGCACCUAUCAGUUUAUUGAAAAACUAAAAUAAUAGAUAGCUGGCCAACACCAAUAUGUCUGUCAUAAGACAGUAUGAUAUGGCUACUUGUCCUAGUCAAAUUAAUAAGAAUAAUUUACCCUAUGCUGCUCCUACUACCAUCAAGAAGAAUCAAGUAUACCAACCUUUCUCAACCACUCAUCUCCUGGUUUUAUCAAGAACCUCAAUGAAUCUCUUUGGGAUCCCAUAUUGUUCAAUCAUAUGCUUUGCCAGAUCAUCAAUCACACCACCUUGAACCACAACCUCAUGCCCUUUCUUACCUGAAAAGAGAAAUAUAAAUGUAUGUUCAUAAGAAAACCUAGGAAGGGAUCCUCAAGAAGCCACAAUAAGUACUAUUCCCAGACAACCAAACUUGCAAGAUGCAUUUCGUACUAUCGGAGAAAUUGUAUCAUCAUACAAUAAACAAGAAGAAACAACAUUUACAUGACUAAUAGGAGCACUAAUAUUCGAACCCCCCACCACCCAAAAAAAAAAAAAGAGAACCACACACUCUUACUUGGUAUGGGGAACACAGGACCAUCAUGUUUUCAAAUAUAGAAAAACAAAAAAUAAUCACCUCUGCUUAUCAUCAACAAAAGACAAAUAGAAAGGCAGAAAUGUAAUAUUACCUACUGAAAACUUUCCACAGAGACAUUAAUUUUUCUAAUAAAUGGCUACAUAAACAUUCCAAGUCAUGAAGAGAAAAAGUUACGACCCAACAGACAUUCAUUCAGGGACAAUGGAGCACUGCACCUGGUAGUUCAACCACUGUUGUGCUGCAAGCAAACUUCUUCUGUAGCUCUGAUGCCAAAGCUUCAGGGUCCACCAAAAAAGUUUCCAGUCCUGACAAUUUGGUUACUUUCUUAUUACCUUGCCGCCUUUCUGUCAUUAUUUGUAUUGUUUUCAAACCACCUUUACGAACAACCGACUCACUUCCCCUCGUCACAACAUGAUGGGCUUGCAUCCGGUUUACAAAUGCUGCUCCUAAAUCCCUCUUAUGAAUUUCCGUUGGGUACAUUGUACCUUUUUUUAUGGCUCCUUUGAACAGUGCAUCACAUAAUAUUGGAUCCAAAACCACAAUGGAUUUAUCUGUCUGCUUAACCAAGUUUUCUUUUUCAACAUAUGUAAAGACAAUAUCAGUGGCCUCUGAAGCACUGUAAAGUUUUCCUGUGUCAGCCCCUACAGAAGCUAAUAUGGGAUUUACGUGUACACUUGGUUUAUAGACCUCGACCACUUCAAGCAUUUUGAGUGACCGACUUUCACUGACGGUAGGAACACCAGUUUGAACAGUUUUCUCCACUUGCCGUUUCUCUGGCUUGAAAGAUGAGUAAUCUGGAUGCUUGCGGUUAACGGAUAAUAAUAUGGACUCCUUUUUAUAUUUAUCUUCUUUCACCGUAAUCUGCGCAUGUUUUGAAGCCAACAUAGCAUGAGCAACGAGAAUAAAGAUUCAUCUAAAAAACUUAACUGUAAAAAGGCAUAACAGUUACAAGAACAUCAAAAUUCAAUCACCUGUCUCUGUUAAACUUCUCUACUUAAUCAAGGUUAUCACCCCCUUUCAGAACAUACCAGAGAUUUAUUAACAAGCUAAGCAUAAAUAUCAACAAGACUCAAAAGUCACAACUCAGUACUGCUUCCAAAAUACAACUUGCCAUCUACGCAUAAAUUCACAGAAAAGGUGCCCAUGAACCACUAUUCUCCAGUUAUAGAUAGCUAAACUAAAAUGAAGAAAAUCAUGCCUUCUUUUUUUAUCAGCAGAAUGGAAAACUAAAGACAACAAAAUUGAAAGACAAGUCAUCAAACGAAGAAAUGCACUGCUGAAACCAAUAAAGGAAGACCAUAUGACUGAUCUUGGAAUUAAAGUUUUUUUUUUUUUUUGCUCACUGUAUACUUCUUUUUCAUAAUGCUCGUAGAAACUUAGGAUAAAAUCUUUUUAGUCUCUCUUCCAAGUUCCAAAGCAAUCCUAUUAACAUAGCUGAGACCAAUAAUGCCACUCAUAACUCUCAAAAAUCAAUUUAACUUGACACAUAAGAAUACCUCUGAAAACAUUUAAACUUAAUUCUUCAUGUAUGCCUGACUAUAAUAAAGCACAACCUUAAAUUUACUAGAAUACAGAUUUAUAACUAUAAAUAAGUACUGUUACAACUUUGUCCGUGCUUGCUAAAGAGUAAGACUCACAACUUAAUUCAGCAUCCUAUUCAUUACUAUCACUUGGUGCUCUUACUACAAGACCACUUAGAAGUUUAGAACUCAUUGGCUUGCAAAAUCAAGAAAACUAGAGGAUAUCCAAUAAGAUACGAGCUCCCAAAAUGACAAGGUUAAAGCACUAAAAGGGUUCUCUUUCAAGGAGAAGAAAAUGAAAAGCUGUACGCACCAAUCCCGUAGAAGAUUUAGCUUGUAACCACUUCGAUAAUUUUUUGUAUGAUGAUUUCUUGAUGUCUAGUGUGAUCCCGGAAGGCCUACAAGGCAAAACAUGGUUUGACCUGUAGAAAACAAAAAACAAAAAACAAGUGAAGGAAAUUUUAUAAAUCAAAUGUUUACACCAGAGAGAGAGAGAGAGAGAGAGAGAGAGAGAGAGAGAGAGAGAGAUCAUGUGGAACAAAUAUAAUAUAUUUAUCAUACCAAAGUGUGCUUCCAGGCAUGGGAAGGUCUUUAUCCUUAACAGUUGUAUGCAAUGCUUGCAAAAGGCAUUUUUCUAAAAGCGUGUCUACAUCCUCAGUGGAAAGAGGAUGUUGAUCCUCCCCAAUUGACUGAUCAGCAGAGCCAUCAUCUGUUACCUUCAGAUCGUCUACAUGUGCAGCUAUUUCUUCAGCAAUCUCAUUCCCAGAAUUGGUCUGUGCCACCGAAGCAGAACUAGGUUCAGAGAGCACAUCAGCAACAUCAACAGAUUUCCCAUUUUCCUUAUCACUGAUGCCAUUCUGUUGAUCAUUUGAACUAUAAUUUGCACCAGAGUAUGAAUCAGAAACUUGCAAUGAUGACAAGGUAGGAUCCUCAAACACAACAUCUUCAAAAAACCCGGCAUUUGGCACAUAAGGACACUCUACUGAUUCCCUGGAAAAAGAUCCCACAAAAAAUGUUAUUAUACAAAAUGUCCAAUUAUUGAUCAAUCUCUAUGUCCGUUUCUCCACAGAUACCUACCAAAGUAAGUCAUGGUAAUAGUGCAUAAUCUUUAAGGCCUUUCCUCGUAAGCCAGCUUUUGCUGCUUCAGUACUGCUCAUAGUGGUAGUCCCCACCUGUAGUGAAAUUGACAAAUAAGAAGAAUAUGCCCUAAUUUUAAUUUAAAUAAAUAAAUGAACUGAAGGUUUGUCCUGGUAAUCCUAAAUGCAUUAGCAUAUACUUAUUAAAAAGAGCCUUACAGCAAUUGGAGCUGGAUUUCCUGGAACUUUUACUGCCCAUGCUUCCCCUGCUAUAAAUGAAGGUAGACCUUCAGCAGGUAUGCUGAUACCAGGGAACAUCAAAUCCGCCCCUCCAAUGAUAUAUCGAGAAACCUCACCCCCUUUCAGGACGAAAGAAGGCAAGAGAUCAGGGACCUUCCAGAGCGCAUAAACUGAAAUGGAAAACCAUCAAGCAAACAAAAAUUGUGAUUAUGUUGCACAUAUGCUCUGACUAGCAUAUUUUGCAUGAUUGACCACAUUCGACCAGAGAGACUUCUUCAACUUUUUAUUGACCCAAAUUAGGAAGUAAACAACCAAGUCCUAUGUUUCUUCAGCUUUGUACAUUCUUUUAUAGAAAUUAUUAAUAAUUUAAAUUGCUUUACUUAUAGUUUGGCGUCACUCUUAUUCCAAACCAAAUUAGGGGCCAAACUUCUCGGCAAUUUUCAUUUAUUUCCUUUCUGAAUUACCCGUAGUAGUGUGCAUGUGCAGUGUGUUCUAAAGAUUUUUAAGAUACAAAUCCACUUAACAUUAAUUUGGGAUCAUGCCUCAACACUAUUGUGAGAAAAGAUUGCACUAUAGAAAGAUUGUACACUCACAUGGUAACCUUUCAAACAUAACUUCUACAACUUAUAACACAAUGUAACCCAAUCAAAAAAACACUUAAACAAGCCAAACCAGUUCCAAAGAGAAAUAAAUACAGUUAUUUAAAAAAUAAGAAGAAUUAAUUACACUUUGGAACUUCAAUAGAUUAGUUAAUUUAACGUGUUCAGUUCGUAACUAAAUCUUUCACUAACAGGAAACAGGAACUCAAGUAGUCAUGUGACAGCAUGAAAAGUAGUUCACAUUAUAAUUUGUUUCAAAAAAGUUUCUCCAUAUAACAACCAAAUUGCGCAUCAUGAAAUGCAGGAAAUUUAGAUUUAUAUAUAUAUAUAUAUAUACAGAGAGCUUCCAUUGAGGGACGCCCUUGUAGGGCUCACUUCGCAUUGUAUUUCGCUAAUCCAAACCGUCUAUUUUUUAGAUAAUCAUUCAAAGAUCAUCUCUACAAAAAAUCACUUGAAUUUGAUAUCAUUUGAACAUUCAAUUGAGUUAUUGAAAUUUUAGUACUUUCUUGAAGCACCGUGUUCAUUGAUUUUGUAGGACACGAUUGGAUGUCGAAACGGUUUCCAAUUUGUCUAAUUUUUUGCAAGAAUGAUCUAUGAAUGUAGACUUAAAAAAUAGAUGGUUUGGAUCUUUGAAAAAAAUUUCGUAGGGGACCCUAAAGGGUGUCCCUCAAUAGAAGGGGGCUGUGUGUAUGUAUAUGUAUAUAUAUUAGUAGACAUUAUUUGUUUGAUUAGGCUCUCUUUCGAGAAUUAUCAUAGCAAUCAAAGUAGUGUCUUUGAUACACAUACUCAAACAGAAAGUUAAAAUUAUCGUCUUCAUACUUCUUGGUGUCAUGCUAGCAUCAACCUCAUUCAAAAGAACUACCUAGUCAAGUGUCGCACAUACUAGAAAAAUAUAGUAAGGCUAAAAACCAAACUAAACAUUAAGGAAAGAAUAUUUGAAAAAGAUGGUGUGAUACCUGUGGGAAAAAUGUCUGUGCCACGCCCAUCAAUAUCAAAGAAGAUAGGAAAGCCUCCCUCUACACCAUAUACAUGGACUCGAUUUUGAAAUUUUGCAACUGCUAUCUCCACCUAGAAGAUUACUUUCAUAAAAAGGUGCAGUUGUCAGUAAUGAAGCUAUUUUAUCCAAAAUAAAUCUAAUAUCAAAACUUCCCCACACUUAUUUCUUUUGUAAUUCGUACUGGAUGUUUCAUUAUCAACUCACUAACUUAAGAAUAAUUGCAUUCUGGUUAUUAGUACAAUCACUCACUGCAAUUGGCAAAAACUAGGUGCAAAAUUUUAGUCAGAAUGCAGUAAUUUGAACUCAGGGCACCAGUACAAAUGACAACCAAAACAAUGGAAAAAGAAGUCUACUAAACCCUCAACUAGAAUAGGAUUAGGCUAAUUUUGAAAAUCGAAAUGCAUACCAAAGUGCAUUUCGUGAAAAUUUUAAAAUUCAAAACUAGAAUAGGAUUAGGCCAAUACUAACAUUCUGGUAAACAAGGGAAAUGGCUCCUAUCUAAAAUGCUACACUACUACAUGGGAUAAAUAAAUAAAUCCUACUAAUCCGAACAGGAAUAAUAGAUUAUCCAAACUCAUCAUAAGUGUUUAAGAUUAAACAAAAACCUUAACCCCGCUUUCAACUACGCUUAAAAAACAAACCCAGAAUUCAUUUACCAAUCAUUGGAAGUAUUCAAAUUUUUCGAAAGUAACAAGAUAUAUACAUCAAGGCAGCACUAAAACUCGAGGAAGCAGAAAAACCCAGAAACCUACUGAACCCAUUUCGAAAUGAGAAAUGCCAAGCAAUCCCAUUACCCAAUUAAUGGAGAAACAACAUACAAAAUCUUGAAUUGAAAGACGACCUUGGGAGGGAGUAAAGAAUCGAUAUCGGACUCAGAAGCUCCGGGAAAUUUGUUUUUGAGGCUUCUCUUAAGCUUCUUCCUAUCAGCCCCUGACAGUCUCUGGUGCGACCUUGCUUCCACUGCCUUCUUGAACAUCUUUGUUUCUCAGUUCUUCUUUCUUUUCUGAGAGUGAGUUUUCACAUUUCAGGCAUGUGCUUGUGUUUGCGCUGUUUAGACAGAGUAGAAGGUUCUGGGCAAAAACUGCUAGGGCGGUGCUGUUAGCCCUUGGGCUUAAAAACAUAUAGUAAGGGGCUGUUAAAUGCACCCAAUAAUUCGAUCACUGCACCGGCCCGAAAAUAUACCCGAACUCUAUUUGGGCAAACACCUAAUACGAGUUAAACCCAAAACCAAAUGUGGGUUUGUGUAUAAAACGUGGACAUGCCUUAUCUAAUAAGUACGAGUCAUUUUAUUACGAGGACUUUAUCUAAGGUCAUUAGAUGGGGUCAUAUCUUUUUUAUUUGAUUAAACUAACUAAUUUAAUUCAAUGGCUAACUAAUUUGAUUUAAUAAUUAAGAGAUAAGAUCUCAUCUGAGGUUGUGCUAGCCGCACAAUUGUGGUUGGGCUAACUCAGUGUCAAACUUGCUUAUCAAAAUUUGUGUCAUUUGCGCAAGCAGUCUAAUGUGAUACUGUGAUUCUUGGGUUUGUGAUUUUAUUUGAAACUAAUCCCUAAAAUUGUUUAUUUCGUUAGGUAGGUUGAGAGGAAAUGCAAACCUUGAGCUUUCUUAACCUAAUCCCUAAAUUAGCAUUUCUUUUUAAGCCAAAAACAAAACCAACCUUUGUAAAGGGCAAUGGGGGAAUUAAAUUAUUGUUGUAAAUGUGAGAUAAAUAGACUUGUAUGAUCACAAACAAUCUCACUUUCAUCCAAUUAUUGUAUUAUGUCCUCUCUUGUCUUUUUGUUGGUCAUAGUUGUAUCUUCUCGGUUUUCUUAAUGUAACUCCUACCAUCACAACUCUUUUUUUUUUAAUGUAAGCGAUAGUCUACACCGAGAUGAGAGUUUGUCACACAUACUACCAAAAAUGUCAUGAUUGUUCAAACUUGAGAUCACUGUUGUGUAAGUCAAUGCAUUUUUCCACUAGACUAGACCCCAUUGCCCACAACUUUUCUUUUAAGUCAAACUCCUCCCAUCACAUUAUACAAUUGAGAAUUGGGUUAAGCUUUGACCAAAAAAGAAAAGAAUUGAAUGAGCUUUGACCAAAAAAGAAAACAGAUGGGUAAGCAUGAGUUAGAAUGAACAUGAUGGUGUGUGUUUACUGUUGCAUAAUUACAUUACUACAAGUCAAGAUCAGGUGAGGGCAAGUGCAACAAAGAAGAUAAAGAAUCCAAGAUUCCUCGACAACACAAUCUAAAGAUAUAGAGAUUGGCCAAAUCAUAUUGGUUGAAUAGUAUUGGUUUCAAUGUGAGGUAAAAAACAAACCGGACCGAAUCACACCCACCCUUAUUAGCAAUCAUGGCUGACAGGAAGUGUUGGUGCUAAAACUAAACAGAUAUAGAUAAGAGUAACUUACAGGUGAUGUGGACGAUUGGAGAGGGGGGUGGCGAUUGUGCCUUCAGUCAGCACGUUUUUCCUUGGUUGGCGAUGCUUGAUCUAGGCCAAUAAGAGAACAACAAAUGAGGACUAAAGCAUCGGUGUGGUACCGGCCGAAGACCCUUCGAUGUUAAAAUUAGUUUAAAGAGCAAGCUAUUGACAAUGCAAGAGCAUAUGAGUAAAGUCGAAAGUCUUACCCUAUAUCUAGGGCAAGAGGCCAUAUUUAUAGAGAGUGUUGGGCAUUCCCUUAGUACUUAGUUUCAACGUGGAACCCAUGUGAGUGUCUUUUAAGGUUGACACGAGUCCCAGCAAAUAUCCCAGCAGGGGAUUCGAGAACGUCUCACAAGAUGUCUUUUAGGGCAUAGAAUCGGCAAGGCGUGCCGGACGCAUAGUUGAUGAAUAAUCAGAGGAUAGGGCCGGAAGCGCUUGCCAUUUGUAGGACUGGGCUCGCCAACAUGGGUUACAAGGCUACGUUGGGUGUGGAAUCUGUCGUAGGCACUCAAGGUACCUAUCGAUCCAUACUACUUGGUUUGUCAGUGUGGUCCAUAAGGUAUUCCGUAGCAUCGUACUCUUUCCACUGGUCAUGACGUGAGUGGCAUGUCAAAUAUGGUACAAACAUGAAGGGUGCUUGUCGGGAAAGGAGAUAGGGAGUGUGUGUAUGUGCGUGCUAGGUUUAUUUUUUAUUUUUGAGAUUUGAUUAUGUUAUAUUUUAUUUUAUUGUUUUUACUAAAACCAAAUUGGGGUGGACAUUAGAACCGAAAAAUGAGAAAACCAAGUCGAACCAAGUCUGAAAAAAAAUUAUAUAUAUACUAAAGCUCAAUCCAACUAAACACUAUUCUUAAGCACAGUGCACUGACGAAAAUGCCCAUCUAGCAUAGUGAAUUGCCGAAAAUGCCCUUCACUAAACCUUUUCUGCUCUUCCCUUUUUGCCCCUUUUCCUUCAGUCUUUCUUCCCCUACGAACGUUUUGUUUGCUCAGACAAUGAGUUCAUCUCCAGUUGAUUUCGAACUAGCUGGUUGGCCUGGUUGGGGGGCAGCGACGGAAGAUUUCUGUUCACUGUUGGAGAUGCUUUUGCGGCCGUCAAUUUUUGUUUGGGGAGGCGUGAUGCGAAUCCAACCACCUUUUUGGUCUUCAUUUCAUGGAUUUGUCUGUUCGUUGAGAUAUUUUUCAUCGUUUCUUCAGCCUUCGUCUCAGACAUCUUCUGCCUUUCUUGGCUGCGAGUUCUUGCAUCCUUUGUUUUUGGGUAUGCAUCCCCUCACCAUUUUAGCGCAUUUUUUAGUCUUUAUUUCAUCAAUAGGUAACUUUUGAUUGUUUAGAGCAUCUUUUGGGUAUGAAUUCAUUGAAUUUUAGCUAGAAUCCGCUUUGGUUUCUUUUAUAGGUUUUAGGUUUUGUAAUGCCCCAUUUUUUGCAUUUGAAUGUCUUCGAUUUAAUUGUUAGUGUGUUAUAAACUUAUAUGUUAGCAACUAAGGCACAAUUUUCUAGGAUUCUCAGUUUUCACCUGUAUACUUUGAUCAGCUAACCAAAAAAAUUGUGUUAUUGUCAAGAGCUUUUGUUAAACACCCUUAUCCCUUCCAAAAACUUAAAUUAUUUUUAAUUUUCUUCCAUUCCAAAUUGGUUGUCAUAGUUUAAUUCUAUGUUUGCUGUUUGUUCUCAUGGUUUUCAUAUAAUGAAUGCUUCACAUCCUUAUCUUAUGCUCUGUUGCUCUAUGUUACUGAAAAUAACAACAUAUGAUUUACUUGUAAUUAUGCAAAUAGUUAUAUAUGUUUCCUUCUUUUUUUUGUUGGGUAGGGAUUUUGGCAUCGCUGGUUAACUAGAAGUAAUAUUUAGUGCCCCAAAGAAUAGAAGUAGAAUAUGCUUUGAUGAUGAGUUUUUUUUUCCCUUUUGAAUGUUUAUCCCCUGAGGUUCUCAGUAAACAUUUCACUUGAUUUCUAGACUUGGUGGGCUUGAUUGAUUAUGAGUUUUGAGUCGAAUGUGCUAACUGUGCUUAUCGGUUUAACUAGGCUUGACAUUAGUAUAUGCAUAUUAUUUGAUUGUUAUGGAAUCAAGUUAAUUCCUUGACAGAAUAAUAGAUAUUUGUGAUUGUGAAGUUGUUUACACAAAACUAAAUUUAUGUUGGUGUUAAAAAUAUGAGCAGCAUUUCAGAUAGUAAUGAAGAGUUUGUUAUCUCUUUAGUCUUCUCAUCCUGUGAUAACCUAUCUGUUUAGUCAUCUUGGUGCAUGUAUAAAAGCGUUAUAUUGAAAUAUUGAAGUCAUGUGCAUAUAGACGAUUAUAUGAUUUAUGCAUAUUAGUAGCGCUUUUUUUUUUUUCAUUUCCUUUUGAAAAUCAUUAUUUAUCGUAAAUCAUGUGCUUAUCACAAACAGAAUAUGUUGGAGGAAUGUAGUUUGAGAUUAAAAAUUUUGGGGUCCAAACAAGGAAUUGAUUUUUCAUGAGCAACAAGUAAAUAUUUUGGCCUUGAAUGUUUUUGGAUGGCUAUACUUUAGGGGUUCACGGCUCUUUGGAUUUGUUUUCCAGGAUUUUUCUUUUGUGUUAGUAGUGGAGUAACAAAGUUCAAGCAUCUCAUAUAAAAACACUGGACAGAAAAACAUAUUUGGACAGUUUUGGGACUAGAAAAUGAGAAACUGCAAUUUUUUUGAUUUUUUUCUUGCUUUUCCUCCUCUUCUCUCUUAAUCAUAUCUGCUUUUAAUGUUUUGUAGGUGGUGUUUAGCUGCUUUAGAUAGAGUUGUUUGGUGGUUAUUUUUGGUUCUGUUAAGCAAGAAGUGUGUUUCUAUGUUGAAAUUCCAAUUUAUUGUUUCGGUUAUGUGAAUAGAGCAUGGUAAUUAGCUAAUGUGAAAUUAGAGAUUUUGUUAAGAAGAAUAAUUCUCAGUUGUUAUUGAUAGAGCCAAAAGGCUAAGUAUUUAUAGAGAUAUUACAAGCUUAACUAGGAAAACUAGGUUACUUGGAGACUACUCCAAAUCAAUUACAAUCAACUAAUAAAAGGAAACUAAAUAACAAUUUAAUAACAUUCCUAAUUUCCAACACUCCCCCUCAAGUUGGAGAGUGGAUAUCAAGAACGUCCAACUUGCACAAGAGAUUGUGAAAGGUGUUACUCCCAAAGGUUGCUGAUAAAGAGGCAGUGGUGUCACUGCUGUAGAGGGGGCAGCUGUGUCGCAGCUGUGUCACUGUUGUAAUGAAGGCAAAUUUGGAGGCAAAUGGAGCAGCGGUGUGCUGCUGUAAAGGGGGUUGUUGCUCCUCUCAAAUCCGACGAUGUAUGAGAGUCGUGAGUUGAAGGAAGCAGCACCCAAAUAAAGUUGCAUAUAUCUCCCCAUCAAAUUUGACACUGAUAAAUGGUCAAGAUUUGAAAGAAGAGAAAUUGAAAUAAUAGUAAAGAGAUUCAAACAUGCCAGUCUCAUGGCAGAAACAAAUGCAAGAGGGGAAUGUGGUAGCAUACGGCUGUCUCAUGAAGAAAAAACUUCAAAAAAGGAGAAUAGUAAGGGAGGAAACCCAGCAAAUCAUGAACAGAGACAAAGACAAAGAUAAGGUGCUCAAACUGAGAAGCGAAAAGACAACUCAAGAGAGUAGCUGAAGAAGACAGAGACCGGCAGAACAGUCAAAUGAAAGGCUCGACGAGCGUUGACGAGGCUCGUGGAGGAAAAUAACCAGAGACCGGCAGAACAGUCAAAUGAAAGGCUCGACGAGCGUUGACGAGGCUCGUAGAGGAAAAUAACGGCUCGGUGAGCGGUGACAAGGCUCACGGAGGAAAUAAACGGCUUAGUGAGCAGUGACGAGGCUCACGAAGGAAUCGCAAUGAAGACGGAUAAGGUGCUUGCCGCAAGCGUAGACGACUUAAAAAAAUGAUGGGUAGGCUCGAUGAAGGCCGAAGAUGCCGUGGUUGUGGCAAGCGUAGUAGACAUCAAAACAUGGGCUCAAUAUCUGAUUGCAACAGAGAGCAUGACUAGAGAUGGCUCAAUAUGAUUUGUAUAGAGAGCAAUACUUGUAUGAAAAACAUAAGGAAAUUGCAGCGCCAAAGAAGGGUGCGACUGUUGGUUUAGUUAGAUGUAGGAACUGUGGGAUGGUAUGGCUUUGGUAGCGGGAAUAAAAUAUUGAUCAUUGAGGAGAGGGUGAAUAAGACGACUAUACAAGAUGAAUACCCAUCAUGGGUGAGGGAUGAAAAGCGCCAACGACUCUCAAUUUGGCAAAAGAUUUCAAAGAUUAGCAACUAGGGUUGUGAAACAUCGGAUUGUGAAGAAAAUAAGGUUUGUAAAAAAGUUUCAAGAGACGCCCUAGAAUCAGUGCUCUGAUACCAUGUGAAAUUAGAGAUUUUGUUAAGAAGAAUAAUUCUCAGUUGUUAUUGAUAGAGCCAAAAGGCUAAGUAUUUAUAGAGAUAUUACAAGCUUAACUAGGAAAACUAGGUUACUUGGAGACUACUCCAAAUCAAUUACAAUCAACUAAUAAAAGGAAACUAAAUAACAAUUUAAUAACAUUCCUAAUUUCCAACAGCUAAUGAUAUCAAUUGACAAUUGGUUGGGAUAAAUUUGAACUAAUUGCUACGAUUGUAUAGUUGUAAAUAAAGCCAAGUAAUUCUUAUGUGGUUUGAACCAAUGACAAGUUGUUUCAUAUAUGAUCUAUGCUUAGAUACAUAUUAAUAUUUUUGACUCUUUCCUUUUAGUUUAUAGAAGAUAUGAUGUAUUUGGAGGGGUUGUUGAUAAGAGUGAUAACAACAUGAUGUUGCUUUUGAUUAUAUAUUAAUGCCCUUUCGUGUGUUGAAGCUUUUUAAAUUUUUUUAUUUUUUAAGAUGAAAAAACACAUGGAAUGGUUAUAAACUGCCUUUGGUUUCAUUUGAUUGAUCUUUUGGAUUCAUUUUCAGACAUAUAUGUUUAGUACAAAAUUAGAGCUUGAUCUUUAGAUUGUUAGAUGAGACUUUGAGAAAACUCAAUUAUUGAAUUAGAGUAUGAAAUUUUGAUCUCUGUUUAAAGGGAAAAAAAGGGAAAACCAGAAAAAUGGAAUUGAAAAAUAUUAAAAAAUCUUGAUUGUUUAGGGUGACUUUCGCAUAGGUAACUUUUGAUCGUAUACUCUUGUUUCAAAUGCAUCUAGGAUCAUUUAAACAACCCUCUUCAUGUGCUUUUGCAGUGUUUUUCUUCGAACUAGAGGUGUCAUACUAGAUGGGCCAGCCUAGGACGGCACAAGCACGAAUAUUAGUGGGCCGUGUUAGGUUUUUGAGAAAUAGUAAUAGGAAACUCCAAUUUCAGGGAAACUCGAAUGACUCCCAACAACAGUUAUAAACCAUUUUCUUUAUGAUGUGUCCUGCUCUUAGUCUGAGUGGAUUCACUUCUCAUCAGCUUAGGUUGAUUCAGUUGAUAAUUUUUUUUUGCAUUUUAGUCUUCUGCCAUUAGAUUGUUAUUCGUGACAAAUUAAUCUUGGAUAUGUGGUCCAGAACAUCAUUCUUAGGCAUUCUGGGUAAUUUCCUCAAAUGAGUCAAACUUACUCAAAGGAAGUUUUAUUCAUUUAAGGAAACCUGAUUUCCAAUUUUGUUGUUCCAAUAUUUUCUUGACAUUGAUGGUGGGAGAAGGAAAUUCUAAAUGCAAUACGUGCGAGUCUCGAGACUUUUUAUUUGUCUUCUUCUUUUAACACACUACUUAUCUUUACAUUCCAUCUUUUCCUUUCUUUCUUUUUUCCUUAAUUUCCUUAUUUUUAACCACUGAUUGAGCAAUGGGAUUCUCAGCUUUUUCAAAACCGAAAAUGAAUAAUAUAGGAAAUGGAAAGGUGAGAAUGAUUUUUUCUUCUUUUUUCUAUUUUCAUCUUUAAGCAAAAGAAAUGAUUAGAGUGUUGUGUUUUAUGAGAUUUUUUCCAUAACUAUAGGACAUGAUCAUUUUUAUCAGAAUUUAGAUUCGUUUCUGUCAUCCUGUUUAUUAGUGCUAGAUAUUUUAUGCUUCUUUUGUGAUCGAAUUUGUGAACUUUUUUGUAUGUUUGGCUUUUGUUUUCUUUUAUUUUCUAAAUUUUGUCGGCGUUUCAAAGGCGUUGUUUAGUUGUGAUCUAUGAUGAAUGAUAGGAAUGAAUGCCUAAUAAUAUUCGUGUGCUUUGUGGAAAAACAGAGGAAAGGGAAGAAAAAGUAAAAAUGGGAAUCUAGCAUUCAAAAACUUUUAUAUUCUUAUUCCUGUUUUAGAAACACUUGCUUUCGUCGGACAAAAAUAAUCAAUUGAUCAACUAUUGUUGGGGUUAUUCUGAAUUGUGUGAUGAUCUAUUGUUGUUAAUGUUUGUUUUUUUAAUUUUCUGUUUUUGUACGUUCAUAUGUUUUUAUGUUAAUUUUGUGUAAUAUAUAUUGAUUUGAUAAUUUCAUGUUAGAGAUAUUAGGGUUGUUUGUUUGUUUAUAAUCUUCUUAGCUGACACCGUGUUUACAAAAAGCGUUUUAAGAUGAAAAAUUUACAUGUAACGAAGGGGCUUUUGCCUUCAAUGGAGCAAAUUUCGAAUUGAAAAAACAAUUUUUAUCAACAAAAAUCAAUCAAGCAUAGAAACAUAUAAUAUAAACAUCAUAAUUGUCUUACAGUACAUUAUUUUGUAAAGAUUAUGAUGAGAUAAUAUAGCUUUGAUUGAGAAUGUUUUGGAAUCCUUAGAACUCUGUGUAUGUGUGCGUGUGUGUGUCUGUGUAAGACAAAGUUGCCUUGCACACCAUCUUCGACAUAACUCAUCAUAGCUUUGAUUAGGAAAUCAUUGAACCUCUCCUCUGCCGUCAACCAAGCUUGAGUGCUUAUUUGAGAAGAACACUCAUGUCAAGAAAAUCCUUCUUGACGGCAUAACUUAUCAAUAUGGAGUACAAGAAUGAUUUGAGUGUAACUGAGCAUUUGUUUUCAGUCAAUUAAAAAUAUGAAAACUACUUUUGUGCCUAAUACCUUUUUUCCAAAUUUGCCUUGCGAUGGUCACGCAUUUAAACUGAUGUUUUGGCUUUAGAUGCAUCUGAUGUUUUCACUUUAGAUAGAUAUAUGAAGAAGUGCUUCUUCUUUUUUCAGUUUUCUCAUCGUUUUUCUCUUUUUUCUUUAUUAACCAUGUCUUCUUUUGAUGUUUUGUAGGUGGUAUUUUGCUGGUUCAGAUCAAACUGUUAGGUUCUUGCUUUUGGUUUUGUUAAGCAAGGGGUGAGUUUCUUGGUUGUAAUAAAUUAGUAGAAAUUAAUUGUUUUCCGUUAUCCAAUGAAUCAUAAACAUUGUUUUGAAGCAUCAGACAAAUUACUUUUUGAUGUUUUAUCGCAUUUGAACAAUUCAAAUGGAAAUGCUCUAUUUGGUGACAAGCUUUUUUUUGUUAGGCGGUGAUUUUAGACAAAUAUUACCAGUUAUUCCAAGAGGAACAAGAGAAUAAAUAAUAAAUGCCUUUCUUAACAGUUCCUAUUUAUGGUUUUUUUUAAAAAUAUUUCAUUUAAAAGAAAAUAUGAGGUUGUCAAAAAAAUGGAUUAAGCACCGAAGAAAAACAGAAAAUAAGUGAUUUUGCAUAUUGGAUUUUGCGCAUCGGUGAUGGCCAAAUUGUUGAUAUAGAUGAUCCAACAUCCUAUUCAUUCAAUUUUUGCGCAUCCUAAAGAUUUACUCAUUCAUUUAUGCACAUAUCCUAUUCAUUCAAUUUUUGCAGCAACAUACCCAGAUUUUGACAAAAUCUUUCUAAGUGAUGUUGAAGCUGAAAACAAAUAUGAGAAAACAGUUACUGUGCAAACCAGAGAAGAAAACGUCUCAGAUUCUGACAAUUUACCAAUUAUCAGUUUGAAGAAGAAAAUAUAGUCCAAGGCAGUUUCGAAAUCGCCUCUCCUACUCCGACAUCAAAGUUUGUGCUCUUUCCUUUUCAAUUCAUUCAUCUCGCUGACACACACAUUACACACAAAAUAUUUCAUUGUUAUUUCUCAUGUUUACCUAUUAAACUUAAUUCUAUCAUAAUAAUUAAUACUUGCUAUUUUUUGACUUUAUGCCAACAGAGCUAAAACCUCUGAAAAAGAGAAAAAAGGGCAUCAGCCAACCAAACAACAAAUGCAGCAACAACAAAAGCCCUUUACCAAAAACAUCAAAGAAGAAAAAUCCAUGUCCACCACCCAUUAAAAUAUAGAUAAAAGCAUGUACAAGUUUUUUUUUUAACAAUACGCAACUUAAGGCUGCUCAUAUUUUGAUGUUUUAAUAGCUGCUUGAUAUAUUAAAAUAUGCACAAUAUUUUAAUAUAACAAGCAGUAUAUAAAACAUGAUGUUAGUUUAUGUUUUGCAACAUAAGCUUGCCAAACUCAUGAUGACACUGUUUACAUCUCAAUGUAUAUAUAAAUAGGCCAAACUCAUAAUAGCACUGUUUACAUCCCCUCAACUUUUUAAUAGAUUAAUGACUUGCUGAUGGAUUUCUGAAUAUGCUGUUGAAUCCUUUCAUUCCUUGCUCAAAUUGAUUCUGUAAUGAUUUUGCUGCUGUAAUGGGUUGUUAAUUUGUUGUUGUAAUGAUAGGUUUAAAUGAUUACAAUAUAUGAGCAUGUUGGUGAAUCCUUUAAGUGUUUUGGUAAUUAGAUACUUGAGAACUCCCAACAUGGGGAGAGAGUGACAAUGCGUAACUGAUUGAAGGGAAAAAGAUGAUGACUUUCUCUUUGUGUGUACUACCAUUGUUUCAUAUUGCAUGACAGCUAUGUGAUGAAUGAGUAUAUAUAUAUAUAUAUAUAUAUAUAUAUAUAUAUCUGUAGGUCAUCUAAUAGAGUUUGAUCUAUAUUGUCUGCACAUAUACUAAUUAGAUAAAUGGAGAUGAAGAAACUGGAGGUUCGGUUCUUUUAAGAGUGCAAAAGAGUGAGCUAAUUUUGCAUCAAAAUGAUUUUUGCAUCUAUAAAGUUUGUACACCAUGUUGUGUUACCAUUUCUUAAAGAUUCUAUCUAAUUUUUCAAAGUUUUUUGUCCCAAUUCUACACUUCGCUAGAAGUGCAACAUGUGACCAAGAAAACCAUUGUAACAAUUGAUAAAUUAUUAAAUUCCCCUUUUGAUUUUUAUGAUAUUAUGAAACUGCUUCCAUCCUUUUUGAAUGCAAAAUGAUUUUGUUAUGAUAUUUGCUUAUGCUUUUGGAAGAGAGACUUUUGUCAACUGAAAUCUCCUAAUUCCCAGAUUUUGCCAAACCUUUAGUGAAAAUGAUUGCAGUUAAUUAUAUCCCUUAUUUAAUUUGUUGUUGUGAGUUUUCAGUUUUUCCAAAAUAUGAUCAAUAUUUUAAGAUGACAAGCAACAUAUAAAACAUGUUAUUAGUCUUUAUUCUGUAACUUAUAUCCGCAGCAUCGUGCUCGCACCUUUGCUAGUAAAAUAAAAACUUCAUCCACUAAAAAAGUCAAAAUGGGGCCGAAAACUGAACCGGGAUUAUAUAUGUUUAUUUUUGUGAAUGAUAUUAUUCUGAACCAAAGCCUAAGAGCAUGUCCAGCGCUGCUGGCUUGCCCGGGUAAGAAGGGGCCUAGGCCCAGCUUUUGUCUCUAGCGCACAAAGGCAAGACCAGGCAAUUGAUGGGAGCCACAAGCCUGGGCAGGCCCAAAGGCAAAUCUUGCCUGGGUUUGUUGACGUCAUUGAUGACAUCAGCAACUAAAUUUUUUUCUAAAAAAAACAUAGUCCUAUUUUUAAAAAAUUUCAGAAAUUUUUUAUAUAUAAAUACAUAAUCUUAUUUUUCACUUCUCAUACCAAAAUUAAUUAUAUAAAAUAUAAAUAAAUUAAAAUAAAUAGUAAUUUCCCUUACCCUUGUCAUUUGGGGUGGAACUAAAAAAGGCAAGGCUGACACUAUUCACAGCCCUUGCCUUACCUUUGCCUUGCCUAAAACUUUUGGGGUGGACUUGCUCUAAGUAUCAUUUGUAACGUGAAAAGUGGUAGUCCUUGUCUUGUAUUUGUCUUGCCUUUGCCUUGCCUUGGCCUUUUGGGGUGGACUUGCUCUAAGUACCAUUUGUAAUAAAAGUUACACGCGUCACCAUACCAGUAGUUUCUGGAUGAAAUAGCAUGUACCUUCCAACAUCUAAUCACUGGACGAGGUUUAAGUUAAACCCAUUUCCCCAUCGCACAGGCCCCCUCCUCCCUCUGCAUUCCUCUCUCCCUUCCCCUCCGCCACCACCACGAAGCCAGAGAACAAGUCGUCGCCGGAAUCACUAACCUCCUCUCUGAGCUCUCAAAACUUUCUAUUCCGACGCCACUGCCAAACAACUUCUCUCUUCUUUGUUAGUCCCGGUGUAUAUAUUAGAAGCAAAUUUGUUUAAAUGGUUUUUAUUUGCAUCUAAUUUUUAUUAUUAUUUAUGUUUAUGCCUAAGCUUUCCAACUCUGACAAACAGGCGCAGCUCUCUCUCUCUCUCUCUCUAACCUUUGAGUUAGUGGCUCCAUGGCAUACGAUGGAGGCAAACUCAAGUCGACCUCCAUCAAUGGUGUCAAGAUGUACAGCGUUGCUUCCCAGCAACGUUCUCUCGCCACCUGGCUUGACCCUAAGAAGCGGCGAGCACUUCGCAAAGACCAAAGUAUACCCCUCUUCUUCUUCUUCUGAUUUGAUUUUUUUCCAGUCAGUUAAUUUUGUUUUAAUGGAGAUACCUUUUGUUAUUCUGUUUAUGAUUUUGUCGACUUUAGAGUUUAGAUAACUUCAUGUAAAUUUAUUGCUGAUUUUGAGGACUUUCACUGAAAACAUAGACGAAUAUCAAUACGUUGAUUUUUCUCAUUCUAGGGUGCUAAUCAUUAUGUUGGAAUCUGUUAGGAUAAAUUGCAUGCUAUAGAGCAGUAUAAUGCUUGUUUUAAUUUUUUCUUUGUAAUAUUAUACGUUCUUUAUAGGUUGAAGUUGAACAAUUAAAAAUCAUCAGCUUUAAUCAUUUACAUUCUAAUUUUAUAUUGAGAAUUGACUCUCCGCUAAAUAUUCUUAUAGAAAGAUCAUGUGUUAAAUAAACUAUUAUUUUUGGUUAUGCACGACUGGGAUUAUGUUUGCAUACUUCACGUCAAUUUCUCAAUAAGGUUUAAUUUGCAACCACUUUAAAACCCUGGACGGUGUUCGUGUAAAAUUCUGGAAGUGUAGGUUUAAAGUGAAAAUCUGCUGAAGCAAACCAUGUUCACCUGUAGUAGAGGGAGGAAUACAAUCCUUCGUUGGGCAUUUAUUUCUCUUAUUUCAUUCACUCAAUGAUAUCAGAGUUUUGGACUCCACAAAAAAAUAAAUAAUAAAAAUAAAAAUAUAAGUUUAACACAAAUGUGCUUGAGUUCUGAAGUCUACUUUCCCAAUCAAAUUUAUUUAAAGGGAAGGCAUCAUAACAUAUGAUUAAUUUCUAUGGACUAUGAUCAUUUGAGAAUUAGUCUGAGAUGGAAAUAUGUUUUCAAAAUCAUCUCAAGCUGACACAAAACUUUUUGGCAUUAAUUUCAUCUAAUGGGAGAUCUUUCUUCAUUGUGUGUUUGUCAGAUUAUAUGCAAAGGGUAGACUUGAUCCAGGACUUGAGAUUUGAAACUGCAACUACUAAAAUCAAGGCAACUCCUGAUGGGGAGUUCCUUAUUGCUGCAGGUGCCUUUAAGCUUUACUCUAUGUUGUGUUUUAUUUUCACAAUAAAAAGGGAAUUCUACAUAAAAUGUCUAUUUGUGUGUUGCGUGUGUACGCGUUUGGAGUAAAACAUUUGAACUUGUACCAAUUGUGAUUUUUACUAUUGAAAUUCAGGUAUUUACCCACCACAAGUCAAAGUAUAUGAGCUGAGGGAACUUUCACUCAAGUUUGAAAGGCACUUGGAUUCAGAGAUAAUUGAUUUUGAGGUAGUUUAGUUUCACUCAUUUCUGAUGUAACAUGAUAUUUGAAAUAUUUAUUCAUGGUCCAUGGCUGAUUUGUGUUCAGCAUCUGCCGGUUUUUUCAGUUAUUUUAUCGGUGCAGUGGCUCCUCUCUAAAUAUUUUUCAUGUUUUUGGAUUUUCAGUAACAAUUAUUUAUGUACACUCUUGCUUGCAAUUGCUUCUUUUGUCUUUUUCACUUACCUUAGCUCUUGCAAUUUCAGUUAGUUAUUCUUGUAGAGUAUGGAUGAGAGCAUUUCUAAGGAAUAUAAUGAAAUCGAAAAAAUGUUUAAUAGUUAAAAACUUACAAGAGUUUUAUUUUUGUUAAAUAGCAAAGAAAAUGCAAUUGGAUUUUUUUAUUUAUCAAGCAACUGAAGAGCACCACUUGGGCUGAGACCCAACAAUUUGAUCUUACAAGUGCACCAUUUUUUCUCCCUUGGUCAAGUAUAGUUUCCUUCUGAAUGGUACUGUUUUCUCCUUCCGAAAUCCAAAACUUGAAUACUCAUUCAAGUUUUGUAGGUUGUUUAUAAGUUAAAUGCCCAUAUUAUGAUUUGGAUAUCAUCGUUUCAUGUUCGCUACUUAAUGGUACGAAUGUCAUGCUGUAUUCUCAAUAUGUUCUCAUGGAACUUUAAAUAUUACUGACUCAACUUUUCAUUACUCAUUCAGGUUUUGGCUGAUGAUUAUUCAAAGCUUGCAUUUUUAUGUGCUGAUCGCUCUGUUUAUCUACAUGCAAAAUAUGGAAAACAUUACAGUGUGCGAAUUCCAAGGUUACUCUUUAUACUUUGUUUAUGUCAAUGGCUCAUGAAUGGAAAUAGUGUUUAAACCAUGUGUUUGCUUUAUAAACUUUGAACUCUAUGUUUCAUUGUGCAUUGUGGUUAUUCUUUUCUAUUUCUGUUUCUUUUGGCUGUUAUGUAUUAUUGGGCUGUUUGGAUAGGAUAUUUGAGGAUGUGAGGGGCGAUGAGGGGUUUAUUUGUUGGAGAGGAUUUGUUUUUGGCCAUCUCUUUGGGUUUUCGUGUCAUCAGGGUUUUGGGAGAGCUUAUUUUCUGUUUGUUUUUCCCAGGUUGGACUGCUUUGUUUCUUAAUUCCUUCUGUUGUCUUGGAUUCAUAAUCCUAUAAAAACAAAGACAAAACAAGAGGGAAAAACAGAUACAGAAUGAGUAGCUUUAUGCAUGUGUGUGUGGAUGUAUAUUAAAGGGGAGUUUGUGUGUGUUUGCCUGUGUGUGUAAUUGUAUUUUUGAAUCCUUCUACAUAUACACCACAAAAUGACAGUGGCCUUUAUUGGAUCAGUAAAAAUAUGAAAUGAUGUUGUUUUCACACGUUUAUUAUUUAAAAAUGGGCCGGCAAUAAUUCAGAAUCUUCUCCCUUUUUGGGUGUCAUGUUAGCACCAUCUCUAUCAUUGAAUGAGUUGAUAGAAUCACCAACCCAUUAAAGAACUACCAACUUCUUAGAAAUGGGGAAAGGUACGUACAUAAAUACAUAAAAUGGAGGGCUCUAUGUCUCUUUUCUGAAUUUUUUUUCUUUUUUUUUUCUUGAGGAGUUGGUGACUCUCUCUCUCUAAUCAAAUCGUACUUAUUUUUUCCCUUUAAUGUUACCCAUGUUGAGUUUCAUUAAAUUGUUUUCAAAAACUACGUGGCAUGUUACCCAUGUUGAGUUUCAUUAAAUUGUUUUCAAAAACUAUGUGGCACCAAUACAUUAAUGAAUACUUGAGCAACUACAUUACUUUAGAACUAAAGUUUAGCACAUCUAGCAUUUACCAGAGUUACUUGCUUUUGUUUGAGCCCUCUUUUUCGAUGUACGUGAAUUAAACUUUUUAUCCCUACAUUUUGGAAAUUUAUUUCUAUUACUUUAUAAUGUAACUUCAUAAUUUAUUCACAAUUAAAAUUAUGUUUAUCAUUUUAAAAAUAAUCAAAGAUAGUAUAAUAUAUGUAAUUUAGUUUAAUACUUGUAUACUGCAUGGGUUGUAGCUUGAAUAAGUUUGAUAUGCUUUCUGCAAUGAGUUUAUUGAACUUGUGUAUGCAGAAUGGGAAGGGACAUUGUGUAUGAUUGCUGGUCUUGUGACUUGCUUUGUGCUGCCUCUUCCCCAGAAUUGUAUAGGAUUAAUCUGGAACAGGUUUUAUUGCUUAACUGGACUUUUCUUUUUAUUCUGCUUUAAUUCGUAGGUAUGUUGAUAAUAAUUUUGACUUGUUUGCAGGGGCGGUUUCUCUCUUCCCUGAGCACACAAUCAACGGCACUAAAUGUCGUUUCUCGGAGGUUGCUUGCUGAUCUUUUUUUAUUUAUUUAUUUAAAAUUUGUUUAUUUUUUUAAACUAUUUUAGGUUCUUUGGCUUAUUUAGUUAUCAGAUAUAUGUAGGACUUUCUUAUGUAUGGUUAUUUUGGUUAAUUAUCUUAGCGUAUCAAGCUUUUCCUUUAAAAUUUCAGCAAGCUUCAUGGUCUAGUUGCUUGUGGUGGUGAGGAUGGUGCUGUGGAGUGUUUUGACUUGAGGGUAAAAUCUUCGGUUGGUAGGAUUAAUGCUGUCGCACCUGCUGGUGACAUUGACCAGGUAACAGUCCUUUGAUCUAUUUGUUUUGAGUAAAUAUUCGUUAAUGAAGACCAGGUGAAGUCUAAUUGGUUGCCACAAUGUAGUUAAUUUGCAAAUCGAUCACCCUUUGAAGUUCAAAUUAUUUUCAAAUACUACGUUGGUCACCUGUAGGAUAUGUAUGUGUCUAUUGUGGUUGCAGGUGAAGUCUAAUUGGUUGCCACAAUGUAGUUAAUUUGCAAAUCGAUCACCCUUUGAAGUUGAAAUUAUUUUCAAAUAUUAUGUUGAUCAUCUGUAGGAUAUGCAUGUGUCUAUUGUGGUUGUCUGGAUAAUUUGGUCACGACACAAAUGCCAAUUUUUUUCCUACGCUUUUGGAAGAGGUAGCUAUGGGUAUGUUAGGUAGUAUGGUUUGACAAGUUCGGGCAGAAAUUCACCCCGACCAACCAACCUUGUUGAUUUUGACUUACUUGAAACUGUAGAGUUAUACUGAAAAAAAAAGAAACUCACCAAUCCCAACCAAUGACCAUCAGUUUGAACUGGUUUUGUAUCUCUUUCAGUUUUGUUCUAUUUCACCCAGGAAACAGCAGACUUUUUUUUAUUCAUCACAAUUUCAAAAAGACAGUGUCAUCAACUUCAUUGCUCCAUUUUAAAUUUAAUUCAAAAUUAGUUCAAAUCCAAGAGAAAUUACGGCAGAUGCUUUAGACUACAUAAUUAAUGUUUCACCACAAAGCGUUGUUGUGGUAGUUUGACAAAAGCACAGUGAAAUGAGGGCCUUAUGACCUUCUUAGCAUCAGUUUUCGUGUUUCUUUUUUGAUAUUGUCUUAAUUGUUCCUUAUCUUUUUUGACAAUGGAAAUAAAAGAAGGAAGUGGAUUGAAUGAUCCGGCUGGUUCAUCAGUUCAGCCACAGAUGAAUGGCAGGGGAAUAAAUUUGUAUGCGGGAUUCCUGUGAAUGAUGAUCUUUUCUCUUCAACUAUUAAUCAGACACAAUUUUGCUUAAUCGGGCUGCCUCCUGGAUUUGCAGGAGGUCACUGCAUUGGAGUUUGAUGAAAGAACGGGUUUUUUAAUGGCUGUUGGAAGCAGUGCAGGGAAGGUAUGACGUCAUUUUUCUUUUCGCUAGUAAAGGUAUCCUAUAAUUUGUGUGUGUGUAUAUAUAUAUACACUUAUAUAGUUGUGAUCUCAUUUUAGUUAUGUGUGUUAUCAGAACUAGGCACCAUAUUUGUCGUUGUCAACCAUGCAAUAUCUGUUGUAGUUUUCGUCAAUUUUGAUUUUCGAUUUUAGAGAAUUCUUUUAGAUUAUACACUUGAUAGGUACCGUGUAUCUGUAUAUGCAUACUGCAUGCAUAGAUUAUACACUUAACAAGCAUAAAAAUGUUUGAGACAGCCACUUGUUUUCCAUGACGAAUACAGAGAGGGUUAUAAUCUGAUAUACUUGACAGGCUCAAUUAAUCUAGUGGCUCCUGGAAGAGUAACAAGUACUCUUUGAAGUGAAAAACCGAAGUGCCAGCCAACUUGGGAGCUAAUCAAAACUGUUUGUCAAAUUAUCAAUAAUUUUGCAUAGACUUUUCUCUUAUUAAGAAGUCAUGUGAAUUGUCUUCUUUAUGUCUACGAGGGGGGAAUUUUAAUUGUCAUAUUUAGGCCCCACGGUUACUUGCACCUUAGUGCAUUAUAGGAAAUUGUUCUAUUUUUCAGAAAGUGCAGUCUCUUAUCCAAAUAGAGAUGGUCUUAACGUGGUGCGGGAUGAUUUUCCCUUGGCUACAAUGUUAUUAAUGAAGGUGUGUUGUUUUGUGGUUUUUCUGUUUUGUUCCUCCCUGUUAGUUUGGGAGGUGUUGGUGCUGUUUGUUUGUUUCUGUUUUUUUUUUCUCUUCAGUUGUGGAUGCAUUAUCCACCUCCGUGUUUCUUUUGCUUAAUAAAUUUCUUUUCUUCUAUAAAAAAAACAAUGUUAUUAAUGAAGGUGGAAAAAAGGUUUUGCAAGAUAUCUGAUAUUAAAAUAAGGUAAUCAAGAUAAGAGAUAACUGGGAUCAAACAUCAGGUAGGUGGUGAUUUACAUGGUAAAUUUGGUUAUGCAGUGGAUUACAGGUUUAUGGUCUUUUUGUGGAGAUUACUGAAUGCCUUGUUGGAGGAUGUGGUGAUAAAAAAAACCAUUUGGGGGUAUAGUGUCACUAACUUAUAACUGAAGAAAAGGUAGAGGGAUGAACACUAGGAUAUAUGGAUCUCUUUGGUCAAUAAUAUUAUGUUGUGAGUGGAGGCUAAACAGAGCAGAUUCAAGGGCUUGGAGAUUGAACCGACAGGGAAUUUCUCUUGCAAAUCUUUUUGUAGAUAUCUUUGUUGGGAGUGAGUCUCGUUUUGUGUUCCUGAGUUAUAAUGGUCAUUUACUGUUAUUUAACAUGUUACAUGUAUAAUUGUAAUUGUAUCCGUAUUCUAGUUCUUCAAGAGCUGCCGUAUCACCGUAUCAUAUUGAAUUGUGAAUCCUGUACUCAUAUCCGUGCAAUAUAGGCUGGCAGGCACCAUCUCUUCUUUCACCUUCAGUUGUAGUCAUAGAGAGCCUCUAUCAAGAAUAUGUCAGAGCAGUGCCCAAUAUUUCUCAAAGGAUGUAGCUCUGUCAAUUUACAUCGUGUCACUGACCUUGCAGGUACUCGUCUAUGACUUGCGUUCAUCGCAUCCUAUACAGGUUAAGGAUCACAUGUGAGUUUACUUCCUUAUAACUUACAUGUGAGUUUACUUAUUAUGUGGAUUUUUCUGGUUCAGCACAAUGAGGGAGUCUGUUUUUCCUUUUAUAACUUACUGGUUGUUGUGAAUACUGUCAUUGGUUUAUAGGUAUGGCAGCCCGAUAUUAGACAUUAAGUGGCAUCAAACUCUUAAUUCUGAGGCGCCAAAGUUAAUGACCACUGAUAAUCACAUUGUUAGAAUAUGGGACCCUGACACAGUAAGACAUUAUAUUUGAGAAGACUUUUUUUUUCCCUUUUUUUUGGGAUCUUUGAUGAUUGGAUAUUAGAAUUCCGUAUUUAUAAGUAAAUAAUUUUUCCAUUUUUUGCAGGGUGAAGGCAUGACCAGCAUUGAGCCAACUGCUGGAACAAUUAAUGAUAUAUGUGCAUUUCCUAGGAGUGGAUUGAUGUUGCUGGCUCUAGACUGCAGUCAGAUUCCAUCUUAUUUUAUUCCUGAACUUGGACCUGCACCCAGUUGGUGUUCUUACCUGCAAAACCUUACUGUGGGUUUUCAGAUAUUAUUUACUUCUUUCGUAUAUGGAUUUAGUUUCAUCUCGUGUGGGGUCUUCAGUUAUAGUGCUAAUAUUUGAGUUCGUUCUACAGGAAGAGCUAGAGGAGGGUGGACAGACGACCAUCUAUGAUGAUUUCAAAUUUUUGACAAAAGAAGACCUUGAGAGGUUGAAGUUGACUGGUCUCAUCGGAACCAAUCUCCUCAGAGCUUACAUGCAUGGGUUUUUUAUUGAUUAUCGGUUGUAUAAAAAGGUUAGGCUGCCUUCCUAUGUAUGUAUGAUUAUUUUUAUGAAGGGUGCAUGGGAAGCAAAAUAAUCUGUAUCAUCCACUUUGUAUGUUGCCCCCCCCCCUUUUGUCUUUAAUUAGAGUGAAGCAAAUCUUGGGACGUAUAUGGAAAACAUGAGGCAGAUCAGAAUAGUUGGAUUUGUUUCAGGGAACUGAGAAUAAUAAUCUGUAUUAGGCUUUUACCUUUAUUUUAUAAUUACUUUUCUCUUACCCCUUCAUGACUCUUAUCUGUUUGUAUUCUUUUGUGGAAUUUUUUGUUGGUAAUAAUUAUUCUUUUGAAAUGCUUGUUUUUGGCUGUUUUAGGAUUUAGUGAGUUCUUGGAUGUGUUUUUUAAGUUGUCUGUCUUGAAAGAUGCAUAUUGUCAUUGUCAAAGCUAAUGUUUUCCAUGCUCGAGUAGGGUAUUUGUUUUAUUGCUUCUGGUCAUUAUACAAAGUAAGUUUACUGCUUUAUUUCAUAGUAUAUACAUUCUGGCAGGCAAAAGCUUUGGCAGAGCCUUUUGAUUAUGCUGAAUACAGAGAACAACAGAAACGAGAGAUGGUAGAGAAAGAACUUGGAGGAGAGCGAAUUACGGUUAGUUAUUUUCAUCUACAAUUAUUCAGUAUUUAUGUAGAGUUUUUAUUUAUUUGUUCAAUUACUCUGCAUUGAUCACUAUGUACAGCUCAUAAGAAAUUUUUUUCUUAUGACUCGGGCAAUUGCAAUAAAGUGCAUGAGGAUUGUGAGCCUGCAUGUUCAAGUUUCCUCAAUUCUCCAUAUUAUUUGCAUAUGCGUAUAUGUAUAUAUUUCUUUAUUUUGAGGUGAGGUGGUUUUCAAAUAAUUGUUGGAAAACUAGUAUUCUCUUCAAAGUCGUUUGACUAGGUGUGAGUUGAGUUCUGCCACUUUCAUCCUAUACAUUAUAAAUAUAUCUUCUCUCUUUUUUACUCGAUCUUAACAUCCACAACUCUAUAACACACUUAAUGAAAAAUACUCGAUGCACCAUAUAUAUUGAGAUAUAUAUAUAUAUAUAUAUGUAGUUAUUAUCUCUUUACUGUUCAACCAGAGCAACCUUUGACCCUUAUCCUCUCUCGUUUUCAGUUUUAUUUUUGGUUCAGUUUCCAGAAAAUUUGAAAUUACAACUCUUUUAAUUGUUAACUCUAGUUAUCCCCGUCGCAUCUAAGAUGUCUCUGAAUACUUUUUAAUCCAAAUUAAUCCCUAAGUUUUUUCAUGUACAAAAUUUUAAAGAUACACAUAGGGCAUACUCCUUUGCUCUGAGGUGCUCUAAGUUUUUCAGAGAACUGACCCUUUUGUAUUUCAAUGCAAUAUAAGUAGGAUUCAACUGUUAAAUUUUGGGGUUUUCAAAUCUCCUUUAGUAGAUUGUAGGGUUGUAGAGUGAAUUAUAUCGCUAUGGACUUUAGUUUGUGGUAUAUGUCAGAUUAUCUACUUAACAAUGAUACCUGUAUCCCUUGUAUGUUUUACUUUUGUUUGCUGCAGAUUAAGAGGAAAUUGCCCAAGGUCAAUCGAACUCUUGCAAAGAGUAUUCUUGAUAAUGAAGAUGCAGAGAAUGAAAUUAAAGGUGCUGAUAGCAAUGAGACUAAGAAGCCAUCAAAGAAAAAGAAGGCACUUGGUAGUGAAAUUCUCAAAGAUGAGCGAUUCGGAAAUAUGUUUGAAAAUAAGGUAUGAAAAUCUGAACCUUUGGCUCAUGUAAGAGAAGGGUGACAAUUUAACCCAAAAAUAUGUUCACGUAGUUCACCAUACUUUUCUAUAAAUUUUUAAUCCAAAAAAAUAAAAAUAAACAUAAUAAUUCUUCAUCCCUCUCCUCCCCUCCCCCUUCCACCUCCUUUGCCUCCCUUUCCUACCCUCUGUCUCCUCCCGGUUAUGGCCAGUCAUCUCCAUCCCACACCUAUCCUUGUUCCCAGGACUUUCAUGUUCUUGUGUUUUUUCAGAAGAUUCUAAGGGUCUCGAAACUCUUAAGAAUUGAUGGAACCUGUCAUCCUUUCUGGUUGUUGAAUGGGUCACCCAUCAGUGGACUGAUUCAUUUCUGUUCCUACCUCGCCAUGUGUUCUUCCCAUCCCUUCCAAUGUUUUCAAUGGCAAUGGUGGAUGUGUGCCAUUUUGUUACCUCACAAGCCGAGUAAACCUCAAGUCAUUAAUGCGUAACCCGUUUGACACUUGAAUUAUUGUGGAAUAUAUUUAACAAAUAUAAUAUAAGCGUACAACUGCUCAAGUGCGGACUGUGCAAAAAUGCAUUGGCUGACUUGCUGGUCAAUUGGCAACCAACUACAUUUUUUGUGAGGAUAUUUGAGUCGGAGAUUCCUCAUUAUGCCAUUUCCCCCAAUUUUGGUCGGACUUUUUUGUCUCAUAAUGCAUUUUGUCUAGUUCCCUUCGUAGCUGAUAUGGAUGGCUAAAGUGCUUUGCUAGGUAAAAUUUCUUGCUUGGAUUGUUGUCCAUGGGAGAGUUAAAAUACUUGUGAGCCCGACAAUGGUAAAAGGGCUUGCAUCUGUCUCUUAUUCGCUAUUGGUGCAACAUGUGCAAAGGCGCAAGCAAAGUAUUGAUCACAAUUUUUCCUUCCAAGUUCUAUGCGUUGAGACUGUUAUAUAAGCUCUUUAGGUAGUUAGAUUAAUCUGGGUAGUUCCUCUUCUUGUGACCAUUCAUGGAGAGGUUUUUGCACUUUUGGUGGAGGGAAGAACACAAAGGUUUUGUAGUGUUUAAAACAAAUUGUGUUGGGUUUUUUGGUUGGGAAGGAACAGUUAAAUUUUCAAUAGUAAAGAAGAGGAUGCAGUGGACUACUUCUAUGGGACUAUGGCCUGAUUGUGGGACUGACUUUAUGCUUCCGCGUCUUUUGAAGUGAGAGACUAUAUUUCUUCCUUCUGAAUUUGGAUUAGGAAGCAGCUCUCUUACGACUUUGUGUUUGGUUGUCUUGCAUUAUGGCUUGCUUUGCUGGCUGGUUGUUUUGCUGGUUAGCUCAUUGUUUUUCAGGCUUCCGCUGCUUGCACUGUUUUAGUUUAGUGGACUGCGGGAUCAUUUUCUGUAUUAGUUCCAUUUCUGUUUAUAACAUCUUAUCAAUUUCCUACAAAAUGAAAAUAAAUAUACAAAUAAUGAGAAGUCAGGGCCAAAUCGUGUACUACAUAUUCUUUCUUCUUCUUUUUUGUUAAACAAUUUUUUUAUAUUUUAUAAUGUGUUCGUUUUUGUAAUUUGUGUUCAGGAUUAUCAAAUUGAUGAGCUCUCGCAAGAGUAUGUGGCUUUACACCCUAUGCCUUCUAAGAAGCAACCAUCAUUGGUGGAGGAACAUUUCAAACCUGCCAUGGAGGAUGAAGAUCAGAACUUAAGUGAUUCUGAUGCCUCCGCAUCAUCUUUGUCAUCAGAGGAUGAACCUGGCAAUGAAAAGAGUAAAAUGAGAAAGAAAGGACGAACUCCAAGGUGAAGAUUUCUGUUUCCUUCAUAGACCCUUGUUCUCCUGUUUAUUUAUUUGUUACAUUGCAUCCAUGUCCCUGAGUUUCGUGGAAGUCUAGGGAUCUCCCGCUUAUGUUUAGAAGUUAUACUAUCCUGUCCCGUCUAAGGAUAUUUCACAAUACAUGAUAGCAUUGGGGGAGAUUUCAUUUCAAGAGUGGGUUUCAAUCAUGCUUUUGGGGUAGAAAUAUCAGUUGAUCUGUAGAAGUUUUCCAAGUGUCUAUGACAACAAGAUUGAAAUUAUUGGUUUGCCUGAUAAACAUUUUGAGUUCAGUUACGAAUGGAGGAGUCUAAAAGACAAAACAUGUGAACAUAGGACGAUGCAGAACUGUAUCAAAGAAAAUUGUAUUCUCUAUGAGAGGUCAGUAUAAUUCCUGAAAAUAGAAUAUUGAAAACAUAAGUGAUGUCUGGGCAUUUUGAAUAAAAUCUUAGAAGGUUAGCAUAAUUUUUUUCUUUUUUUUAACAAGAGCGAACCAUCAUUGGUCCAGUUUAAUGGAUUUGGGUCCCUCGAGGAAGGUGCAUAAUUCACUCUGAUCAAUAAUUGGAUCUGUCAGACAUGAGCAACUUUUGCUAGAUUUGGUGAUUUUAACCCAAACCUGAUUUGUCUAUUUUCUUUCCCCUGAACUGUUGCUAUGUAAUUCUGUGUAUUUAUUAUGUAUGGAGUUUUGAUUCGAAUCUUGAAAUGUCUGUUGGAGGUUAAAACUCUAAAUCUGAGUUACUAAAUAUCUGUUUCCUGAAAUUCUGUUAGAUUGUAUGAAGUGAAGGAUGAGCGGCAUGCAGAAGCAUUCUUAAAUCAUGAGUCAUUUGCAAAGGAGGAAUUACUUCCAUUGGGUGAGAGGGUAGCAGCUCUCAGAGAUGAUCGGCGGGUUUCUGCUAUCCCAAGUGAUGUUAAGCUGGGACCCGGAGGUUCACGUGAGAUUUCCUUUAGAGCUAGAAGCUCAGCCAAGUACAAAGAGGACGAGGAGGAUGGAGAAGCACAGCGUGGAAAGAGGAGGGGAGUUCAAUCAUUGGGACUAAAACCAAAUAGUAACGGAUUUGGAAGUCGUGGGAGAGGAGGCAGGGGAGGUAGAGGAGGCAGAGGAGGAGGGAGAGGCAGCCGAGGGAGAGGAGGGCAUCGCGGGAGAGGUAGAAGUGGUGGGUGGUAAAUUAUUUCCAAUUUAUUUAUCAAUUUGUGUAUGCAUGCGCCAUGUUGUCGUUCUUUAACCAGCCUUUAUACAGAGUGACGGUAUCAUUUUGCUGCUGAUAUAGUAAAUCAAGGGUAGGGAAAUCUCCAAUGAGGUACAACAGAGGAAAUGAAGCUGUAUAUUGGAAUUAUUGUACUUAUAUUAUCAACUUAAACGUAUUCAAAAUAGUAUAACUGGUAGAAGUUAGCCAAAACUUGGAAUUGGGUUGUAGUUCUAUUCUAUAUAUCAUUUCUACAUACUUGGGAGUUAUGCAACUAUGACUAUCAGACUCGAUGCGCCAAGGCGCGGCUAUACUUGUUUGUUUAGCAAGCGGCCGCAUUCUCCAGGUGGAGGAAGUGAUCAGGAGGAUGAGCUUAAAGCAACGUCUCUAUAUUUUCAAAUUCCAAACCCUCCCCACCCGAAAGCGCAUGUGAAUUUGUGGAUCUUUAUUUAUUAGGUCUGUCGUAGCAUGUGUGCAAUAUGUACUGUACAUGUUAUUUAUUAUUUUGUUGUAUUGUGUGUGUCGGUGUGCUAUUAAGGCUAGUUUAGGAUUUUCCUAUCCAUAAGCUACGAGUAUGAGCUAGGAUUGUUUUAACUAAGCAUGAACCAGAUUGAAAAAAAAGAAGGGGAAUAGAAAAUACUCAUAUUUUAUAUAUGUAAAAUCCAAUAUGCCCUUUUAUCUGGAAAAUGUCACAAGACCUUCGGAAAUUGCAUAGGCUGCCAUUUAGAAAUGUUGACAACACGUAUAGAUGUAUUAGCAACUGCUAUUGAAUAUUGAUCCAAAAUAGACUUCCAGAGUUUACAAUUCCUUUUCAGCUUUUAAAAAUCCUAUUGAGCCGCUAACGCAAUUAGAAUUAGCAACUAGAAGCUUCGAUUGGUCCUUUUUUGACCCCUGGGUUUGACCAGUGAAUACUUUUUGUAUUAAUUUCCCAAUAGAUUGUAUUUAUUAUUAUUCAAUUACACCGUUGAAUUUGUCCAAAUAUUUUCAUGGUUGAAUUGAAUUAAGGAGUUUGGAGGAGUCUUAGGCCAAGGCAUUUGAUCAAAGGAGGCUGUGGUUGGUUUGAGAGGUUGGGUGCUACAUAACCAUCUAAACUUGUUGCAACUCAGCCUCAUUCCCAUUGUGUUGAUUGAACGAGUCACUUUCUAAUUGGUUGCCUGUAGUGCUGUAAAGUUCAUGUAAAACACUAACCGACCUUAUUGAAAAUCACAGGGAACCAUCACAUUCUCCUUUUUUGAACUGCAAUGCCAAUACUUUCCUUCGUAGUAAUUUUUUGUUGAAAGAUAUUGAUAAUCUCCGUCCAUUUACCAAUUGGUCUUUUAUUAAAUAUCUUCAUUCUAAUACGUAUAAAGAUAAUGAGUGCUAUUGGACUCUAGACUAUGCUUUACUAAUGAGGAGGGCCUCGAGUCUCACUUUGCCUUUAGAUGUGCCGAGGGGUUUGGUUUGGUACUUGUUAGCUCCAUUUAUUUGAAUUGCAACAAUUCGUGGUUUGCGUAUACUUGUCCUGACUUAUUGAAUAAUAUUAGAUGACAAUUACAAAGUUCGAAGGUUUAUCUCAAGCAAAGGACACAUACCUCAAGACAACCAAAAUUCUAAAAUAAAUCACAAGCCUAAAUAAUGAAAACUACCACUACCACUCAAAGCAAUGCCACCAAUUAUUGUGAAACAUUGGACGGAUAUGAGGAAAUUAUGAUAUCCAAUGAUUUAGUUUCACAUGAUAGUGAAUAGAUCCCCUUAUUUGACGAAAAUGACCAAAAUCACUUGAGUAGAUAACAGCAAAAUCCACUAAAAAACAUGUAGUACUAAAUUGAGAGAAAGUUAGAAUUUUGGAGGGAGAGUUUUGAGAGAGAGAUUGGAUUGAAAGAGAAGAAAGAUGGUUGUGGUGUAGAAAAAGAUGUUAAAAGGAGCGGGGAGUGCGGCUAGAGUUUGUUUUUGCUCUCUCUUGGAUGUGUUUAUUUAUUUAUUUUUUUUGGUCGAAUUGGAUGUGUUAUUUUUGAAUAUUUUAGUACAUGUGUAUAAAUAAACAAAAAAUAGAAUAUUUUAGCAUCCAUACAAGUCUCAAUUAUGUUUUUAAUCUAUAUAUAUAUUCCAACAAAAAAAAAAAAUCAAUAUAUGUUUUCUUUUUAAAUUUAUUGCAGGGAGUAAACUUCUGGUAAAACAUGAAGACAUUUUAAACUUACAUAACGCUCCUUCUUUAAAAUUUUAAAAUGUCCUAUAGCAUGAAGAUAAAAUUUUAAGGAUAAAGAAAAUAAAAGAAGAAUAAUAACUAAAGCACAUUUUUCGUAUUCACCAACUGUUGAAAUUUGAGAUAUGAAUUCAUCACCAACUAGCAUUUAGUUUAAUAGUAAUUCCCUUCGUGAUGCUGAAAGAAAUUCAAAAUAUGAAUUUUAUCUCCCUCGUUGAUAAAAAAAAUAUAAAAUUAUGAAAUAACUUGUUACUUAUUAGGAAUGGGUAUAAGAAAAAAAAAAUUUCCCUGAGUUCCCUCAUGUUUAUUGAUUAAAAAAAAUGAGGGUUACAUAGUUUAAUAUAUAAUCCAAUAGCACCCUCAAAACCAUGAAUUGAAUAUAUUAGAGCAUCUCCACCCAUAAGGGCUAAGGCAAGGGCAAGCAAGGGCUGCCACUAUUCACGUGAAUAGUGGCAGUCUUGCCUUUUUUGGUUCCAUCCCAAAAGACUAGGGCAAGGGCAAGAAAAAAAAAGAAUAUGCAACAAAAUAUAAACUUGUUAUGUAUUUAUAGGGAAAGUGAAUAAAAUUGUUAUGUAUUUAUAGGAAAAACAUCAAUAAUUUUUUAUAUAAAAAAUUAAAUUUUUUUCAAUUUUUUUGAAUUUAUUUUUGCUCGCUGAUGUCAGCGUGACAUCACCGCUGACAUCAGCGCCUUCGGGCUGAAGCCCAGGCAAGAUUUGCCCUUGGGCUUGCCCAGGCUGGUGGGACCCAGGCCUUGCCCGGGCUGUUGGUUGCGCGCUGGAGGUUGUUUGGGCUCGCGAAGGCAGCCUUUUGCCUGAUUUUGGGUGCGCGCUGGACUUGCUCUUAGGGGAGUUGUUAAUCCAAUUCCAAUUUUUUUAUUCCCCUAUUUCCAAUUUUCCCACCCAGUUCAAAGUAAGUACCAAGUGAAACUAAUGACACUAGACUGGAUUAUUAGUGGCAUAGCACACGUUGAAAGACAUUCAAAAUUCGAAUUAUCCUUUUUCUCGUCGAUACUAGACUGAUGAUACUAAACUGAAUUAUUAUUGGAAGAUCACACCCUUUUAUUUAUUGAACAUAUGUACAUAAUUCGAACUCUCUCUUAUAAAAAAGUGAAGACCCACACGGUGAUUAGUAAUUGAGCAUUUUUUUUAAUCUGAUCAAACACAUUAUUCAUGAUGUGCUACAACAUAAAUACAAAUCACCUUAUAAUCUGAUCACAAAAUAUUAUACAGCUACUAGUCCUACUAUCAAAAGAGAAGGCUUAAAAAAUGAGGUAAAAAACUUGACCCAAAAAGUUUUUGAGGGAAAAAAAAACAACAUAGAGAAAAUAGUGGAGCAAAAUCAUUAGAGAGAGAGAGAGAGAGGGUUUAAAAUUGAAAUUGAAAGGGAACCGGAACGGAACCCAGCUAAAAACUUAAAACAUUUAAGAUUCAAAAUAAAAGAAAGAGAGAGAGAGAAUGGCGAGAAGAGUAUGAGAUUUCAAAACGCAAGAGAGAGAAAGUGGGAAGAAAUAGAUAGAGACUCUAGAGAGAGAGAGAGACAGACAGAGCUUCUCCCACAUUUCCUCUUUCCUUAAAUUUCUUCUGUUUCGCUCUGAAUCUCUGAAUCUCUGAAUCUCGAAUUCUAAUUCCUUCUAGCUAGAAGACAGCCAGAGAGAGAGAAAGAAACAAAGGGAGAUCGUUUUCAUUUCCAAUUUCUAGGGUUUCAAUCAGAUCCAUCGCUCUCUCCCUCAGAUCUUUGAUCCUCAAUCCUCUGCUGCGAUGGAGGCGAUCGAGGAGUUGUUGCAACUAUCAGACUCGAUGCGCCAAGGCGCGGCUGUACUUGCCGACGAAGAUGUUGACGAAAACUCAAGCUCCUCCCGCAGGGCUUCCAGUUUCCUUAACGUCGUCGCUCUCGGCAAUGUUGUAAGUCAACCAAUCUCCUUUUGGAUUCGAUUCGUUGGAAUUUGAUCUCUUCGAUUCCACUUGCUCUGUUUCCAAUCAGCGAUCUUUAAAUCUACGCUUUGGGUUUGGACCUUAAUCGAUGUUUCUUAUUUGAUUUGGGUUUUUGUGAACACCCUGUUUGUUUGUGUCGAGAACUGAGGGCUAAGGCAAACAUAGCUCACAAAAGACAAGAUAUUGAAUCUGAAAUCCAAACUCUUAAUGAGUUUGAUUUGAUUUGGGCUAUAAAUGAGGAAAAUGAUCACCAGACACAAUAAUGGUUUAAACGCCUUGGGCAGUUCUUGGCGAUCUGCAAUGGUCCACCUUACUGUGCCACCCUGAAUUAACUGAAAAAAGUUACAUUCAACAGUUUUCACUGCUGCUAUAGCUGUACUUUCCUUGUAAAUAGGAAAUAAAGGAUCUAUUUCUUGACUUGUUCUCUUGCUGUGCAUAUAGUGUGCUUUUUUGUGCGUGUCUGGAUAUGUGCAUUUGUUGGUGCAUUCUGCGUGUCUGUCUGUCUAUAUAUGUUUUUAUCCAUGGAAUCACUCUUACCUUGUAGCUUCAGGAAUUCUAGAGUUCAGUGGCUAUCUAUUCUCAUAAUCUAUGAUGAACAGCUUGAAGAUGAAUUUAUAUUUGCAAAACAUGAAAUAUAUAUGGCAUCAUUUCUUAUGUUUGGGAUUACUCUUGUACUUAUCCAUACUGGCCUCACUGUCCGGAGAUCCUGAUAUAUGCCUUCUUUUUUUUCCUGAUGGUUGUUAUUGUCAGGGUGCUGGUAAAUCAGCUGUUUUGAACAGUUUAAUUGGACACCCCGUUUUGGUAAGUAGUACAAGGUUUGUGUUGUUUGUGACCAAAUUAAAGCUCUAUUUUUAUUCUAAGGUUAAUUUCCUCUUCUCCUUCCAGCCAACUGGUGAAAAUGGUGCUACUCGGGCUCCCAUUAGCAUUGAUCUGCAGAGAGAUGCUUCUUUGAGCAGCAAAUCUAUUAUAUUGCAGAUCGACAAUAAAUCUCAGCAAGUUUCUGCAAGUUAGUAAUUGCAUUUUUGCAUUCUCUCAUUAGUUCAAGUUAUUGGUUCACUGUUGCUUUUGUUCAGAUGUCUUUGGUCAACAUUAGGAAUCCCCUUUGAGAGCUUUAUGGUUUUUGAAUGACCUUUAACAUAUGCUGGGUGUAUACCCAGUUGAAGCCAAUGUGACUUACAACCCCUUACAAGAUAGUGUAGAGAAAUACUAUGAUGUUUUGAAUACUUGAUGUAUGGUGACCUUGCUAAGCUUAUUCUUAUUCUGCCAGUUUUGAAACUCUAAUAUAUUUGAUGUUGUUCUGCAGGUGCUUUACGGCAUUCUCUGCAAGGUAGGCUGAGUAAUGCCACAGGCAAAAGUCGAGAUGAAAUUAAUUUGAAACUACGGACAAGUACAGGUUAGUUCAUAUUGUUACCUAGCUUCCAGUCUCUUCACUCAUUAAUUAAUGUUAAGUGGUUGAUUGAAAUUUUCUUUCUACUAACAUGAUUUUUAUUGCAGCCCCACCUCUAAAGUUGAUUGAUUUACCUGGGCUUGAUCAACGAAUCAUGGAUGAGUCAAUGGUAAGUGACUGUUUGCAGUUCUAGACUGUUAGUCUUUCAAGGGAUAUGUGGUAGGAUUUAUUUGAUGCCUCAGUGGCACUGCUACUCCCUUUACUAAAGUUUAACCUGGUAAUCUUUAGCAAGAAAGUUUCAUUUUUCCUUUUGUAGAUUAGCGAAUAUGCUGAGCACAAUGAUUCAAUUUUGCUCGUUAUUAUACCUGCAUCUCAAGCACCUGAAGUUGCUUCAUCUCGAGCCCUCAGAGUUGUCAAAGAAUACGAUGGAGAUGGUAAAAACAUUGUUAUUUAGUUUGUAAGACCUUUUUUCCCUACUCGAGGGAGUGGGUUGCUGAAAUGUUCACUUUAUUCUUUGUUCUCUAAUUAUGUUCACCUUAAUGCACCCCCUCUAAUAUCCUUCCUUUUUUUUUCCCCAUAUUUUACUACAUUGUUAUUGUUUUAGUUGUUAGAGCAACUGAAAAGACAAUCAAAUAUUGAUUACAGGUACCAGAACUGUCGGUGUAAUUAGUAAAAUAGACCAAGCUUCUUCAGAUCAGAAAGCACUUGCUGCAGUCCAGGCUCUUCUGUUAAAUCAGGGGCCAUCUAGAGCAUCUGAUAUUCCAUGGGUUGCUUUAAUUGGUCAAUCAGUUUCAAUAGCUUCUGCACAGUCUGGAGGUUCUGAGAGUUCACUAGAAACUGCGUGGAGGGCUGAAAGUGAAAGUCUGAAGUCCAUUUUGACUGGAGCCCCUCAAAGUAAGCUUGGUAGAGUAGCAUUAGUGGAUGCUCUGGCGCAGCAGAUUCGAAGUCGUAUGAAAGUCCGGCUUCCAAACCUCCUUACUGGGUAAUGUUUCCUGGAUUCUAUAUAUCUUUUUUAUUAUAUUGUCUGCGUUUUCUAAGUCAUUCAUGUUAUUGGAAGCGCACGUCUUUAGGCUAUGCUUAGUGCUGUGUUACAAAAUGGUUAUUUGGUUUCCAAACCAGACAAUGAGUAAAAUGUAAUUGGUUGCCUUGGUAUUAGAGCUUGGAUCCUAGCCUCCACAAAGAAAAAACCCUAGCCUCCAUCAAAAAGAAGAAAAACCUAGCCCCACCCACUCCCCUCAGUCUGCCUCCUAUGGAGGUGGGCCUAGUCAUGGCCACGUCUUGGAUGUUUUUGGCUGCUGUUUGGUCAGGGUUAUUUUCUUGUUGGUAGCUUGUAUAUUCUUUUGGCUUUAUUCUGGAGUUUUGGGUCCACUUUUUCUGCUGAUCUAGUCCAUCCUAGAUGCGUUUUUGGUUUCUGGUUUUGGGGGGACUAUUUCCUGGUACCUUUACUAAUUGUGACACAAAAUCGUCAAAAAAUUUAGUUUAUAUUGUUAAUCCUAGGAUUUUUCAUUUCUAUGUGCUGUUCACAGCCCACUUGGCCAUUGCAGUUGCAUUUGCCUAAUAAAAUUAGCUUAAUCAAUACUUAAGAUAUUUGUAAUUGUAAGUAUGAGCUUAGGACUUGGAAAGUUUCUGAUUGAACAGCAAUGUAGUUUAAUUUACACCCCAUGCUUCAACUAUGGUAUUAAUUUUUUUUUCCAAGUUAAUUGGUUAGUUUCAAUUCAACAUGUACUUUUGUAUUUUCCAGGUUACAAGGCAAGUCUCAAAUAGUUCAGGAUGAGUUGGUAAAGCUUGGUGCGUCAAUGGUGCAGAGUGCCGAGGGUACCAGAUCUCUAGCUUUGGAACUUUGCCGUGAAUUCGAGGAUAAGUUUCUCCAACACAUUACAUCUGGUGAGGUGAGUUCUUUUUGUUAAAUGGCCAUUUUUGUGUUCUAAGUAUAUUUUGUUGUAUAUUACUUUUUAUUUCCUUCAAAUUAUUGGUAAAUUCAAAUACAAUAUUUUGAAUAGUUCAUAUAAGAAAGGUAGAAAAGUGGCAAACAGAUACAAUCCCUCCCAAAACCACAUCCCUCUUAAAAGUGGACGUAUGUUUAUUUUAAAAUGCUGUAAAGUACUAAGCCCUCUUUUUUAAUUUUAUUUUUUUAAUCAAGAAGUUUGUCCAAUCAUUGUUUGACAAUGAGGCGACCUUUAAGGUAGGUCUAAAAUCUCAUUAUUUUACUCCUUGUCUUGGGUUUUUAGAUGCAGUCCAUAUUGUAGUAAUAGAAGAGUCGUUCUGAAAUAUCUAAUGUAUUAAACUUAGCAAUCAUUCAAUUUAUAGAAUGUCUUACUAGAAGCCUUACUAAGGUUAAUAUAUUGUUCCGCUGCCAUGUUUCUAUCAGCUGCUCAUCCUAUUUUUUUGUGCAUUAUUAUGGAUCAUAAUUUCCAUUAGCUUCAAUUUUAUCUUAUAGUUAAAAUGGCCCCCUUGUUGUUACUUUAUGUGGUUUCUCAGAUUUCUUCACUAUAUUGAGAAUAAUUGGAUCUAUUUUGGGUUUUUGGUACCAUUUCGCUUCCUACAAUGAGAUGGAAUGUUUCAGGUUUAGGUAAUUUUCAUGGAGUUCCUUGAAUUUUUUGCUCAUAUGGUUUUAUAAAUUACUUUGCAGGGUUCUGGAUGGAAAAUUGUUGCCAGUUUUGAAGGAAACUUUCCAAAUAGAAUAAAACAACUCCCAUUAGACCGACAUUUUGAUAUCAAUAAUGUGAAGAGGGUAUGUUUUGUCUUUGCUUUGUUUCUCUUACACUCUGGUUUAAAAAUUCUUUUAACUUCUCAUGACUUCUUGCUAUCAUUUUCUAUCAGAUUGUGUUGGAAGCGGAUGGCUAUCAGCCAUAUCUCAUAUCCCCUGAAAAGGGUUUGAGAUCUCUAAUAAAAGGUGUUUUAGAGCUUGCAAAAGAGCCAUCACGUCUUUGCGUGGAUGAGGUAAACCUAGCCAUGUCUUGUUCUGCUUUUGCACAAGUCUGAAUUUCUUGUCUUGCUGUUUUCAAGUGUGCAGAAAGCUAUCGUGUAGUCUUCACCUUCGUUUUUUCCUCCUCUUUAUUAUGUUUGAGUUUAGUGCAGAAUAAUAAUUAUAAAUAGGAUUUUCUCUGGCUGGAAAAAUUGAAAUCUCUGACUUUGAUCUAUUUAUGAGUCUUAGACUGCAUUUUCAGUUGUGUUGUAGGUCUACAUUGCCUUGGGUUUCUUCUGAUAUCAAAAUAAUAAUAGUUGAAUAAUAUAAGUCCCACAUCGGAAACUAGACUAAAUAAAAUAUAAUAUAUAACGAAUGGUUCCACUACUAAUAUCAUUGAGGCCUUUUGUGGUAAAACUCCACACUAACUAGGCCUUGUAGGUGGUUAAGUUGGGGACAAUUUCGGUGUUUCUAGUAGUGGGUCAUUGACAUGUCUCUCUGAAAUUUAACAUGGUAUUAGAGCCAGGUUAAUUGACUGGGCCUGAAUUGGGCCUUUACCCUUCCCAAUAUGUGGUGUUCACUUGUUGGACUUGAAUGUUUACCCCUACCCCUUAUCCUAUGUGAUGGUCUCAUGUGAGGGGGUGUAUUGAAGAAUAUAAGUCCCACAUCGGAAACUAGACUAAAUAAAAUAAAAUAUAUAUUGAAUGGUUCCACUACUAAUAUCAUUGAGGCCUUUUGUGAUAAAACCCCACACCUACUAGGUUUUGUAGGUGGUUAAGUUGGGGACAAUUUCAGUGUUGCUAGUAGUGGGCCAUUGACCCGUCUCUCUGAAAUUUAACAAUAAUGUGGACUCAUCUCUUUUGAAUUUUGUUAUUUGAUAUGAAUGAGUGGUCUUGGAGGGCAUUACCUACAAUUAAAUUCAUCCCUUCACUGCUGUGCAAUCGUAGCAUGGACAAUUGUAUGAGUAAAUAUUGACAAGGAAAUCUUGGCUGAUUGAUUAAAUAGGUACACCGUGUCCUGGUAGAUAUAGUUUCUGCUGCUGCAAAUGCUACACCAGGUCUUGGAAGAUACCCUCCUUUCAAGAGGGAGGUAUGAUAACUGAAAUAUUGUCCGGUUCUUGUUCGUUUUUAGCUCUUUGCUUCCUAUAAUUUUUCACAAUGCUUAAUCCAAUGAAUAGAUUCUGUAUGGGUUAACUUUUUUUUUCUUCAAUUUAUUUCAAGGUUGUGGCCAUUGCAAGUGCUGCGUUGGAUGCAUUUAAAAAUGAAGCUAAGAAAAUGGUGGUUGCACUGGUAGAUAUGGAGCGUGCUUUUGUGCCUCCCCAACACUUCAUUCGCUUGGUGCAAAGGAGGUAGUUUCUAUUUUUUUGUUUGAUUGGUGACGCAUAAUGCCCAUUAGGGUUCCAGGUGCAAACUGUUUAAGUUGCUGUACAUAUUGGACAUUAUGCAGUAUUGCUGAAAUCAAUUCCUUUUGCAUGUUGAGAUGGAAGGAGCUUAAUUAGCUACACUAUUGUCAUAUAACUUAAGUGUGCGUGCACACACAUGUUCUUGCACACAUCGUGUCCACGUGGACUUUUUUAUCAAAUGUUUUGUUUUUGAGUCGGUAUUCUGAUGUAUAUAUGCAGCUUGUUAUACGAUCUAUUGAUUCUUGGUCUAUUACAGGAUGGAGAGGCAGAGAAGAGAGGAGGAAGUGAAAAAUCGAUCCUCAAAGAAAGGACAAGAGGCAGAGCAGGCAAUAAUGAACCGGGUAAGGGACCGACUCUUUGUAGUUAUGUAAACUGCGAUUAAUGAAAUUGAAUAUACUAUUAAGUGGGCAAAUGAAUUUAUUUUACAUAUAAAGUGCUGAUUUUAUCGUCUCUUAAUUAUUUAAGGUGCUUGUUCAUGAUUGUUCUUUAUCUUCUUUUUUUAGGCCACUAGUCCUCAAACAGGGGGUGAGCAAGCUGGUGGAAGCUUGAAAUCAUUGAAGGAUAAGGAUAAAUCUGGUAAGGACAGCAAAGAAGUACAGGAGGCAUCUGGUUUGAAGACUGCAGGUCCGGAAGGAGAAAUAACAGCAGGUUUGUAUGCAACUUUUUGCACAUUAUGACCGCUAGGAACAGGGAUAGAUCGUACAUCUGAUAUACUGAACUUCUUGUUUUGUGAAACUGAUGUUUGUUGUAUUAAUAUGUUUGAGAAACAGUAGGCCCUGCUGGUGACUGUUUUUCUGAAGAAAAAAAUUGAGUUUUCCUGACUGAAAACACUUUUAGUGGUAUUUUAUAAAGAUAUAUCUCGUUUUUAUUUUGCUAAGUACAUACUUAUUAUAGGAGGUUGCGUGAAACAUUUUUUUAAAGCUUAGAAUUACCUGCGGCAAGGUUCUCUGGAGUCAAUUGUCUUUUAUUAUGCACGUCGGAAGUGCAUUGUUCUCAAAUUAGCAUCCUUGAACAUUAUUUGGCAGUGAGCAGAUCAUUCCUUCACAUUUUUUAAAACGCCUGUGUAAAUUUUUGCAACAAUAUCAAACCAUACAUAACAGUCACAGAAACUGAUCACCUUGGUCAGGAAAUGUGGAAACAAACAUGCCAGGUCUUGUAUGCUCUAGUUCAAUCCCUCCCUUCCCCAAUUCGUAACUAAUAAAAAUGAUGAUAGUAACUGUGGGAACUUUGAGCGAUUGAAAGCACCUGUACUUUAAAAAAACUGUGUCAUUAAUCAGGGAAAAGUGGAAAUGUAUUAUCUUGGGGAUAUAUUGGUCUAAUUUUUCUUCAUUAUAUGUUAUGAUGUGAAUUCUUGGAAGCACCUGUACUAAGCUAGAGUCUUAUUGUAGCUGACUGCACUUUUCUAUUAAAGUAGUAAAUGGCCAACUUUAAAUUCAAAAUCCAUCUUGUGUUGGUUUUCUAUGGGCAAGGGGAUUUACUUCACCAUUUAGAUCUCUAAAGUUUUAUAAAUUGCACGUAUUAAUUUUAAAUUUUCAAAUAUUUGCAGGUUUCUUGUAUAAAAAAAGUGCCAAGACUAGUGGGUGGAGCAAGCGAUGGUUUGUUUUGAAUGAAAAGACUGGAAAGGUUUGUAAAAUUACACCCCAAGCCUAUGAUAAAUCCAAGCUUAUAUAAUUGCAAUGGAUUAUGGUGUCUAGAUAUCAGAUGAGUGUGUUUAUAUGAUGCAUCAAAUACUCAACAUAUGUUGGAUAAAUUUGUAUUGUGUUUGAUAUGAAUGAUAUUUAAAGACAUGGAUCAUUUGAGUUUAUUUAAAGUAGUAUUUUUUUUGUGUGGAUUUGUAUGAGUUCGGUACAUUAUCAAGUAAAUGGAGUUCGUAAUAGAAGGCCAAGGAGGAAUCAGCUCUGUUUGUCAAUCACCAAACCAGUCUGCAUCCAUUUCAAAUAAAUGUAGAACAUAAUCCAUAUAAGUACUAAGGAGAUAGAAGGGCCUUUCUUUGUCCAUACAAAAAGCAACCUUACGAGUUAUGCCUCAUCUCAGUCCAGAAAAGAAAAAGAGUUGUCCUUUGUUGGAGAGUCUUGAUCUCAAUCAGAAGUUGUUCUAUGCCUGCAAAAUUUCUGGCGUCUCUUUCAAGCCAUCAGUACCAAAAUAUCUCUUUAUCACUAACUUUCUAUGGCAUCCAGUAUAUUACCAAUUGAAGUGGUGGCACCCAACCAACCAUCAGGCAGAGACACAUAUAACCUUAAAACUCCAAAAAUGCAUAAGAAAUUGAGCCAUACAUUUCCUAUUAUCUUUCACAUUCUACAACCAUUAACAAGAAACCUGCCUCCUUUUGGGGAACAAAGAAAGAAAACACAUCAAGGCUUGGUGGCUAAAAUAACCACUUUCUUUAUCUGGCUAAUCUUUUGCUUACGUUUUUCUACUUAAAAUUCCACUAUUUGUUUUUUGAUUAUUAUCUGAGAGGAAAGCCUUCAUGUAUAGUUUUAUGUAUGUUCCAAUCCCUUUUGUUUGAGUCCUUAUAAGAUAGUGUCUUACUGCCAAACUAGAAGUCUUAUAAAGGAUGGAGUAGCACGUGCUAGCUCGCAGAUUAUAUACAUGUCCCAAGAUGUUGGAAUCGAGUCAUUUGUUUGCUUUCUCUUUUUUUUUACUUCAGAAUAUUGGAUUGUAAAUGUGUUACUAUUGUUGUUGCUACUCCUUUCGCUCUUGCAAAUUGAUAUUUGGAUUUAAUUUGACCCUUUCUUUAUUUCACAGCUUGGCUACACCAAAAAGCAAGAGGAGAGACACUUUCGUGGUGUCAUCACUUUGGAGGUAUGAGAACCCCUCCAAUGUCUCACCUCUUCAAAUUUAAGAUUAUUAGUUAUCUUAAUCAACCAAUUUUAAUCCCUUUGUAGCAUUUUACAUUGCAUUGCCAUCAGUUGUGGUUGCCUAGGAGUUAUCUGGAAGUAAUAUUUAGUUUCCCAAUGAAUAGAAGUAGGAUAUGCUUCGAUGCUGAGUUCUUUUCUUUUGAAUGUUUUUUCCCUGAGGUUUUCAGAAACAUUUCACUUGAUUUCUUGACUUGAUUGAUUAUGAAUUUUGGGUCGAAGGUGCUAACUGUGCCUACUGGUUUUACUAGGCUUGACAUUAGUAUAUGCAUACUGUUUGAUCUUUAUGGAAUCAAGUUAAUCCCUUGAUAGCAUAAUAGAUAUUUGUAAUUGUGAAGUUGUUUACACACAACUAAAUUCAUGUUGGUGUUAAAAAUAUGACCAGCAUUUCAGAUAGUAAUGAAAAUUUUGUUCUCUCUUUAGUCUUCUCAUCCUGUGAUCGAGAAGGGUGUGACGACCUAUCUGUUUAGUCAUCUUGGUGCAUGCACAAAGCAUUAUAUUGAAUGUGUGAACUCAACAUGUAUAUUGUUAAGAGCGGUCAGGGCUUACACCAUUCAUUAUGAAGCUGAAUGCCAGUGGCAACAGUGACCAAACUCUUUAUUAUUCUGCAGGAAUGUAAUAUUGAAGAGGCUACUGAUGAGGAAGAACCACCUCCAUCAAAGAGUUCGAAGGACAAGAAGGGAAAUGCGUCAGAAAAAGCACCCAGUCUUGUGUUUAAAAUUACUAGCAAAGUUCCAUAUAAGACAGUUCUGAAAGGUAUAUCCUUUUCUCUGGUGGUUGAAGUUGUCUGGCAGCAGAUUCAGCCAGUCUGAAAUGCAAGUUCAUUAUCAACUUGAUUUCCAUUUUUCUUGCAGCACACAGCGCUGUUGUGUUGAAGGCGGAGACCGUGGCAGACAAGAUUGAGUGGAUAAAUAAGAUUGGAAAGGUUAUUCAACCUUCUAAAGGACCACUGAGGGGUGCAUCAACUGAAGGUGGUCCUACCAUGCGACAAAGUCUUUCUGACGGUCUCUUGUGAGUUACUGACUCUGUCACUCUUACAAUUAUAAUAAAAUGAAUGGAUGACUGUAUGUGAAUGUCAUUGUGGAAUUCUGUUUUUCUGUGAUUCAUUAUUUUGUUACAUUCACUAUUGCUAUCUAUGUCUUUGUAGUUGUAAUUCCCUGUGUCAAUGGUCUACUAUAAUAUUGUGAACCUGUAGCCUUAAUUUUAUUUGUUUAUUUUUUAUAUUCAAAGUUCUGACUUCUCAUGUCGAUCUCUUUUUAGGAUACCAUGACUCGAAGACCUGCUGACCCUGAAGAAGAACUUCGGUGGAUGUCUCAAGAAGUUCGUGGAUAUGUUGAAGCUGUUUUGAAUAGUUUGGCUGCAAAUGUCCCUAAGGUAAGCUUGGAACAUCAGCUUUGUAAUUUUUUUUUCCUUGUGAUUGGACAUUUGGAGGGUACUUAAUACAUUUGUGAUUGGUUGAGCAGGCAGUUGUUCUUUGCCAAGUUGAAAAAGCCAAGGAAGACAUGCUAAAUCAACUAUAUAGUUCUGUCAGGUUAAUUUGAUAUUUUCUUUCCUGCUUUUUAUCUACCUUUUAGCUUGGACUUGCUAAAUCGGCUGCCUUUCAUAUGUUAUAUGUGUUGAUGAUGGUUGUGAUAAAUUAGUAAUAUAUGUGCAGUGCACAAAACACAGUGAAGAUUGAAGAGCUGCUUCAAGAGGAUCAGAAUGUAAAGCGUCGGAGGGAGCGCUACCAGAAACAGUCCUCACUACUUUCCAAACUAACACGCCAACUUAGUAUUCAUGACAACCGAGCGGCUGCUGCCUCCAGCUGGUCCAAUGGUGGUGGUGGUGCACCAGGUAUGUAGCUAAGAGCUGUUCUCAAAUUAUUUUGCUUUGCUUAUAAAUUUAUAUGAUAUUCUGGAGUGAAUGAAUAAAUAAAUAAUAGAAAGUGCUUAUCAUUUAUAACAUUUCUUUCCUAUCUUUCUUUCGGAAUUUGUAGAUUCAUUUUCUUUUACUUGUCAACUGGACAGACCUCAAAUGUUUUUAGUCCACUGAAUUUCUAUGUAAAUGCUUCUUUCUUUUUCUAACAGACUCUUAGAUUCUUUGAAACCCUUAAUUCUGAUCAAGACUCUACCUUUUCGCUUUUGAAUUUUAUUUGCUUAGUAAUUGAUGGACAUUGUAUGUUAAAUUUGCAGAAAGCAGCCCAAGAUCAAGUGGUGCAACAGGUGAUGACUGGAGAUCUGCCUUUGAUGCUGCCGCCAAUGGUCCAGUUGACCGUAAUUCAUCUAUAUCUAGGUCUUCAUCCAAUGGCCAUAGUCGACAUUAUAGUGAUCCAGCACAAAAUGGUGAUGUGAACUCGGGUUCAAACUCUGGUAGCCGUCGCACUCCUAAUCGGUUGCCACCUGCACCACCAGGUUCUUCAGGCAGCAGAUACUUUUAGAUGGGCGUCUAGAUUGAUUAAUUGAUGAUUUAUAUUUUCCUUGCAUUCUUGGUGGGUGAGGCUGCUCCGCCCUACUACAUGAUUUUUCUAGUAGAAUCCUUAGACGAGGAGAGAGGGUGUGUGUACAUAGAAGAUUACAGUCCUAUCAGGUUCUUACGGCUUGCCCCCGUGUCACAAGGAUGGAUUCAAGGCAUACUUGAAACACUCAUAUAUUCCUCUAUUCAAUUUUUCUUUCCGCGCGUAGAAUUUUACCUUUCUUUUCAUUACCUUUCCUUUUUUAUUUUCCUCCACCCAUUUUUGGAUACUAUAGCUGUAUUUGCCUGUCAUGAUUUUGAUUUGAUAUGUACGUUCAAGCUUUGAUGGCUUUGUAACAUCUGGAUUCUCCUCUGUAGAGGGAUGGAUAUAUUAUAUCUCUCUCAAUGUCAUAUAUUUUGUUUUCCAGUAUUGAACCAACCCUCUUCAUUUUUUAGUUGCGGCAGAUGGUUACUUGUGCAACAAUCUGCAAUAUUCAAAUUUAUGAUAUUUCUUGUAAUGAAUUUUUCAUUUCUCAAAGAUUAGAAGAGGCUGAUAGAACUCUUAAGUCUUUGAUUUCGGUUUUCGUGUUGCAAUCCUAAGUAAAUUGUGGACGGCACAAAAAAGCCAAUAUGAUAUUAGAAGCUUAAUUUUUAUCCACAUUAUAUAGGCGAAUGCAACAAUAAUUUACCAAAGCGUUAGGUUGUUGGUGUCAUUUAUCAGAUUUGAAUUGAUUGAUUAUUAUUUGGUUUUUAGGUCCUGGUCGGAAUGGGUAUUCUUUAAGAAUGAUGAUUAUUAAAAACGAAAAAUUGAAAGAAAAUAAGGAUAACAAACUAAGGUAGCUCUGUAAUUAUUUCUUCUUAGAAAUGUCUCUUAAGGUAGCUUUUCCCCCAUUGGGAGAAAUAAAAGAAGUCCCAUCUGAAAAGCUUCUAUUCAACUUGAUCCUCAAUGCGGAUGUUCAACCUCCUGAGCCAAAUAGAGUGAACAAUCAUAUUGAAAACAUCAAAUCUCUUGGAGGGUCCGUUUACCACAAAAUGCCUUUGAACCUGUUUCACUCUCCUGUGCAUUCUCAAAUACUGACUCUGAGAUAUUCCCAUUAGUAUUGUUUUGAUGUUUGGUAUGUCCUCCACUUGUAUUUGGACAGAAAAUGACUUCCAAUCAAGAACAUCACUGAAUGGUGGAACAUAGCUAUCAGAUAUCAACACAGGAAUGCAUUCAGCAUAUAUGGCUUCCACAACCCUGGGGCUUGCCACUUCAUAACCGCUAGGGCAUAAGCAAAACCUGCUCUUCUUCAACAUCAAUUCAUAGGACACUCCGUGGGGAAGUUGGUCGUAAACUUGCACGUCUUGGUCUUUCUCUUUCCAUUCAUUUAGAAGCAAGUACCUUAUGUGGCCAUGUAGCCGGCCUGCGAAGAAGGCAAGAAUCGACCUGCGAGAUGGGGAGAGCCCACCAACAAGUCCUUUGAUUUCCCCGGUUCGGAGAUGGAUUUCUGGAAAUGAGGCAUCUUUAGAAGGAUUGAAUCCUUCAGAAGUGUUGGCGUUGCAUAACACUCUUAUGGACUUGUGGUACAAAUGAGGAACAUAAGAAGAUGUGCGCGGCCCCUGUAGACAGACAAAUUCAGUUCACAACAUAAAUUUGGAACCACUAUUGUAAGCCUCAUGCAACCAAGUUAACAUAUAAAUAUAAUGGACUAUUUUGUAUAAACAGAGAAAACAAAAAAUGAAAAGGAGAGGCAAAGUUUAGGGUAAAAAGGUGAUACGAUUUCUUACCCAAUCAUGGCAAGAAAGCAUAAAGUGGUCAGCGCCAAGGCUUCUAUUCCAGAAGGGAUGCUUAUCGGAAAUGACAUUGACAUAGUCGAUGACAGCCCGUCCAAUGGAGUCUGUGUUAUGGGAGUCGGCCGCAUAGAGGUACUGAACCAACAUUACCACACUAAAUGGGAGAAAAUAAACCAGGGCCUCAUCAGGGUCUGUGGUUUUGUAAAUGUUAUUGUCCAUUUCCAUUUCAUGAAUAAACCUCCCUUCUGUAGAAUAUAUGCUUUUGCAAGGACCAUUGUGAAAUAUUGGUGGGUCUCCUUCUUCAUAUACAUAUAUCUUGAAAAGCCUCUCCAUCUCCAAAUAACUCCUGCAGUUCAAUCAAUUUAAUUUGUCUCUGAUUUAUAAAGAAUCAAUAUCCAAGUCGUAAAAACUAUUUGUACUAAUAAUUAAGAUUGUAAAUAAAAUACCUGUGAAAAGCAUUUGCAUUCCUGUAUAUUGGUCCUUUAGGAACAUAGUCGGGAUCUUCAUGGGUAGAGGUUAGAUUUCGAACUCGAGCAGCUUCUCUUAUUGAAGCCCGAACUCCAGCCAAAUUUGCUUCAAGUUUCUCUAACCUGCUAUAUCUCUUUAUAGUUACUGCUGAUGCAGAAGUCACAUUAACUUCAUCAGCUCCUAGGCCUUGAUCAUUCCAUACCAUCUCUUGUUUUUCUCCCUGUGGUUAUGCAACACCAAUAGAACAAUAAGCUACUUCGUGAACUUGAAGAAACACAUUAAUGAUUCAUAAAGUUACAAUGGUCAUGCAUGAAAAAAAAAAAAUCAAAAUCUUAAUUACAAUUUGAUGAGGGAGAAGAUGUGUUGUUGUUUCAUUUGGUUUUGACGAUGAUGAAGAAUUGAUAUGAUGAGCUUCUGAAGCUUCAAGCACUUGAGAAGGUCUUGAUCUUGUAGAGACAGCUCGGGAUGAAGAAUAGUCAGUCUCCAAUAUUUUGUUGCCAAAUCUCCAUGUCCAUGAAGACGAACCCGAAGUGCAAACAAGCACUGAUAUCACAAAAAAGGGUACUACAAACACUAAAAUUAAGACUGAAUAAUAUGAAGAAGAUGACCACAAUGAUGAAAACAAAGAAUAUGGUUUAUUCAGAGGCUUCAUCUCUCUCUCUCUCUCUCUCUCUCUCUCUCUCUCUCUCUCUCUCUCUCUAUGGUCAUCCACAAAUCACAAUUACACUAUAUGUGCAUGCAGUACUAGAGUACUGAAUGAGCUUAUUGUGCUAUUGAUGGAUUCAUUACUUAAACUGCUGGUUAUUCCUUGCUGCUCAUAAAAGUCAUUCUUUGAGAGAGGGUUGUGUGGCAAAGCUUUUUGGUGUCUAUAUAUAUAAGUGUCUGUGUGUGUGUUUCUGGCCAUAAGAUGCUUCCUUGCUACUUGAUCCAAGUUUGGCUCUCUUUCCAAAAGUUACACAACUUUCAUAUUUGCAUUAUUUUUUCUUUCCAAUUACUACCACUCGCAAUCACUGAUGCAGGGAUCCUAACCUAACCAACAAAUUAGAAAUUAGAAAGAACAGAAUUUAAGGGUUUAAUAAAUUUGAAUAAAAUGUUCUUCCCAAAAAAAGAAAAAAAUAGUAUGGGGGAUUAUAAUAUUAUGAUACAGAACGUGUUUAUUAUGCUUGCAGAUAACAAGGCUCUCUAACUUCAAGUUUCAAUUCCCAGUAAUCAAUCUGGCAAACUAAUUAAACUAAUGCAGUGCACAACUAAUAAAAUAUCUCAAUCCUGACUCAGGUAUCAGACAGUGCUAGUUUAACCCAUUGAGAUAGCUGUUAGUUAUAAUCGUGGCAGGGUGUAGGAAACAUAGGAGGGAUAAAAGAACAGUUUCAAGUACAAUAGAAACUUAAGAGCCCUUUCUUUGAUACGAAAUAAUAUUUGAUUAUAUGCACCUAAAUUCAAAAAUGGAACCUACUUCAUUACCAAGUCAUCUUGGGAUGCCCUCAAAGUCCGACUUUCUGUCCGUCACCGUCACCGUCACCGUCACUGUCACGUACACUAACUUUGAUUUUGCAAACAUUUUAGAGAAUCCAAAAAAUGUAUUGUCCUACCAGGCUUUCCUACGAAAGUUGAUUUUUUCCCUUUCACUUCAUCUUAAUAAUUAUUUAUAUUUUCUACAAGGGCACAGCCGUUAGUUUGGCAAGGAGGAAAAUUUCUACUACACACACUGGUCGGGAAGAGGUUUUAAGGUGAUGAUUUGAAUUUAGAGUGUCUGAUUUUACUUCUCGCCUCAUGCUCAUUCUUUUACCACAUUAGACCAUAUCGCAAGAUUUGCACCACUCGGAGUUUUGAGGUGCUCUAUAGUUCAAUUUUGAGGUUUACAAAUGUACAAUUCCAAUGGUUUUAUUCUUGCCACCUAUGAAUUGUCCCCAUAUUUGCUAGCCUAGACGGAAAAACAAAGAAAGGGCUAGCUACCACUCCAAAGUCUCCCCUGUUUCUUUAUCAAUCAUAACAGUCUCGUUUCUGAAUGAGGUAGUACUAUUAUUAUUAGUAGUAAUUAUAACACGCACCUUAAAAGAUUUUAAAUCAUGAAUUAAUGUUGACCAUUUUGUUAUCAUCUUCUGUAAAACUAAUUGUGCAAGUGUUUUCCGUUUGGAGGGUACCAUCUCCAUAUAGAGACAUAAUUUACUCAAAAGUCAAAAACCCCUUCUUUUGAAUUUUAGUACAAACCCAAAAAGCGCAGGCCAAGAAAAAACGUUUCUACCUCUCUACUUGUUGUUCGUAGUUUAAACGGAAAGGGUCGGUUGUUGAUUUUAGACAACAAUUCUUACAAUAUGUAAGUUGUGCUUCAAUGCCCAGUAUUGGAUCCAAAUGAAAUUGCUUUUUUGGUUGCAAAGUUAGGAAAGGAGAGGGUGGUUUUCUCACGCACAUUGUCAAAGUGCAAUGGAGUCGAACCUAAGAUUACAGGUCUACAAGUCAAGACCCUUUUUCAAUGGACUAGACCUCGUUGGAUGUAGUAAAAAAGAAGUAAAAUCAUUCCCCACAAGAAAGCUAGAAAGCUCCAAGAUAUGUUUACCAUUUGUAAUUAUAAUUAAGGGAACGGAGAAAAAAAAUAAAGAGUUGCUGCAAAGAUUAUAAUGAUGAUAUAAAUAGGACAAGGAUACAGCUCACAAGUAAAAAGAGCCAGGAAGGGCUCAACCGACAAAAUUUCCUGGACUGGUCUGUUCUAUGAACACUAAAUGCCAUAUAAACACUAACCGCCAUAUCUAUGAAAAGCUUCACAAGAGCUAACAAUGAAAAAAUUAAACAUACAAGAAAUAUUAUGAUACCCUUAUUAUCUACAGAUUGCUGCUUCUCCCUCACCUUUUCAACCUCAGAUCUGCAAAGCAAUAACAAUUGUAUUAGAAUACACGCAUCUAUAUGAACUGUUCACCUAGCAGAAACAAGUAGAUGAAUUCAGGCUAGAAACAUGGAGGUGAGCAUUAAACCAUUGUUUACUUUUUCUGGUUGCUUCAGCUUACAUAUAUUUGAUGAAAGCGAAGACGGAAAACAUGCAUAAGGUUGCCUUAUCUUUAAAUUAACUUGCUUAAAAAUUAAUCCCUGUAUAUAUAACUACCCUUUACGAGCUCAUAUAAAAUAUUUAUUAUACAGAAUUUGAAACACUUCAGUUUUCUUAAGUUUCUUUUCUUUCUUUAUUUGCUGUAAAGAGGAGCUCAUAAGAUUGCGUGCACUAAAUAGUUACUCCCCAGAAAAAAGUAACUUGUCAACUCAACAUCGCAUCAAUGUAGAAAAGAAAAUUUCAAUACAUAAAAAAUGGAGAAGUCUUAAACAAAAGAUCAAACCCUGACCUGAGGAUAGCAUUGUCCCUGACUAAAUUACCCAAUUGCAUGGAGACUAGGGACUGCCAAGAUAUAAGGUUGCGAACAUCUUUAGCCUACAAGGACAAGAAAACCAUUUUAAAAAAAGUAUUAACGCAUAAUACCGCCAAUAAAGAAAAGGCAAUACCAAUAUUUCCAAGAAUAAUGACAAAGCUAAUAAUAGUCAAAAUUCUAUGAGAUAAGAGUUUUACAUACAAUGAUUUCCUGGCUUUCAAGGAGAUUCCUUAUGUCUUCUCUGAUCUUCUGUACAUCUAAAUCUUUUUCUCCCAAAUCUUUGUCGAAUUCUCUGAAAAUACUGCCAUAUCUUGAAUUAGAUUCCUCCAGGUAUCGCUCCAGAACUGAUAAACUAAAAUCCAAGGAACGAACUUUCUGCAUUAGUAUUUUAAGAACGGUGUCCCCAGGCAUCCUGUUAACUUGUAGAUGGCGAACCUCUUUGAUAGGAUCAGGCACUUCACUUUUCAUUAUUUCAUUGUUCAGGUCAGAGUGUCCAACUGCAUAUUCAGGUUCCAAUUCUUUAACAAUAUUAUGAUAAAAUUCAUCAACCUCAGGGGAGUCUGGGUUGGAGGACGUAGGUUUCUGGUCAACAGUUGCUCCCUCAGACACAAACGGACUGUUUUCAACAGAAAUCAAAUCCUCAAGCAUUCGCUCAACAGCAUCCACUCCAUAAAUUUCAACAACACUGAGUGUGCAAUAGAAUUCUGAACCAUGAUGGCUCAAAAGAUUCAACUUUAUAUAUCUCACCCACUUCGGUUCCUGAAGAUCAAACCUUUGUGCAAGCUUAUUAUUUGCAGCAGUGAAAUUCCCAAGUAGAACCCAUUCAUCUGUUGGAUAGACCAAACUGCCAAGCAGCUCAAAAGCCUUUAAAUUAGAAGAAUAGUGCUCAUGAUUAGCUAUUUGAAUUGUAUCUACUAACGUUUCUUCUGAAAGCUCUAUAUCGACAAAUUUUCCUUCUGCAGAACAUGGAUUGCGAAGGUACUUGUCCUUAUCCCUGCCUAAGAUAUUAGAGGCACCUUUAGCUUCCUUGUUAAAAGCCAAGACCUUGGCUCCCUUUGCAGCUGAAGCAUAAUUGUAUUCAGCACCACCAGGCUCCACUCUGUGUUUUAUGCCUCCAGCCUCACCAUUUCCAGAUUUAGUUUUGGAAUUAAAUGUUUUGCUCUUGAACUCAUCAAGACCAAGUGGCACAGCACGAGGUAGGCGGCCAUUCUUUGGAGCAUCAUUUUCAAGUUUCACACCUGAACCAGAGCUCACCACCUCAGGUUGCUCACUAACAGCUGAGUCAAAAAAUAUAUUUCCUUCAGCUGAGGCACAAUGUCUACUUCCUUCACUAGCAAAGAAUUCACCAUUUAAACCACUGGUUUCAACACCAUUUGCGCACGCACCACCAGAAUAGUAGACCAAAUCAGUUUCUUUUUGUAUAUCUACAGAAUCAGAGUGUUCAUCCCGGUCCAGCUUAGCUUUGUCCCAAGUUGAUAUACCAACUGGAGAUACAGUGGAUCCAUCUAACACAAAGAAGAGACUAAAUAGCUCAUAACAAGCAGCAUGCAGGAGUAAAUCAUAAAAAUCACACUAAAAGUGAAAAAAGAUAAAAGAAAAAGAAGAAAUAAGAUGAAUGUAAAAAGCGAAAUUAAUAACAGUGUUUCAUCAAAGAAUUCACUUGUUUGCAAGGGGAGAUACACAGUGUCAACUUAUCGAUAGAUUUUCAGCUGCAAUUUCGCUCAGGAUAUCUCAAAGCAUGCUAACACUGCAAACCAUCUUUAUCUCAGGGAAGUUUCAUGAAAUUGCAGAAACCUUCCAGACGAUUUCCUUGCUUGGGCACAAAUUUUGGUCUUGCACUGAAAAUACUUCAGGUGCUUCUCUACUAAGCACUCCUAUUGUGCCCUUACACAAGAGUUGACUGCCUCUUGGAUUUCCUAAUUUUUAAAACCUUAAGCUCUUUCCCUUACUUUUUUUUUUUUUUCAACCAAUGUCAGAUGGUAAAUAAAAGGUUGAAAUGUCCAGUUUCCAAGCCUCCCCGACCAACUAAACAGCCCUCAAUAAUAUAACCUGCAAUGAUUUCGGUCUUCAACACUUAGGAACCCAAUCAAUUUUCCCAGUCUUUAAAAUUUCCCAAAGCCCAACCCUCAGCACCAGCAGCCCUAUCAUCAGCAGCGUUAGUCGUCCAUCAUCAAUUUUCCUGUUUGUGAUUCUACCCAAGUACCAUGCCAAUGCACCAUCUCUUCGUGAUUCUUUUUCUGUUGAGUAAAAGUGUAUCAAUGUUGAGAUGUACACAUGUACAAAGAGCUUCCCUACAACUAAUGUCCGAAUGUACAAAAGGGAAGAGCUUUGCUCUAAAUGAAGUUGAGGUAUCAUAUCUGCAGCCACAUGCAAUGGUAGUGAAGUAUGAAUACCAUUUUAUCUUUAUUUUUGUUUUUAUGAGAGUGAUAUGAAUAUUUGAUUGAGUGUAUGAGGCUAUAGAAACUAAAAACUAUAUGGUGAAACUAAAUCCUUGGUUUGUUUAGUAGUCAGCAAAGAGUAUUAUAUAUUUUGGGCUUAAUUAUUAUGCUUUCUAGAGAUUUUAUUUAUUGAAAAUAUUGUACAUUUUUAAUUGUAAACUUUGAGUGCCAAAUGGCUUACAUGUCAACACCUCGAGGCUUAUGCCUUGCCUUGUCAGUAAUAAAGUGCCCCCUCCUUAUGCCUGUAUCAUUGAAAACUUUAUCCUGAAUCAUAUAAACCUCCUAUGCACCUAUACUAAACCCCAUUGGGCAAGUCGAAAUAGUAGAUAGUUGACUUAACAUCUCCUGAAGUGUCAUUCAUAGUUUGCUCAUUUUCCCCCUAAUUUCUGCCAUUUCCCCUUUACUGAUAUCUACAUUUCUGUGUUUUCAGGUCGUUGAUUUUUCUAAAUUGUUUUCAGGUUAUGAUCUGCAAUUUUCAUUAUUGUUUUUCCUUUCGGCGAUUAGCUAUGGAGCAGAGAGAUUUUAGGUACAGAUAACCACAAGGACAUACCUCAAUAACUCUUCUAUAAUUAUAUCUAGUUCAAUCUGUGCUGCUGUACAACAUACAAUAAUAAUAUGUUUUCAGUUGCUUAUUAAAAAUUUCCCCAACCUGGUUUUGAUAACAAGUCUACGCAAAUAGAAAAAUAUUUCAUCUUUGGAUCCUCCCAUAUUAUACCCAUGCAUGAAUUUCAAAUGAUUUAGUAUAUUAAAUCGCUCAGCGCACCACAUCCAGGAUCAGAGUUAACUAACUGAGUCACUGAAGCAGAAAUGUAGCAAAUAAUACCAUAACAUAUAAAUCACAACGCUAAAUUGGUGAGUCAAACAAAAGAAAAAGGAAAAUAGAUUAAUAUAUGCAAUGUAACGGCCGAGCUGAUAUUUCAGGUAAACAAGAAUAAGUAGAGACCACUGAUUCUAAGCUAAACUCAGCAUCAGAAGCAGUUUUGCAACCAAACAAAAAAUGGUGAUCAUAUUCACUGCAGAAGCUUAGUGCUUUAGAUAUUAUUUCAGAAAUUCACAAACAGUUCAUAAAGGAAACCAACAGAAGAGAAUUGUAUUGAGUAGAGAGGUUACCUCUGUAUCCAUCUCCACGACUGAACCAUAAGCUGAAAAGAAAGACAAGCCCCCACAAGACAAAAACUAAAGACAGAGACACCUUAUACAAGCGGCUCCUUCCGCCGAACCCCAAAGCUCUUCUUUGCAGAAGAGCUCUACGUGACCUUUGCAUUGCACAUCAAUCCAAUCCACUGCUGAACGAAGAAAAAACAGAGAACAGAGUACCUGUACCGAACAAAACAUAGACUUGAGUUGAGUUCCACUCUCUAAAAAUAUAAGAAAAUGAAAUUACAUACAUUUCACAGCUAUGAUUGUUGUAAACGGAUUCCAAUCCAAGUCAAUGAAUCAAUCAGAAUACAAUAUAAAUAAAUAUAUAUACAAACAUGUAUAGCUUGCAGAUUCAGCUACAUGCAACUACAUUUUGAAGCAGAUGUGAAAUGAGUUAUCUUUAAUGGAAAAAAAAAAAUGAAGUGUUUAGAUUGCAAGCUAUACAAUUAAGAGAAAACUUAAUGGGUGAAAUACCAAACCGAAUUAUCUAGUAGCUGUACAAAUUGAUGAGAAAAAAAGAAGAAGAAAGAUUGAGUAGACACCCAUUUCGGUAAAUUGAAAUGGGAAUUCUCCACCAAAAGAACCAAAUUCACCUUCGCAGCCAAGCAAAACAACCUUUUGAUCUCUUAAAGAUACACUCUUUCACCAAAACUGAUGGCGAAAUGAGUAAAACAAACAAAGCCCAUGAACUAAAUUAAAAUAGAAGAUGAAGCAACCCUUCAUGCCAGCCUGGUUCUGUCUCUAAAAUUCAAAAAAUAUCUUCUUUUUUUAUUAGAAAAGAAAAGCAAAAAACUGCAAUUAUAUAAAUGUAAGCAGAUCUUAGUCUAAGUGGAUAGACAAUAAUUCCAGCUUCAAUUGGGGUAACCAAAGAUGAGAUCCAAUUCAAAAAAUACUAUUAAAAAAAAACAAAGAAAAGCAAAAUGUUCAAAAGAAACAAAGAAUAAGAAUCACAUGCCGACCUUGCAGGUUGGUGAAUCAGUCGGUAUCGUAUUGAAACGAUCAACAAAUAAGAACAAAACAAAAUCGGCAAAGCGGGGAAAUUUUCGAGAUUAGCGAAAGCAAAUCAGAAAUGCGAAGUCAUCGUAGAAGAGCGAAAACAGAGCGUCAAUACGGCGUAGUUUAAGGAGAUUGUUCGCUUUGCCUUGAGCGUCAAACGUCUUCCCCCUUUUUAUAUUCAUCUUCAUCGUCGUCGUCACUGCCUGUGUCGCUUUCUUUUGUAACGGUUUUGCUUCGAUUUGAUUUCGCCGAAUAGUUGUUUUUUGAUAACAGUUAUUUAUUUAUUUUGAAAUUCAAACAAAUUUUUUUUUUUACCCUUUGCCUUUUUCUAAAUUGCAAGAAUGGGGUUAAUCUGUAAAAAGCAUGUUUGGAUGGUGGAUUGAGGCUUUUGGUAUUUCGGUUGGCUCUAGAAUUGGAGAAAAACUUCCCGGCCAAUAAUGCUAUUUUACAUGAAAGUGUUAUCACGCUUAUCAUAAUUUUAUUAACCGGAAUAACAAAAUAGUGUUAUUUCCGUUUCAUAAAAGUGUCUCUCCUAAAAUUGUUGGAGAAGUAGAGGAAGUUGUGUCACCUUACCCAAACAGCAACUAUUUUGGGGAUUGUAAAAAAAAAAAAAAGACCACCAUUCAUGGGAAUUUUCAAAACUUGAGAUGAGGAAAUCCAGAUUCUUAUUGUAACUCAAAAAAAUAAAAUAACAAAAAAGAAACAUCCUAAGCAAGCAAGCAUAUAGAAAUGAAGAAAAAAGAAUGAGGGAAGGACUGUUGGUACCUCUUUUUGUAAAAGCAGCUUUUACCUUGUGCAUUAAGGCAUACGAGCAAUUCUGCCCAGUAAGAAAAGGAAUUUCAGACUUUCUCAAUGCCCACAUUGGACAGGAUACUGGGUAUUUAUAAAACUGACAAGGGCACUGAACCCUACGACAAGUUAGAAAUUCUAGAUAUUUUUUUUCUUUUCUGUUUUUGUGUAUCACAAUAAGCCAAAAAAAUCGAAAUAAUUGAACCCUUUAAAAAAUAAUAAUAAUAAAAAUAAAAAUCUUCCAUGCAAGACAAGAUGCUUGGAUUCGUGCUUGAUGAAUUGUAGAUUGCAUUCCAUUAGUGCAAAACUUACUAUGUUUUUUUAAAAUGGGAAAUUAAAUUUUAAAAAGCUUUUGCAAGUAUUUGUCAUGAGUGGAUGACCAGGAGGAUGAAUGAAAAUGUUUUGUUUUUGUCAGUGGAGUGAGCUGGAAUCGCAUGCACGUCAUUGCCAACAUCUAGUUAGUACGUGGCACUGUAGCACGUGGCAGUGCCAGUAUGUUUCUUACACGUAUGCAUUGACAAAUAGACAUGAGCUGUACCUGCCUUCUCUCUUAAGUCUAAAAUACUACCGACGUGUCCAGCGGGCACAGCUCGAGCUUAUCUUUGCUCACCACAUAUCACCAAAUUGUUGGUGAUCAUUUUUUACAACAUAAAAACAAAACAUCCGCAUUUCAUUCUUAAUUAUUGAAUGAGUUUGAUUUAAUGUAUUCGCCUUCACUCUCACGUCUCAAAACUAAACUACGCUACUGCCGACUAAAACUACCGACAUGUCCAGCGGCCAAAGCUCCUCUCCACAUCGAGUAUAUUUUGUUAUGAGAUAAAGACAAUACAUUAUAUUUAUAAUUUAGACACAAAGAUCGAGCCAAUAAAAAAAAAAUAGUCACAGAAGUUUGAAGGAAGUUAAGGUUCCACUCCAAAACCAAUUGGCAAUGGGAGGAAAAUUCUAACUCUUUAUAAGCCCUUGCUAAGUUUCUCAACUUUCCAAUGUGAGACUUUUUAUCUUCACAUUCUCACAUGCCCCCACAUGUGUGACGAAUUUUCAAGCCUAACACAUGGGCAACCUGGCUCUGAUACCAUAAAGAAAGUUGAGGUUUCACCCCAUAACCAAUUGGCAAUAGGGAGAGUAUACGAAAUCGCAAUAAUGAGAAUUUUUUUAACAUAAUAAGCAUUUUGAACAAAAAAAAAAAUGGUGAUAAGCAUAAUCUUUUCAUUAUUAAUUAUCGAAUGAGUCGAUUUAAUGUAUUUGCUUUAUAAAUCACACACACACAAAAACUUGAUUUUUUAUUAUCAAAAUGGUCUUUAAACUUAUCCUAAAAUUAUAUUUUGAUCCUUUAAUUAAAUUGUUCGCUUAAAUGCUACUUGAACUCUCUAUUUCGUAAUGUGAUCGAACUAAGCUACCUCAAGGUCAAAAUUAGUAAUGUGAGUCUUUACAAUGGACUUGAAGAUCUUCCCAAUAACUUACGCAUUCUUAAAUGAUUUUCCUUUACUAUAACUUAACAUGCGUAAUAGUUGCAUAAAACAUUUUCUGAUGGGAACAAAACUAUAUCCUUUUACUCAUUUGAUCUUUUAUAACUGUUUAACCAGGGAAUCUAAUUUUGCUAUGCUUUUGCAAUUGACAGCCUUUGCACAAUUUUAAAACCAUCAAACUCAGUCACUCUCUGCAUCUUGUCAGCACACCAAAUUUUAAAGUUGUACCAAUUCUUGAGGUUCAGAAAUGUGAAUUUAUCGUAAAAGAGGAUAAAUAGAGCGUCAAUACGGUGUAGUUUAAUGAGUUCGUCCGCAUUUUUUUGUCAUUUGACAUGGAGGGAGGGGGAGAGUUUAGUCCAUUUUUCCAUUGUGGUGUCAUCCCAUGUGCAAGGAGAUUGUCUGUAUUGACUUGAGCGUUAAAUGUCGUGCCCCUUUUUAUAUUCUUUCAUCAUACCCGUCAUUGUGUGUCUCGCUUUCUCUUGUAAUGAUUUUGCUUCGAUUUGAUUUCGCCCAAUAGUUGCUUUGCAAAAACGCUUUUUCUUUUCUUUCUUCUUGAAAAUUUAACUGUUUUUUUUUCACCCUCUGCCUUUUUUUGCAAGAAUGAAAAUCUUGGGGCUAAUUUGUGAAAAGCAGGUUUGGAUGGUGGAUUGAGGCUUUGGGUAUGUCGGUUGGCUCUAGAAUUGUUGGAGUACGAGAAGUUGUGUCUCUAGUCUUUCCCCAAACAGCAACUAUUUUGGGGCUUCUGGUAAUGAUUUCCCCACUCCAAUUUUAUCUACUUACAUUUCUUUUUUAGUUAUAAAAUAUAGUGUAAGUAGAUAAAAAUCAACACUCCUUUUAAAAAAACCAUUAUUUAAAGAAAUUAUACAAUAGUACUGUAAUAUCACGCGGCAAUGAUACAUGGUAUUACAGACGAAUUUGACAUGUGGGCAACAACUACAACAGAGAGAAGUAACGUUAAUUGGUGUUAACCUCACUGUCUGAGAAACUUCUGGUACCCACCUUCCCAGUUUUUACCAUCAUCGAAGACAACCAUUGCCAUUUCUGCAGGAUUUUUUGAAAAGCAGUCAUGUUGCUUCUUCACAAAGCUGAUGAAGAAUUAACCCAAAAAAUGGGUCAGCAGUGACUCUAUCUGUUAACUUGUUUUUAUAUGAGGGAUACUGACGUUAGAUGAGGAAACUUCGCGGAUAUGUUCGCUGACUUGACGAUUAGUGUUGUUGUUGAUGCCUCCGGAUCUUCAUAUUCCUCUUAUACAGUGCUAGUCAAAUGUGAAGUGGUUGUAUAAUUUCUCCACUAUUUAUGGGAAUUUGGGAAUUUUCAGGACUUGAGAUGAGGAGAUUUCAAUCCUAUUUUUAUUAUAAAUCAUAAAAAAGAAACAUCCUCUUUUCUAUUACAACUAUGGCACAAAAUCAAAGCUUAUAGAAAUCAACAAACAGUGUGUGAAUCAAUUUAUAAAAAUGUGCAAAGGAUUGUUGGUAGCUCUUUUUGUAAAUGCAGCUUUUACCUUGUGCAUUAAGGCAUACGGGCUGCCCAGCAAGAAAAAAAAAAAUUCUGACUUUCAAUGGGCACAUUGGGCAGGAUAAGAGGUAUUUACUGUUUAUAUAGCGAAGGGUUUUAAUAAAAGCUAGCAAUUGUAGAUAUUUUUGUCCUUCUAUUUUUUCGUGUAUCACAAUAAGAAUGUGAAUAUAAGAAUUCGACCUUAUUUAUAUUUUAAAUCACUCAAAGCUGCUAUGUUGCAUAUACAACUGAAAUCCCAUGAAUUUGAUAGCAAGAGUUGAAUGCCUUAUAAUCUUUAUAUUUUGGAAAAUAUACUGAGACUUUCCGAUUAGUUAAAGAGACAACCCUUGUUAACGGGGCCUAACUUAGUGAAAAAAGACAUUGACUUGUAGACUAAUGGUCUCAAAUUCGAACUCUUAUAACGUUAGUGUGUGUGAGAAAACCCCCACCCCCGCUAACUUUGGCACAGAGAGAGAGAUCUUCCAAUAUUUUAGGAAUUUUAACAUACAUCCCAAUCAACCAGCUUUUGCUUGUAAAAAAAGAAAAAAACUAUUGAAAUAGAAAUAGCAACCUUCCUUGAAAUAAAAUGAACUAGCUAAUAACCUUUCCAUGCUAGACAUGAUGCUUGGCUUCGUGCUUUAUGAAUUGCAGAUUCCUUUCCAUUGUUGCAAUAGUUAAUAAAAGAAUAGAAAAAGCUUUUAUUGUGUCGCUUAAGUUAUAUAGGAAUUCUUGAACCCAAGAGUUAAGAAUAACAAGUUCUUAGUCACCAUCAAACAGCCCCCCCAACUAGUCGUAUGGGGUGCUUGUGGUAAGUUGCCUUGGAUAUGAGGAAUUCCUAAAAAACGGCAAAGUCUGGUAAUUUUUUUCAUUAUUACGUACUAUGUUUGUUUGAAAUGUUGAAUUAAAUAUAUUUUAUAAUAAAAUCAAAAUUACAAAACUAUAAAUUCAUGCUUCUCCAAAACAAUAGACCAAGGAGGAUCUGCAAAGCGAGGAAACCAGCUUAUCCACGUUAAUGCAUAUGGGUUAGCACAACAGUAGAGAAUUGUGGGUCAAACACUCCCCUCAUUCCAAAGUGCACUCGAGUUUGAUUCAUGUAUGAGACAAUCUUAAGACAACCCAAUAUAAUACUCCCUCUCUCUAACGAAUGAGGAAAAAAAAAAUCAGCUUUUUGCUGGGAUUCGUAAUCUCGCUAGAACUGAGACUGACUGGAUUAUAAGUAAUCCAAUCCAAGAUGAUUUGGGGCACCAUACAAAGGAGUAGGAUUGUGGAUUCAAUACAGUGUUUUUAUCCAGACCACCAAACGGGUUCGUUCAGAUCCGAAAUAAACAGAGGAAAUGAAAAAUUGAAGAUUAAAUAAAUAGUAUAGCCGAGCGGCUAUACCUUUUAAAUAUAUUAUUCCACAAGUAUAGCCGGAUGGCUAUAUUCCUUUUUCUUUUCAAUAAUCAUUUGAUCUUUUAUAACUGUUUAACCAGGGAAUCUAAUUUUGCUAUGCUUUUGCUCUUGCAAGUGACAGCCUUUACACAAUUUUAAAACCAUCAAACUCAGUCACUCUCUGCAUCUUGUCAGCACACCAAACUUUAAAGUUGUGCCAAUUCUUGAGGGUCAGAAAUGUGAACUUAUCACAGAAGAGGGUAAACAGAGUGUCAAUAUUGCGUAGUUUAAGGAGUUUGUCCGUAUUUUUUUUUGUCAUUCGACAUAGAGGGAAGGGGGAGAGUUUGGCCUACUUUUCCACUGUGGUGUCAUCCGAUGUGCAAGGAGAUUGUCAGCAUUGACUUGAGCGUUAAAUGCCGUCCCCCCUUUUUAUUUUCUUUCAUCAUUCCCAUCAUUGUGUGUCUCAUUUUCUCUUGUAAUGAUUUUGUUUCGAUUUGAUUUUGCCCAAUAGUUGCUUUGCAAAAACACUUUCUUUUUUUUUUUUGAAAAUUUAACUGUGUUUUUUUUCUUCACCCUCUGCCUUUUUUGCAAGAAUGAAAAUCUUGGGGCUAAUUUGUGAAAAGCAGGUUUGGAUGGUGGAUUGAGACUUUUGGUAUGUUGGUUGGCUCUAGAAUUGUUGGAGUACAGGAAGUUGUCUCUAGUCUUUCCUCAAACAGCAACUAUUUUGGGGCUUCUAAAAGGACCACUAUUGGGAGAAAUUAUACAAUAGUACUGUAGUAUCACGCGGCAAUGAUACUACAAGAUCUUUUGAAAAGCAGUCACGUUGCUUCUUCACAAAGCUGAUGAAGAAUUAACCCAAAAACGGGUCAUCAGUGACUCUAUCUGUUAAAAAAGCAGUCAGCGAGAUGUUUUUUUUUUUUUUAAAAAAAAAUUUAAUUUAUUUUAUAAUUAAAAAAGAUAAUGGGUAGUUGUGUUCCAUAAAAAUAGGAUCCAUUAUCUGAUUUUUCUUUUAAUUUUAAUUUUUUUAAUAUAAAAAAGUGUGAAUUUACCAUAUUAUCCUCAUUUAAUUAAUAAUUUCAAUUCUUAAUGUUUGCAACCAAGGGCAUUUUCUGGUAUUUUGAAUGUUUCACUAUUAUCUGUCUUUUGUUUUAUAUCUACUAGCCCCUCACGCAUGUGCCAAUUGGUUUUAUUUUUUAUUUUUUAUUUUAUUUUAUUUUUAGAAUUAAGAAAAGAUAACAUGGAUAGUUAUGUUCCAUAAAAGUAGGACUUAUUAUCUGAUUUUGUUUUUAUUUUUAUUUUUUUAAAUAUAAAACAUGUGAAUUUACCAUAUUAUCCCAAUUUAAUUAAAAUUUCAAUUCUUAAUGUUUGAAAUAACCAAGAGCAUUUUUUGGUAUUUUGAAUAUUUCACUAUUUUUCUGCCUUUUGCUUUAUAUAUAUAGAUAUAGAUGAAAUUAAAAAAAAAUUUUGUCGAAUAGAAAAAAUAUACUUUCUAAUAAAAUCAAAUUUACAAAACUAUAAAUUCAUGCUUCUCCAAAACCACCAGUCAAAAAAGUGGCUGGAAAGACAAAAAGGGCAUCCAAAACAACAGACCAAGGAGGAUCCGCCAAGCGAGGAAACCAGCUUAUCCAAGUUAAUGCAUAUGGGAUAGCACAAUAGUAGAAUAGUGGGUCAAACGCUCCCCUCCUUCCAAAGUGCACUCGAAUUGGAUUCACGUAGGAGAUGAUCUUAAGAUAAUCCAAUAUAGUACUCCCCCUCCCUUUAAGCAAUUAACUUUUCUUAGUGUACUACCUCCUCUCACAAAAGAAAAGGGUAGCACGGUAGAGUGAGAAAAGAGAGAGAGUUGUGAUGGCCAAGGCUUGGAUCCGAAAUAAAUAGAGGAAAUGAAAAAUUAAAGAUUAAACAAAUAGUAUAGCCCUGCGGCUAUACCUUUUAAAUAUAUUAUUCCACCCGUAUAGCCGGACGGCUAUACUCCUUUUUUCUUAAAAUAAAUAGAUUUUUAAUUUUUUGAAAUAAAUAGUACAGCCGAGCCGUUAUACUCUUUUUUUAUUUUUUAUUUCUUAAAUAAAUAGUAUAGCCGAACGGCUAUACGGUUUAAAUAUUAUUUAUCCCCUUUUGAUUUUUUUUUUUUCAUUUUCCAAAGUUGUUACAAGUAUAAAGAAAUAGCAUUUUCCCGAUUUAUACUCGUAUUAUACAUUUAAGUAUGUAUUUUUUAAUAAUACUUCUGUUUUCCGUACAUUGCUAGCACUCAAUAAAAUAUGUAUUUUUUAUUAUAAAAAAAGCAAACAUACAAUACAAAUAUUAUACACAUACGUACAUAUUUUUCAUGUUUAAUACACGUAUUACUUUCCAUAACAUAAACAAAAUUCAAGUCUUAUACUCGUUAAAUAACAUAUUUAAAAUAUAAUCUUAUAGCCGUGAAUUGUACUACUUUUUUAUUUUCAUUUUAACAAUUAGUAUAGCCGUGGAGUAAUACUGGUUUCCAUUUAUUUAUUUUUAAUACUUAGUAUAGCCGCGCGGCUACACUCCUUUUUUUAUUUCUUAAAUAAAUAGUAUAGCCAGAAGGCUAUACCGGUUAAAUAUAUUAUUCCACAAGUAUCGCCGGGCGGCUAUACUCUUUUUCCUUUCAAUAAUUAGUAUAGCCGGCAGCGGGACUCUUUUUAUUUUUAAUUUUUUAAAAUAAAUAGUACCUCCGCACGGCUAUACCCUUUUUUCUUAAAAUAAAUUGUAUAGCUGUACGGCUAUACGGGUUUAUAUUUUUAAUUUUUUGAAAUAAGUAGUACAGCCGCGCGGCUAUACCUCUUUUUAUUGUUUAUUUCUUAUAUAGCCGAACGGCUAUACGGUUUAAAUAUUAUUUAUCCCCUUUGAUUUUUUUUUUUCCUUUUUCAAAGUUAUUACACAUAUAAGGAUUUGCAUUUUCCCAAUUUUUCAAUAAUACAUGCAUUUUCUGUACAUUGCUUAAGGACUUGGUAAAAUACAUAUUUAAAAAAAAAGAAGCAAAUGUAUAAUACACAUAUUGUACGCGUACAUAUGUAUUUUUCUUGUUUAAUACAUGUAUCACUUUCCAUAACACACAAAAAAUUCAAGUAUUAUGCUCGUUAAAUAUCGUUUGAGAAAUUUCUUGUACCCACCUCCUCAGGUUUUACCAUCAUUGACGACAACCAUUACCAUUUCUGCAAGAUUAUUUGAAAAGCAGUCAUGUUGCUUCUUCACAAAGCUGAUGAAGAAUUUGAUAGAAAAAUAUAAUAUUUAUAUUUAAUUUUUUAAUAAUUGAAUAGAAAUUAAAUUGUGGGACUCGUGACUUUAAGUACAUGACUUUUACGAAUUGGUAUGUAUCCAUUGGGAAUAGUCAUGUUCUUAACCGAGGAAAAAUAAAAUAUUAUUUAUUUUGUUUGUAAAAUAAUAAUACUUUAUGUGAUAAAUUGCAUUGUUUCAUAUAUGAAAAGUUGCAUUGUUUCAUUGCACUUCUUGGCUUAAGUUGCAUUGUUUCAUAAUAAAUGAAACAUUGCACUUCUUGGCUUAUGAUUGCAACAUGAAAAGACACAUUUGUUGAUAUUUUUCAGUCACAUCUUUUCUGAAUAGAGUCCUUGUUGCCUAUAAAUAGAGAAGAUCCUACAACAUUUCAUUCAUCCAAUUGUCAUCCAACAAUAGUAGUUUUUAGAGCAUUCAUAGCAUUAUAUUUUUAGAAAUAUAAUGAGUUACUAAGAGAGAAUUCAUACGCAAGUUUGAGUUCGCUUUUCUUGGGGAUUGUAGUGCUACUUCAACAAGAAGUCGAUCGUUGUAUCCUGGGAGACGUUUGCUAAGCAAAUCCUAAAAGCACAUGUGAGGAUGCAAUUUCAUCUUAAGGAGAUAGAACCAAGUUCUAGACUCGAUCAUCUGUAAAGUAUUCUAGACUUGAUCAAUGACACCAAAAUUUGACUAUGUGGUGUGUUCGAUUGAAGCAUCAAAAGAUCUUGAUAAUCUCUCUAUUGAUGAGCUACAAAGCAGUCUUCUGGUACAUGAACAACGGAUGAAUGGCCAUGCAAUGGAAGAACAAGCAUGGAAGGUGGCCAUGCAAAAGAUCUUGUAUUCAUAUCAUAUGAUUUUGGAUUUAAUUAAAUUUGCAUUUUGAAUUCUGUUAAGAUUGAAUUUUGAUUUAUUUCUCUUCGAAUUUGGAUGGUUCAGUCCAACUACGGCGGUUGGGUUCUUUUAUGUGUGUGCAUCGAUGGAGAGAGAGGGAAAGAGACGCAUAGAGAGAAAGGAAGAGAAAGAGAAAGAGAUGACUGGGUUUUGUGUUUGCAGCAACAGAGACAGAGGGAAAGAGAUGGGGAGAGAGAGGAAGAGAGAGAGAGAGAGAGAGUUGGGAUGAAGAGGAAUGGUGUGGGGUUGAAGGGAGAAGUCGAGGGACGUUUGAGUGGGUUUGUUUUAAAUUUGUUUUAAUUUUUAUAUUAUUUUAUUGUUUUAUAUAUAUGAUUUUAUGGUUUUUAAAUAAUUUAAGAAAUCAAGAUUUUUUUAUUUUAGUUUUUUAGCCCACGUGGCGUCCACAUAAAAAUAAAAAUCUGACAUAUACUUGACACGUAAGCAUUUAACGGAAAAACUGACAGAUUCACUAAUGGAGGGUGUAUUUUGAAAGGUUCCGUGAAGUUUGUGUAUUGUGUACUCGUCAAACUGGUCAAUAAAUAUUGGGUAUGAGUUUGUAAUAACCCCCAUAAUUUGGGGGGUUUACGGGUAGUUCAUUCAAAUCGAGCUAGAAUAUAAGGCUUUAUCUCUUUUUUUUUUCCCUUUUUUUUUUACCCUAGUUCAAAACGACUUCAUUUUGGCUAGGGACUUUUGAAAAAAAAAGUAUGUAGGCUGUGCUGCGUGCAACAUCCCUGCAACACAACAACACAGAAAACAAAAAAGAGUUUUGCUGAGGCAUUUCCUCAAGCCGAUUGUGGGCACUUCCAUGGCAAAGCUGAGGGGCAAAUUCCACCACCUACAAAGCUCUUUCCGACGAGGGGAGGUACAUUUGCAUCUCCUUACGCCCCUGUAGGUUCGCCAAUGGCUGGGAUAAAAGGGAAUGGUGAAAAUGGUACUUAGGUGACGAGGGGUAAACUUAAAAGAUAUUCAACCAAGAACGCAACAAACUUCACACACUCUAGACCUUGACCAAAUACUCUUAUGACUAGUCAACUGUCAGAUAUGAAUUAUACCAAAUAAUAACAUACACAGAGCAUACGAAGAUGUACCUACAAGCCUAGAGAAUUACUAGUGACAACCUAGGCACUCAAAAGGACCUGUCAAUCUAGGCAUCCCCUGUGCUAGCAACAACUAUGGUGAAAGUGUGUGAAGACAACAUAAUCAAGCAAACACCAAACAACAGAUAAUGAUGACUAGUCAACUACAAGGAUACAAACCCAUAAUUCAUACGAUGAUUAGUCAACCACUAAGAACACAAACUCAGAAUUCAUAUGAUGACUAGUCAACCACAAUUCAUACAAUGACUAGUCAACCACCAAGAACACAAACCCAUAAUUUAUACGAUGACUAGUCAACCACCAACAAGAACACAAACCCAGAAAAAUUACAGAGAUGCAAACAGAAAUUGUUCACCUAGAAACCCACUAUUGGGAAAAAAUUAGGGGUCAUCAACCGACCAGGCAAUCCACUAAGUAGACAAAGAUUCUUACAAAGGAAUACAAGCAAGCUCAAGAAAAACCUAGAUAUAUUUAGGAAGAUGAGCUAUACUUCCUUUGUGCAAUCUUCUUCUCCAACUUAGCAAAGCUUGAAGCUCAGUUCUUCAUGGCAAUGGCAGCUCCUUCUCCAGCUCAUUCAUCCCAUGGCACAAGCUUGCAAGCUCUAACUCAAACAGAAACCAAAAUUUGGAUUCAAAUGAGAAUGACCAAUUUCUUCAAGAAACCAUACUCUUGAAGAAAUCAAUCUUGAAUCUGACCUAUAUAUAAAUGAGAGAGUGUUUUAAGUAGCUAGAUGCAAAUUAGUAUUUCAAAUGCAGUUUUUCAAAAAGAAAUCAAUUUGGAAAAAACUCAUAGAUGAAAAUAAGAUGGUUCUCUCUUGAGGAAGAAGAAGCGAAAUAUGGCAAGCCAAACUUUCCAAAACUUCCACCCAAAAGAGACGACUGCCCAAAGAGGAAUUCCUUAGCCUUUACAGACAAAAAUUCCCUUAGGUCAGAAUCACACAUGGCAAUAGAGAGAGAAAAGAGAAUAUGACAAAAAAGUUGGUUAUCCAACUGGAAAUCCUACAGAGCAAGGAUGACUAGUCAUCAUUUUAUGAAAACAGUUUAAUGCAAUGUUAUGCAAUGCACAAUUUAUCUUUGCCAAUUUGCUUGAACCUCCGUAGGAUAGUUGUUAGUUAAGAACACCUAGAGAAGAUAUUCUCAAUCUAAACUUGAGCUUGAUAAAUAACAAUAGAAAUCCUAUUACAAAAUUGUCAAGGGAAGCAAAAAGAAAAACUCAAAAUGCAUACAUUAACAAAUGGUGUGGGGCUAAGGAGAAGUUGAGGGACAGGGGUGGGUUUGUUUUGUUUGUUUUAAUUUUUUUUAUAUUAUUAUAAUAUAUAUAUAUAUAUGUAUAUAUUUGAUUUUAAGGUUUUUAAAUAAUUUAAGAAAUCAAGAUUUUCUUAUUAGUUUUUUAGUUCACGUGGCGUCCACUAAAAAUAAAAAAAAUGAUAUAUAUUUGACAUGUAAGCAUUUAAUGAAAAACUGACAGAUUCACUAAUGGAGGGUGUAUUUUGAAAGAUUUCGUGAACUUUGUGUACUCGUCCAACUGGUAAAUAAAUAUUGGGUAUGAGUUUGUAAUGACCCCAAUAAUUUGGGGGGUUUAUUGUAGUUCAUCCAAAUCGCGCUAAAAUUGAGGCUGAUUGGAUUAUAAGUAAUCCAAUCGAAGAAGAUUUGGGCCACCAAACACAGGAGUAGGAUUGUCGAUCCAAUCCAGUGUUUUUAUCCAGCCCACCAAACAAGUUCUUUCAGGAUCUAAAAUAAACAGAGGAAACGAAAAAUGAAAAAAUUGAAGAUAUUGGUUGAUCUUACCCUCCCUCAUUUCUCUCACCUUCCCUCUAUGAUCUCAGCCUCCCUCAUGUUGCUCACGAUUUUGUUUGUGGUGUUGAUUGCUAGGAUCAUUCAUUUGUUCAUUAAUCUUGGAGAACCAUAGUGGCUGCCUUUUGUAGACAAUGUAGCAGUUACAAGACAUUUUUGGAAGCAGUUACCAGUUGGCUGUGACGUUGCAGUUGAAGCUCUUUCAAUUUAUCCCAAUCGUUGUAGUUGGUCUUGCUACUCGUUCAUUGUCCAUUGGCCCAAGUUUUGCCCGUUGGUUGUUGUUGAUGAGAAAACUUUAUAGUGGCACUCUUUUUCCUUGAUUGGAUUUUCCUCUAUUAGUUCAGGCCGCGAGCUUUUUAAGAUUACACUAUUGUUCCUAGCUUUCACGUUGGUUUUAAGAUAUUUUCAUCCUCUCCGCUGUAUACUCUUAUGGUGUUCUAAUAAAAUAUAUUUCCCAACCCAAAAAAAAAAAAAAAACUAUGUCAUCCAUUGUCUUUCUGUUGGAUCUCUUUAAUCUCAUUGAUAAAUCAUGUACCCUCAUUGUAGAAUUUCGUAAGGAAACAUAAUCGACUUGCUUCUUGUUCUUAUGGGCAGAGUGGGCUUUCCCUUGUUAGGCAUGCUGCUCUGUUUCUUGUUGCCGUUCCUUUGGGCUUCAAUGGAGAUUCAUUUUCUAACCCAGAAAACAAAAGGAAAACAAAAAAUGUUGAAGCAGAAAAAAAUUAAAAGAACAAUAUUAUCUGGAAAUAAAUUUGAGGUGAAGCUGUGAACAAUUCUUGGGAUGAGUUGCGUACAAAGUCGCUCACUUCAAAACGUUUCGCGACUUUGCCCAAUUUGUGCAAGCAGUUUAGAAAAGGCCAUUAUGUCCCUAGGAUAAAACAAUCCUAGAAUCUCUUAUGUGUAGGUUCUUCCUUGCACUUAGGAAAGACCUGAAUACAAACACCUUUUUAUGUUGCUAAGAAAACUUAGUUUAAGAAAUAAGAGAAAGAUAGAAUUUCAUGAGAUGAAGAGGAAGAAGGCAGCAGCUGUUGUGUGUUUUUCUCUUCUAGCUAUAUCAGAUAUAUGUACAUAAUAUACUACAAAUAUAAAGCAAAAGAGGUGAAACAUUCAAAAUACCAGAAAAUGCCUUUGGUUAAUCAAAACAUUAAGAAUUAAAAUUAUUAAUUAAAUGAGGAUAAUAUGGUAAAUUCACACAUUUUCAUAUUAAAAAAAUUAAAAUUAAAAGAAAAAUCAGAUAACGAAUCCUAUUUUUAUGGAACACAACUACCUAUUAUCUUUUUUUAAUUCUAAAAUAAAUUUAAUUUUUUUUAAAAAAAAGCCUCUCGCAGAUUGGAAGAACGUAUAGAGAAGCUAAUAUACUACAAAAGAGACGUUGGUGGCCUUUAAAUGCAGCAAAUACACCAGUUCAGAAAAUCAGCCCAUAUUAAUCGAAACUAACUCCUAUUACUAAAGGUAAUUUAAGCAAUUAUUGAAUUAUAUUUAUAUAAAUAAAAAAACCACACCAAUUUCAACCGAAAAAAGAAAGAGAACUAUUGGCCAAAAAAAAAAAAAAAAAAGGUCAGAGAACACGUUUCCCGGGUGUGAGUAGUUUCCCAGGUCAGGCGUCAAAUGCGUAAUUUUUCUUACAGAGCUAGCUGUCUGUCUCAUGACUUGUUUACAUUUGUGGACAAAGUGUUUCGUGUUGUAAAACAGUGGAGCCCACAUUAGAAGGAAACUUCCUUCCACCAGCCCACAUUGGAAGGAAAUUUCCUUCCCUUCAGAUACUUCCCUUUUGUAUAUAUUUUACCCUUCAGUGUAAUGGGAUAAUGUAGAAACUGAAGAACAAGAUGAAGAACGGAAACACAGAGGAGAAAAUUCUCCCUCCUCUCUCUCUCAAUUCUCUUUUCCAAUUUCUUCAGUUUACAACACGUUAUCAGCACGAGUCUUUAACCGGCUGAAAUCUCUGAUUUCUUGAUCCCAGAAAUUGAUCAAGACACCCAGUUCGAAACCAAGCCCAGAUUGCCCACCCAAAACCAACCCAGUUUUUGUACAGAGCCACACGGAUUGCUUGCCAAUACCAAAGCAUAAAUGCUGGGAAUGAAUUUUUUCCUUCCGAUGAACCUGUCUCCAUGUUUGAUGAAAAUCCGGAAGUAAAGAACAUGCAGACAUGUGCAACGAAGGGAAAAAUAGAGAGAGCCCGCCAAAUCACUCUCCACACCCACACAACCCGAAAUGGCGUGUCAGUGUAUAUGAAAGACGCUUGCAAGCUGUUCCUUCAGCUCCAAGAAGUCGUCUUCAAGUGAGUGUACCAAUAAAUGAUGGUGUUAAAGAGAGAAUUUUGCGAAGAAUAGAACCAUGGAUUCGUAGGGAGCUGCAGGCUCUUCUCGGAGACCGAGAUCCAUCUAUUAUUGUUCAUGUGGCCACCUCACUCUUCAUUGCAAGCCUCGAAAACGAGGGUCAUGUCCCUUCAGGACAGUGUGAUGUUUGAGAUGACUUCCUUGCACGGUUGCGCCCUUUUCUGCUUGAUCGAACUGAUAUGUUUUGGCACGAGCUAAGCUGUAGCUGGGUCUGAAGAGGCUCUCAAGCCUUUUGAUCAGUUCGGCAACAUCAGGGGGCAUUGGAGCUUUGGUUAGCACCACCAUCUUGUACCCACUUGAUACCUGCGAGACCAAGUAUCAAGCUGAAGUCCGAGCUCAACAUCAGCAGAAAUACAGGAAGCGACUCAUAGUCCCCUUCCUCGACUACACGACCAUGCCGUCGUCAUAGUCCACUUUUUCAACCCUGCCGAGAACGGCCCUGCGGGAGUCCCUUGCCACCUGCUUCCACGAGUUCUCCCUCGACCUGUCCAUCUUGCUGCAGCAGAUCCACGGGAGCAAGAUGUGGCGACGUAGAGGAGGUCGUUCCUAUGCUCCAAAACCAAUGCUCGCGGAGCACAACGAAAUCGUUCAUGGAUCCCCUAGACGACGAUCUCAGGCGCGAGGUCCGCUCAGCCGCAGGUCAGCCGCGGGUCCACCAUCCUCGCCGCCUCCGCUCCAUGGCGACGGGGAAACCCCAUGUACUUAGCAGGCUUCCAUGCCCGUCACAAUCUCCAGAACUUGCUGCAAAAGCCGAGGGUUUUUCAGUGCCAAACCCUCGCCCACAACUCCACCAUGCACCUCGCUCUCAACCCACUGCGCUGGCGGCCUAGUUGCAGCACUUGAGCCCUGGCGAGAAGGCCACAAAGUCGUGGUCUCUGAGCAAGGAGACCAAGUGGGAAGCACAUGGGUCUCCACUCCGAAGGUAGAAUCCGACCCACUUGGGCUGCACCCGGAUCGGACCACGGUCCAUUCGAGCAUGCACCAGUCGAUCCGGACGAACCUCCCGAGAGAGUCCAUGGGUUUCAAGGACUACCCAUUUGUGGCCAAAGAAGAAGACGAAAAAAAAAAGAGACCCGAGAAAGUUUUCCGGGUCACAGAGAGGUGUUGAGGUAUUUGAAGGAUUUUGGGAUAUCUGAGAUUGUGAGGAUCGAGACGGAGGUGAUGGUGUGCAUGAUAAGAUUUAUGAUGCUGUUGUUGUCUGUAAUAAGCUUCAAUGGCUGUGGUGGAGGUGCAGAAGAGAGAGAGAUGUGCAGUAUUAUUACUGUGAGUAAUCAAUGAGUUUUUGGAUGAUUUUCAAUGAUGGGUAGAGAAUAUGCUGUCGAGAGUGCGCAUGAUCGCAGCACCCACACACGCAUGAUCACAGCUGUACAACAGCACAGGCAUGAUCACGUGUUCUUAGAAAAUCCCAAAAGUCUUUUUCAGCUAUCAUGGGUUGUGCUAUUCUACUGCACAUACAAAAACACCCACCAAAGUAAAAGGAUAAGUACUCUGCGUAUAAUAUAUAUAUAUAUAUACUAUAUUUAUCUGUUUUUUUUCUUUUACUAACCAUUAACAAAAAUGGACCCUCGGUAAUACUAAACAUAUUAUCAGUGGGAGACCGUUACUAAUACUAACAAUUUAAUUUAUGAAUUUAAUUUACUGCACAUUUACAUUUAUUUAGAAGGGUGGUGCGGGUUUAUCGCCCACGCCUUUGCUUUUAUUUAAAUGUAUGGUGCAGAAUUAGUGCCCAUACAAGCACGUUUAAUUUACUGCAAAUUUACUUUACAGCACAUUUAUUUUAUUUACUGUAUGGUGUAGGAUUAUUACCCAUACGACAGUAUUUAUUUAAAAGGGUGGUGCGGGUUUAUCGCCCACGCCUUUGCUUUUAUUUAAAUGUAUGGAGCAGGAUUAGUGCCCAUACAAGUACAUUUAAUUUACCGCACAUUUAAUUUUAUUUAAAGUAUGGUGCGGGAUUAACGUCCAUACAGCAAGCAAUUUAAUUUAUGAAUUUAUUUUACCGCACAUUUACAUUUAUUUCAAGUGUGGUGCGGGUUUAUCGUCCAUACCAGUAAUUUAUUCACCAGCAAUUUAUUUUAAUUGUGCUGUAUGGUGAAUUGUGCUGUAUGAUGAGUUUUUACAGUAUGCAGAUCAGGACCAGAAGUUCCUUGAUCCUCAUCAUACAAUUACAUCAGGACUUGAAGAUCCUUGAUGAUGAUAUUAAUAUGAGGGCUGGCAGUCUCUCCGGUACUGUAUUUGUAAACAUGUGAUCAGACUUAAAGGUCCUUGAUUCCUGACAUAUAAAUAAGGAUAAUGAUGUAACAGUACCGUAUUGGUUCAUAGUGCCGUACACAUUGAUGAUAACUGUACUGGCAGAUGAAUAGAUACGUAUUCAUGACUUGAUGAAUAGUACUAUUCACAUGAAUAGUGACGUAUGCAUAAAUAUGAACCAUUUUGGGUAAACCGUCACUAUAUACAAAAGAGAACCUGCAGUUCCUUAAACUCAUGGAUGAACAAUUAAAUGAGAUGCCAGAAGUUCCUCAAAAUAUGGACAAUUAUGUAAAGGCUUGAAGCCCAGAAAUAUGUACAGAAAAUUGUAAAAAUGUCCAUACCAUGAGAACCUGUGAUUUUAACUUGAGGUUCAAAAUCUAAGUGUUGAGAACCUGAAGUUCCAACAAUUAAAUGGACAACACUUGAGGUAUUAUUGCAAAUUGUGGUACGCCACAUAUUUCUUUGGCAUAAGAGAAUGAUGAAUUGAGGCUCUCCACAUAUUUUGUUAUAUCUGGGCCGGCAGCUCAUGAACCCAAAUAUAUGAGCUUGAAUGAUACUUGAGAAAAGUUUCUCCCACCUAAGGAUGUAAGCAAUACUUGUGUUAUUUUAUGCUUAUAUACCUAUUUGAUAUUUUAUCUUGAAAAGUAACCAAAUGGGGAGAUAAGUCCGUUCCAAAAGAAUGGCUUGUAUGUAUCCAUGAAUUAUUAAUGCAAAUUUUACAGAUUGCAAGUUGGAUACAUUGAUAAUACACUGCACAGAUUAAAAGUCCCAUAAGAACAUAACAUGGGUAUAGCAGUGAUCAAUAUGAUGCACGUCUGUUGCGUAGCAAAUGAUGUGGAUUGAAGUCCCAAAUGGACAAUCCUUUGACAUGUCAAUAUUGAUAUUAUGCACGCCUAAUGCGUAGCAAAUUGUAUGGGUUAAAGUCUCAGAAAUUAAUUGACAUGUAUGUAUUAAUUUGUGGCAUGCCUGCAGCAUGACAGAUAUAUGGGUUCUCAAUGUUCCAACUCCCUAAAUGGAGAUUAUCCACGCCCCACUAUAAAAUAACGCUCCAUUGGAGGUUAUAAUCCACAUUCUCACAUAAUAAAAGCCCCCUGAAGUGGCUUGGGUACCCAAAAGCAAAGAAAUGCUUAUAAUUGAUGCAUGCGCAUGCACAUGAGAAUGGUGGGAUCAUGAAUUGAUGAAUGACAAUUUUUGGUUUUGGAGUAGCUACUCAAAUCAUCAAUGGGUUGUGUUGAUUGGAACCACGUUCAAUUAUUAAAUAUCGACAAUAUCAUUGGCCAAAAUGGAACGAGGUAAUUCCAUUAUAAAUGAGAAUGAACGUGACAGAACAAACCCACAAAACGAACCCCAAAAUUUGUUAAUACUGAAAGUUAUACUUGGGUGUUCGGAAUAAAAGGGAAUAUACCUACUUUGUAUGACACAAUGUUUCUGGCAGAAACAAGGAAUGUUGGGUUUUCUCCAUAUUUACAGAUUCAAUUGUGCCCCCCUUAUUACACAAUUACGGAGACCAACAUAUUAUCUUUAAGGGUUAUUAAAUGCACAGAGCAUAUCACCUGAAGUGAUUCCCUAAAGACAUAUAAAUAGCUGGGUUAAAGCUAUAUAAUGUGUCAUAAAACUUAAUCCCUUUUAGACAAAAUCCGUUGAGAGGAUUAUCAUUGCAUAAAGCAAGUCCCUAAAGGACAUGUGCUUGAAGCACAAAAUUUGUACUCAAUAUUAAUAUGCAUAAAUUACCUCAGUGAGUACAUUGAUGUGAUUGCAACACAUUAAAGAUUCUGCAGAAUUCACGAAAUAUAUGUCUCGACUUAAGGAUCGAGUAUUGUGCCAACGAGAUUCUUGCUUAUACUAAGAAAGUAUUGAAGCAUUUUUAUGAGGAUUAUCCGUUGGUCCUUAAAUAUUUUUCCGGAAGUAUACUAGACCAGAUAGAGCUCAGCUCCACACUGUACUCUUUUUCCUUCAUCCAGGUUUUUAUCCCAUUGGGUUUUUCCUGGUAAGGUUUUAACGAGGCAGUGUAGCUCAAGGUUUUUAGGGUAUACUAUGAAAAUUUUUAUGGUCGCUUACUGGACAAAAGCUAGUCCUAAAAUUUUCAGGGGGAGAUAUUCAUCAGGGGGAGCAUGGUUUUAAUAAAGACCUCCAUACACUGUACUCUUUUUCCUUCAUCCAGGUUUUUAUCCUACUGGGUUUUUCCUAGUAAGGUUUUAACGAGGCAGUGUCGCUCAAGAUUGACUCACAGAAGCAGUGCCAACUACGAUAUUCAGAAAGCUGAUCAACAGUAUGACUUAAAGAUAUUUUGCCAAGCAUCAGGGGGAGCGCUAUCAAUAAAGAUCUUCAAAUACUGUACUCUUUUUCCUUCGUCCAGGUUUUUUAUCCCACUGGGUUUUUCCUGGCAAGGUUUUAACGAGGCAGUGUCGCACGCGCGCCAAUAUACUUAGGAUUUUAUGUUACACAUAGUUAUGUACUCUUUUUCCCUUCGACCAGUUUUUGUCCCACUGGGUUUUUACUGGCAAGGUUUUUAACGAGGCAUAUUCCAUAUCAUUUGUGGUCUCCAAGGGGGAGUGUUGUAAAACAGUGGAGCCCACAUUAGAAGGAAACUUCCUUCCACCAGCCCACAUUGGAAGGAAAUUUCCUUCCCUUCAGAUACUUCCCUUUUGUAUAUAUUUUACCCUUCAGUGUAAUGGGAUAAUGUAGAAACUGAAGAACAAGAUGAAGAACGGAAACACAGAGGAGAAAAUUCUCCCUCCUCUCUCUCUCAAUUCUCUUUUCCAAUUUCUUCAGUUUACAACAUUUCGGUAUUUUUUCCCCAUUUUUCAUAUUAUGUGCUUUUUCUGACUGAGUCAUUUAGUUGUUGUAAAAUUUUCUCCUUC